AAUCCUCAUUGAUCAACAAAGACUUGAGAUUCAAGAAACUAGACACAUGAUUGAAGAGCAGAGAAGGUUCUCCGAGAUGCAGUCUAAACAAAUGGAAGAAAUGAUGAAAAAGAUUGAAGAAUUGAGUGGGACACUUGGAGGAUCGUGCGAUGUCCGCGGCUUUUUUAUUUUAAUUUCCUUUUCCAUGUCACUUUUUUUUCUAAUUUGAAACUAUGUUCUUGUGACAUUUAUCUAAUUAUAAUACAAUUUCAAUUUCGAUAUGUUACUGAUUAUUUUGGUUGUUCAUUUUUUAUUUAAAUUAAAUCAAAAUCGAAUAGAAACUACAAUGAAAAAAAAAAAAAAAAACUAAAUAAUUAAUAAUAAUAAAAAAUUAAAUGAUAUUCCCGAUGCAGAUACUGUGUCGGAAAAAAGGAAUUUCCCUGACACAUGCACACGACAUCUGGGACCGUUUCACGAUGCACUGUCUUCCGACGUGUAGAAAACGUCGGUAGAUUUCUAGGGGUAAGCCGACGCAUAAAGAACGUUGAAAGUACCGUUGGGAGAUAUGAAAUGUUGACGCAGUUUUGUGGUGCAUCGGAGAUGGGUCUCCCGACACGUAAUACGUCGGGAGAGCUUGUCCCGACGUUUUUCUCAAUCUUUCUCAAUCGGGAAUACACCAAUCUCUUGUAGUGGAUUCCAACUUCUACAACUUUCUAAAGAAGCUACAAGUGACUCCAAGUUCUACAAAGGUAGUAAAGAAGCUGCAAACGACUCCAACUUCUACAAUCUUUCACAUCAAACGACACCAACUUCAAGAACAUCAUGUGCUCUGCUUUCAACUUCUACAAGCUUUCUAAAGAAGCUAGAAACGACUCCAAAUUUCCUCCUCUAACCAAGUGAGAGCGAGAAAGAAUCUCUGCUUCAUCAAAUCAAGCGAGAAAGAAUCAUACCAAUGGAAGUAAUUGUCUUUACUUAUAUACCUAAAAUCAUUUCCUUAUCGAACCGAUAUAUGGAAAUUUGGUCGGAUUCACACGAACUCUCGAUCUCUAAGAACUGCAAAAAUGAAAUGAGAAAGCAUUAGGAUUCAACCACUCGCAUAAAAAAUAUUAUACAAAAUGACAAACAUGAAAUCCCAUGGCAUAGAAUAGAACGGAAUCAUUGAGAAGGAUAAACGUAAAAAGCAUCCCAAUAUUAUUUUAGAAAAAACCCGCCCAACCUAGUGCAAUCCAAACAAACACAAAGUCUGGGAAUAACCUUUUUAAAAUUAAAAUCUUCUCUCCUUUUUGUUUCCACUUGCGGAUUGAACAAAGUUUUAGAUCGUUAUAGCUAGCUUCUCCUGCUAUGGACAUGUGCCCAAAGCCAACACCAAGCCAAUGGAGAACCAGAAUUCAGAGAAAAUGGAAACCACCCAAAAGGUUGAAAGAAAAAAGGGUGGUCUUCGAACUAUGCCUUUUAUUAUAGGUAAUUUUCAACAAGUUCUAAAAGUUCUGAAGCAUAAAUUAGUAAUAUGAUCACUAACAAAAACUCCAAAUCUGCAGCAAACGAGAUAUUUGAGAAGAUUUCAAAUGUUGGUCUUCAUGCAAAUAUGAUAUUUUACUUGAUGAAUGAGUAUCAUCUGGAUAGUGCUAAAGGAGCUAUCGUCUUGUUUCUGUGGUCUGCAUUGACAAACUUAUUGCCCAUUGGUGGGGCUUUCCUCUCUGAUUCUUACUUGGGUCGAUUUAAGGUCAUCGCCAUGGGGACAGUGGUUACACUUGUUGUAAGCAAGGAUUCAUUUGCUUAGUUCCAACCUGAAUAUCUGUUUGUUUCAUCUGUUUUUCAACUUUGAUCUUUCUUCGGACUUCAGGGAAUGGUGGUUUUAUGGUUAACAGCCAUAUUUCCAAAAGCAAGGCCUCCACACUGUACACCAGCUGGGGAAUUUUGUGUUUCAGCAAACACUGCUCAGCUGAUGCUUCUGUAUUUUGCAUUUCUUCUUAUGGCAGCCGGAGCUGGGGGAAUUCGACCAUGUUCCUUGGCGUUUGGAGCAGAUCAACUUGAAAAUCCAGGCAACCCCAGAAACCAGAGGACUAUGCAGAGCUUCUUCAACUGGUACUAUGCUUCAGUUGGAAUUUCAGUCACCAUUUCGGUGGUCUUUAUGGUUUAUCUCCAGAAUGCUACCGGUUGGGUUGUGGGAUUUGGAGUUCCUGUUGGACUUAUGCUGUUUUCCACAGCCAUGUUCUUUCUUGGCUCUUCAUUGUAUGUUAAACUGAUGGCGAACAAGAGUCUGCUUAGCAGUUUGACUCAGGUAAUCGUUGCAGCUUGGAGAAAUAGACACUUGGAAUUUCCCCCACAAGCUUCUGAUAAAUGGUUUUACCAUAAAGGUUCAAAGCUUGUCACCCCAACGCCUAAACUGAGGUAUGUUAAUAAUCAAAACGUUCCAUAAUUAUUGCUUGUUAUGCUUUUAGAUUUUCUAAAAUGAUCCAGGUUGAUUCUUCUGUCUUGCUUUCAAGGUUUCUAAACAAGGCUUGCAUAAUAAGAAACAUAGAAACAGAUCUAGAUUCUAAUGGAAUGGCCAAAUUCCCAUGGAGAUUAAGCACGAUUCAACGUGUAGAAGAACUAAAAGCAGUAAUCAGAGUACUUCCGAUUUGGUCCACUGGAAUUGUAAUCAGUGCCACCAUUAACCAAUUCACCUUCUAUUCUCUCCAAGCUAGCACAAUGGAUAGACAUAUAACACCUCACUUUCAAUUCCCAGCGGCUUCCUUCGCUGUUUUCACAAUCCUAACCCUUACAAUCUGGGUCGCAAUAUACGAUCAAAUAAUCGUUCCACUACUAGCGAAGUUCACCAAAAAAUCGAAUGGACUCACUUUAAAGCAGAGAAUGGGCAUCGGACUGGUAAUCUCAUGCUUGGCCUCAAUAGUGUCGGCAGAAAUAGAGAGAAAACGAAGAAACAGAGCAAUUCAUGAAGGUCUAGCCAACGUACCAGGAGGAAUUGUGCAGUUGUCAGCGAUGUGGCUGGUUCCACAACACUGCCUGGCGGGGUUGGCUGAAGCGUUGAACGCAAUAGGACAGAUUCAAUUCUUCUAUUCGCAGCUGCCGAGGAGCAUGGCCAGCAUUGCAGUAGCGCUGUUCUCGCUAGGAAUGGGCGGAGGGAGCUUGGUGGCAGCGCUGACUGUAAGCGUGGUGAAAAAGAGGACAAAGAAGAAUGGGAAGGGAUGGCUGUCAAAUAAUCUGAACCAGGGGCAUUAUGAUUACUACUACUGGGUGUUGAGCUUGAUGGGCGUCGCUAAUUUGUUGUACUAUUUGAUCUGCAGUUGGUUCUAUGGAGAUGAGAAAGAGGGAAUGGAACAGAGUAGGAUUUGGGAUGAUAAGGAAGCCAUUGAAGCGGAGGCCACCUUCAAUUCUUGAUUUGGAGUAUGGAUUGAAAUUUCUAUGGUCAAAGUUAACUCAUUGGUAUUCAACAUGCAGUCCAACGGAGAUUUGAUCUCCAAUCUCACUAAUGGUUUUUUGAAAAGGAAGAAAUUUUUAUUACAAAUGGGCAUCUCUUUGAAGACAUUUCUACCGUGGAAGGUUUUGAUUUUUGCCAUUGUUGUAUAAAGAAAUUGAAAGAAAGAGUUAGUAGAUACUAUAAUUGAUUUAUGUUUACUAUAACUUAUUUAUGUUUAAGUUGGCAAUAAAAAUGUUAAAAUAAGCAUACCUCAACCGAGAAUGAGAAUGCUUAAGUUUAGUUAGAUUUCCCCCUCCCACAACAUAUUUUCAACAAACAAUUUAUUGUAACAUGACUCAAUUGACAUGGUUAAGAAAACUAGGUAAAGUUUAUUAACCCACGACUACUUUCAUUAUUGUUUAUGUGGUUAGUGGUGCAAGUGGUUAAAUGCAAAUUAUUCACCAUGAUUCUCUAACAACUUCGUAUAGUUGUAAUCUUUAGGGUAUUUAAAUCCGUAAAUUUAUAUAAAUAUGAUUAGUUUACAAAAUAUUUAAUAAAAUAUUGUAGUUUAAAAAAUAUUUAUUGAAAUAUUGUAGAUUUGCACCGAAGACAUAGGAGAGAGAGUAAGAAGUUUCUAUUCACCCAAAUAUUUCUCUCUUCAACGUUGAGUUUUCAAUCCAACACCACCUUUCCUUUAUAUAUACAUCCAUGUAGUCUGACUACUUCAUUUACAAACAGAUCAGCCACAGAGUUGGCGAUAUAGGGAUGUUUCAAGGGUAGAAAAUGUCCAUACUUGCUGAAUCUAUCUACCAUCACGAAAUCACCUCAUAUCCAUUAGACUCCGAUAGUCCCUCCUCAAAAUCCAUAGAAAUGUCGCUCACACACUAUUCGGUAUUUCUAGAGGUAACAACAACCUUGUAGGUGACAAUGCCAUUGCUUUAUUUUUCUGAUAGAUCAAACACUCUUCACAAUAUUUCUGCACAUCGAGUUUCAUACCCUCCCAAUACAACUCAACAACCAAUCGUUUAUAAGUUCUAAGGAACCCAGAAUGCCCCCCAAGCACGGAGUCAUGGUAGGUGUGGAGAAUUGUUGGAAUCAAUGCUAAAGACUUGGAAAUAACCAACCUAAUUUGUAUACCUCAACAUCCCCUGCUGAAUGGAAUACUUGCUUGCCUUGUUAUCCUCCCCUCAUGUCGUUUCUUUCAUUAUCAAUUUCAGCUGGUCAUCGUUUUCAACUUCUUCCUUGAUGAUCUUCAAGUCAAUCAAGGUGGGGGCUGUAAUAUUACAAAUUUGGACAACCGGAAGCAUUCUAGAUAGAGCAUAUGUCGCCUUGUUCUUCAAUCCUGACUUGUAUACCACUUCGAAGGAAUGUCCCAAAAGCUUAGCAAUCCACUUUUGGUAUUGUGGUUGAAUAACCCUCUGUUCCAAUAUAAACUUUAGGGACAUUGAUUCAUCUUCACUAUAAACUUCCUCCCUAGAAAAUAAGGUCUCCAUCUUUGCACAGCGAGAACAACUACCAUAAGCUCCCUUUCAUACACUAGUUUAACCUGAUCUCUCAUAGCCAAUGUGUGGCUGAAGAAAGAAAUAGGUCAUUUGGAUUGAAUGAUCACUACUCCUAUACCGGAUGCAUUAGUCUCCAUUUCAAAUAGGGCAUCCAAAUCAGGCAAGGCUAAAACAAGAAGAGUCAUCAUAGCAUUCUGCAAUUUCUAGAAUGCUUCAAGGGACUCCUCGUUCCACCUAAAUCUGUCAUUCUUAAGUAGUUGAGUUAGAGGAGCGGCUAUAGACCUGUAGUGUUGGAUAAAUUUCCUAUAGUACCCUGUCAAUCCCAAGAAGCCUCAAACCUCUCAAACAUCCUUAGGUAUAGGCCAUUCUUUGAUUGUUCUAAUCUUUUCCGAAUCAACCUCAACUCCUUGAUAUGAGAUUAUGUGUCUCAAGUAAUCUACACGUGUCUGUGCAAAACUGCAUUUCUUCUUGUUCACAUAAAGCUCAUUCUUUCGUAGAACUUCUAAAGCCUUCCCCAAAUGUGCUAGAUGUUCUUCAAAAUCCUUUCGAUAAAUUACGAUGUAUCAAAGAACACAAGAACAAAUUUCAGUGAUUGAAAUGUAGAGGGUGCAUUAGUUAGGCCCAAUGGCAUAACCAUGAAUUCAUAAUGGCCUUCAUGUGUUUUAAAUGUUGUCUUCUCAAUGUCUUUACCACACAUACGAAUUUGGUGGUAUCCGACUUUCAAAUCAAUCUUAGAAAACUAUGUAGCACCAUUCAGUUCAUCAAAGAGCUCCUCAAUUACUGGUAUUAGAAAUUUGUCUGGUAUAAUAACAUUAUUCAACGCUUAGUAGUCCACACAAAAGCGCCAACUCUCAUCAUUCUUCCUAACCAAUAGAACAGGGCUGAAAUAUGGGUUGUAACUUGGACGAAUAAUUUCGGAUGCUAACAUCUCAUCCAUUAAUCUCUUCAUUUAUGCCUUUUGCUGAAAAACAUAUGUUGGCUUUUUGGCCCUUAAUCUCAAAUUAAUUUAUUUUAAUUAUUCAAUUAAUUUAUGUUUUGAUGAUAACAAAUUUGAUUUUUUUUAUUGACAAUUUUAUUAAUUUGAAUAGACCAUAUCGUAGAGCUUGGAAAAAUGAUUCUAACGCCUCUUGAAUCACCCAAAUCGAAGUUCAAAUGAAGAAAAUAUUGCUAAAAGAAGCUUAACGAAAAAAAUACCCGAGAUGGUGACGUGGCGACCAAGCAUUCAAUUUGAACCAAUUAGAGAAAGCCACUUGGAGCAAUGAAGAAGUAACAAAUGUGGCUUUUUGUUAUGUUUUAUUGGCUUUUAUAAAGAAAAUGAAUUUAAAAGAAAAAUGAUUUUAAUAUUAUUAUUUUUUCUUGUGUCUAACGGCUAGUUUUUUUAAAAGAGGGUGAAGUUGCUUUAUUGAUUUCUUUUUAAAUAAAAUAUUUUGAAAAGACAUAUUAUUAUAUUAUUAUUUGUAUUGUGUCUAACGGCUAAUUAAGUUUAAAUCUCAACCAUUCAUUUUUCUUUUACUUAUAUCUAAUGACCAAAAUGAUUUUGAAUUUAUCUUUCCUCUCUUUUUAAAUACUUCACAUUUACACAAGAUCACAACAUCUUUACAAUAAUCCUCAAGCAAAAAGCCAACAUUGUUAUUCUCUCUAAAGCUUCCAAUUUUUAUUCUUUUCAUCUUAUUCUUGAGAGCUUCUUAUUGUAUUGUGAGGAUUAAAUUUGUGAGCUUCAAAUUGUAUACUCACUCUUUUAGAGAGUUUUCUUUUGUGUGAUUUAAAAAUUUCAACAUAUUGUAACGGUUGGAUCCUAACCCGUGGAAAGGAUCGGGUUUGCUCUUGAACCCGAAAAAGGAGCAAGAAUCGGUUCGGCUCAAAUCCGUGGAAAGAGUCCAAAGAAGAUUUUCAAUCAAAAUCCCAAGGGGUGCUUGGGAAAGUGGAUGUAGGUUGAGUUUAACCGAACCACUAUAAAAUUACGGUGUCUUCUUCUCUAACUCUUUUCUAAUUAUUUUUUAAUUUAAUUUUAGUUACAUAUUCUUAUUGGUUGAGUUUGAUUGCAUACUUCCAUUCAUAUCUUUUUAUCAAUCUUGUUAUUUAACAAAGUUUACAAAGUUCUUUAUUUAAAUUUUAGAAAAUAUCUAAUUAGUUGAUUUUACUUUUUAUUUGUCAAAAAGUUUAUUUAAACCCUAUUCACCCCCCUCUAGGGUUGCCAUACCGAUCCAACAAUUGGUAUCAGAGCAAGGUUGCUCAUCUUGAAAUUUUAAUUUCUUGAUAAACUUUAUUGUUAGAGCAUUAUGGCAAACCUAUUGGCAAAUGGUAUUGUUGAAGGUCAAUCUACUUCUAGACCUCCUUAUUUUGAUGGUUCAAAUUAUGCAUAUUGGAAAGCUAGAAUGAAAAUUUAUUUGCAAUCUAUUGACUAUAAUUUGUGGUUAAUUGUUGCUAAAGGUCCUUAUGUACCCAUGAAAAAUGUUGAUAAUGUUGAUACGCCUAAAUUAGAAGAAGAGUAUGAUGAAAAUGAAAUGAAAAAGUGUUCAUUUAAUGCUAAGGCUAUUAACUGUUUGUAUUGUGCCUUGAGUAAAGAUGAAUUUAAUAGAAUAUCCAUGUGUUCUUCCGCUCAAGAAAUUUGGAAUACUCUUGAAAUUACUCAUGAAGGAACAAAUCAAGUUAAAGAGUCUAAAAUUAGCAUGUUUGUUCAUAAUUAUGAAUUGUUUAAGAUGGAUGCUAAUGAGACUAUCACCGAUAUGUUUACUAGAUUUACUAACAUCAUAAAUGCUUUGAAGGGUCUUGGUAAAGUUUAUACAACUUCCGAAAAUGUUAGAAAAAUUCUAAGGUCUUUACCUAAGACUUGGGAAGCUAAGGUAACGGCGAUUCAAGAAGCAAAGGAUCUCACCAAACUUCCACUAGAGGAGCUUAUUGGCUCACUCAUGACUCAUGAGAUCAUCAUGAAGGAGCACUUGGAGGAUGAGUCCAAAAAGAAGAAGAGCAUUGCAUUAAAGACUAUCUCCUUGGAAGUUGAUCCCGAAGAUGAGGAUGGCCUUGAUGAAGAUGACAUUGCUUAUUUCUCACGUAAGUACAAAAAUUUCAUAAAAAGAAAGAAAUAUUUCAAGAAACACCUAUCAACCCAAAAAGAGUCAAAAGGUGAGAAAAGCAAAAAGGAUGAGGUUGAUUUGUUAUGAAUGCAAAAGAUCGGGUCAUAUAAGAACGGAUUGUCCUCUCCUCAAAUCAUCUAAGAAAUCCAAGAAGAAGGCAAUGAAGGCUACAUGGGAUGAUAGUAGUGAAAGUGAAAGUGAAGUUGAAGAAAUGGCAAAUCUUGGUCUCAUGGCUCAUAGUGACAAAGAUGAUGAACAUGAUGAUAAGGUAACUCUAGAACCUCUUUCUAUUGAUGAAUUAUUUGAAAAUUUUGAAAGCAUGCAAAAUGACCUAGAAAAACUUAGUUCUAAGUAUGUUGUGCUUAAGAAGAAAUACAAUGUUUUAAUUAGUGAAAAUAAGUCUUUACUUGAUACAAUUGCUUGCUUUAAAGAGAAUGAAAAUUUUGAGCAAAUUGAAGAAUUGAAUGUCUCUAGUGAUAAGCAUGUUUGUAUUGAGAAAGAUGCUUUGCUUGAUAAAGUUAGAUUUCUUGAGCAUGAUAGUUGUGAAAAAGAUAACUUGAUUAAAGUGCUUAAAGAAAAUGAACUAAGUGUUUUACAAGAACUUGAUAAAGCUAAAGAAACUAUUAAAAAGUUGACAAUAGGUGCUCAAAGAUUGGACAAAAUUAUUGAAGUAGGAAAAUCUUAUGGUGAUAAGAGAGGUUUAGGCUAUAUUGAUGAAUCAUCUACUCCUUCAAGUUCUAAAACUACAUUCGUUAAAGCAUCACCUAUUGUGCCUAAGUUUAACAUGUCUAAUCAUGUGUCUAAUCAUGUUAAAUCUAGUUUUGUACCCAUAUGUCAUAAUUGUGGUGUUGAAGGUCACAUUAGACCUAAAUGCUUUAAAUUGAAGUAUGCUCAAAAUACUUAUUCAAGAAGAAAUUUUUCGCAAAGAGCAAAGUUUUACAUUGCUCCAAGGAAGAAUUUCUCCAAUAAAAGUAGAGUACAUAAAUUUGUUAUGAAAAAUAAAUCUUUGCAUAAUGUUGUUUGUUUUUCUUGUGGCAAGUAUGGACAUAAAGCUUAUUCUUGUUACCUAUCUAGAUCUAGUGCUUGUAAUGUCUAUGAAAAAAUGAAAUGGAUCCCUAAAUAUGUAAAUGCUAACAUUCUAGGACCCAAACAAGUAUGGGUACCAAAGGAUCAAACUUGAAAUUAGUUAUUUUUAGGUUUGUUUGAAAGCCUCCAAGAAAAACAAAUGGUACUUGGAUAGUGGUUGCUCAAGACACAUGACGGGAGACCGAUCCAAGCUUAUCUCUUUCUCCAAAAAGAAUGGAGGCAUGGUAACCUUUGGUGACAACAAGAAAGGUAAAAUAAUUGGUAAGGGUAAUAUAGGAAAUGAUUCAUCUACUUUGAUUGAAAAUGUUCAUUUGGUUGAUGGUUUAAAGCAUGAUUUGCUUAGUUUUAGUCAAUUGUGUGAUAAAGGAUUUAGAGUAAUAUUUGAUAAAAGAAAUUGCAUAAUUGAAAAUGUUAGUGAUAGAAAAGUUUUUGUUUGUUGGAAAUAGGGAUGAAAAUGUGUACAGUCUUGAUUUGAAUGAUUAUCGCUAUUAUUGAUAAAUGUCUUUCGGUUUUGGCAUAAUGAUUCUUGGUUAUGGCAUAGAAGACUAGGACAUGCUAGCAUGCACUUAAUUUCAAAUAUUUCUAAAAAUUGUUUGCUUAGAGGUCUUCCUAGUUUUAAAUUUGAAAAAGACAAAGUUUGUGAUGCUUGUCAAAUGGGUAAGCAAACUAAGUCCUCUUUCAAAUCUAAAAAUGUGAUCUCUACUACUAGACCCUUACAACUAUUACACAUGGACUUAUUUGGCCCUUCUAGAAUUGCUAGCUAUGGAGGAAAUUAUUAUGCGUUUUGUAAUAGUUGAUGAUUUUUCUAGAUUUACUUGGGUUUUGAUGAUAAAACAUAAGGAUGAUGCUUUGAAAAGUUUUAUUAGUUUUGCAAAAAGAGUACAAAAUGAAAAGGGAUUUUUUAUUUCCAAAAUUAGGAGUGAUCACGGAGGAGAAUUUGAUAAUGAUGCUUUUAAAGCUUUUUGUGAAGAAAAUGGUUUUUCCCAUAAUUUUUCCUCUCCAAGAACUCCUCAACAAAAUGGUGUAGUUGAAAGGAAAAAUCGUACUUUGCAAGAAUUUGCUAGAUCAAUGUUGAAUGAGUAUGGUUUACCUAAAUAUUUUUGGGCGGAAGCCGUUAACACCGCUUGCUAUGUUUCAAAUAGAGUUUUAGUUAGACCAUCUUUAGAUAAAACUCCUUAUGAACUUUGGCAUGGAAAAAUUUCAAAUAUUGGGUAUUUCAAAGUUUUCGGUUGUAAAUGUUUUAUUUUGAAUAACAAAGAAAAACUUGGAAAAUUUGAUUCUAAGACGGAUGUUGGUAUUUUUUCUAGGAUAUUCCUCUACUAGUAAAGCUUAUAGAGUUUUCAAUAAGAAAACUUUAGUUAUUGAGGAAUCUAUUCAUGUUGUAUUUGAAUGAAUCUUGGAAAUAAUGUUUCUAAUGAGUCUAUUUGUAGUGAUGAUUUAGAAAAAGAUUUUGGAGAUUUACUUGUUAAUGAGAAAGGCAAAGAAAUUGUUCCAAGUAUGCAAGAUGUGAACAUCAUAGAGAAGAAAGAAGAGGGUUCUUCAUCCUUGCCUAAAGAGUGGAGAUAUGCUCUAUCCCAUCCCAAGGAUCUAAUUCUUGGCAAUCCCGAACAAGGUGUCAAAACUCGUUCUUCUCUUAAUUUAUUUAGUAAUCUUGCUUUUGUGUCUCAAAUUGAACCUAGAAGUUUUAAAGAUGCCGAAUGUGAUGAGUUUUGGAUUUUAGCUAUGCAAGAAGAAUUAAAUCAAUUUGAAAGAAACAAAGUUUAGAAAUUAGUCCCUAGGCCUUCUAAUGCAUCUAUAAUCGGAACUAAAUGGGUUUUUAGAAAUAAGAAUGGAUGAAAAUGGAAAUAUCAUUAGAAAUAAAGCUAGACUUGUAGCUCAAGGUUAUUGUCAAGAAGAAGGUAUAGAUUAUGAAGAAACUUUUGCACCGGUUGCUAGAUUAGAAGCUAUUAGAAUGUUGCUUGCUUUUGCUUCUUAUAAAAAUUUCAUUUUGUAUCAAAUGGAUGUAAAAAGUGCUUUUUUAAACGGUUAUAUUGUAGAGGAAGUUUACGUAGAACAACCUCCGGGUUUUGAAAGUUUUGAUUUACCUAAUCAUGUUUAUAAGUUGAAAAAGGCUCUUUAUGGCUUAAAACAAGCUCCAAGAGCUUGGUAUGAUAGACUUAGCAAGUUUUUACUUGAGAAUGACUUUAAGAUGGGAAAAAUUGAUAAUACUCUAUUUAUUAAAGUUAAAAAUAAUGACAUGCUUAUAGUACAAAUUUAUGUGGAUGAUAUUAUAUUUGGUUCUACUAAUUCAUCUUUGUGUGAAGAAUUUUCCAAGUGUAUGCAUAAUGAGUUUGAGAUGAGUAUGAUGGGAGAACUUAGUUUCUUCCUUGGUCUUCAAAUCAAACAACUCAAGGAUGGCAUCUUCAUAAGUCAAGAAAAAUACACAAGGGAUUUGCUCAAGAAAUUCAAAUUAAAUGAAGGUAAAGUUGCAAAAACUCCUAUGAGCACUACCACUAAGCUUGACAAAGAUGAAAAAGGUAAGUGUGUGGAUAUAAAGACUUAUCGAGGUAUGAUUGGAUCUUUACUUUAUUUGACCGCUAGUAGACCGCGAUAUCAUGUUUAGUGUAUGUCUUUGUGCUAGAUUUCAAUCUUGUCCUAAAGAAUCACAUUUCCAUGCUGUUAAAAGGAUACUUAAAUAUUUGCUUGGAACUAUUGAUGUUGGAUUAUGGUAUCCUAGAAAUGUUGAGUUUAAUUUGGUAGGAUAUUCCGAUGCGGACUUUGCCGGUAGUUUACUCGACCGUAAAAGUACUAGUGGGACUUGUCAAUUUCUUGGUAGUUCCUUAGUAUCUUGGUUUAGUAAAAAGCAAAAUUCGGUUGCCUUAUCCACUACCGAAGCGGAAUAUAUUGCGGUUGCUAGUUGUUGUGCACAAAUUCUUUGGAUGAAACAAACUCUUUUUGAUUUUGGAUUAAAAUUUGAUAAUGUGCCUAUAUUUUGUGAUAAUACUAAGUGCCAUAAAUUUGACUAAGAAUCCUAUUCAUCAUUCUAGAACUAAGCAUAUAGAUAUUAGGCAUCACUUUAUUAGAGAGCAUGUACAAAAUGGUCAUAUUACUCUUGAGUUUGUAAGUUCCAAUAAUCAAUUAGCGGAUAUAUUUACCAAAACCUUUGAGUGAAGAAAGCUUUUGUAAAAAUAGGCUUGAGCUUGGAAUUAUUCGUUGUGAUGCAUCUUGAUUUUAUAUCUUACUUGAUAUUGUUACCCUAAUGCAUAUUGAUAGGGGGAGAAUUAGACAUUUUGUAUGUGUUCAUAUUUUUUUGGGAGAGCUAACUUCCUUGGUAUUGUUUUUGAUGAUUCCAAAGGGGGAGAAGUAUAAGAAAAAUAUGUUUUUAUCAAUUUGUUGCAUAAUUGUUUCUAUUGAAUAAUGCAUAUUUUUUUAGAGAAAAAUUAAUUAAGGACAAAGAAGGUUCUCUUAUCAAUUGUUUUCAAAGUAUGAUCUUUGUGGUUAUAUACAUGAGCUUUAUGGUUAUACAUCUUGAUAAUAGAAUUACUUGUUGACCAUGUGUGUUUCAAGUUAUUUUUCUUCAAUGAUUUGUCAUCAUCAAAAAGGGGAGAUUGUUGGCUUUUUGGCCCUUAAUCUCAAAUUAAUUUAUUUUAAUUAUUCAAUUAAUUUAUGUUUUGAUGAUAACAAAUUUGAUUUUUUUUAUUGACAAUUUUAUUAAUUUGAAUAGACCAUACCGUAGAGCUUGGAAAAAUGAUUCUAACGCCUCUUGAAUCACCCAAAUCGAAAGUUCAAAUGAAGAAAAUAUUGCUAAAAGAAGCUUAACGAAAAAAAUACCCGAGAUGGUGACGUGGCGACCAAGCAUUCAAUUUGAACCAAUUAGAGAAAGCCACUUGGAGCAAUGAAGAAGUAACAAAUGUGGCUUUUUGUUAUGUUUUAUUGGCUUUUAUAAAGAAAAUGAAUUUAAAAGAAAAAUGAUUUUAAUAUUAUUAUUUUUUUCUUGUGUCUAACGGCUAGUUUUUUUAAAAAGAGGGUGAAGUUGCUUUAUUGAUUUCUUUUUAAAUAAAAUAUUUUGAAAAGACAUAUUAUUAUAUUAUUAUUUGUAUUGUGUCUAACGGCUAAUUAAGUUUAAAUCUCAACCAUUCAUUUUUCUUUUACUUAUAUCUAAUGACCAAAAUGAUUUUGAAUUUAUCUUUCCUCUCUUUUUAAAUACUUCACAUUUACACAAGAUCACAACAUCUUUACAAUAAAUCCUCAAGCCAAAAAGCCAACAUUGUUAUUCUCUCUAAAGCUUCCAAUUUUUAUUCUUUUCAUCUUAUUCUUGAGAGCUUCUUAUUGUAUUGUGAGGAUUAAAUUUGUGAGCUUCAAAUUGUAUACUCACUCUUUUAGAGAGUUUUCUUUUGUGUGAUUUAAAAAUUUCAACAUAUUGUAACGGUUGGAUCCUAACCCGUGGAAAGGAUCGGGUUUGCCUCUUGAACCCGAAAAAGGAGCAAGAAUCGGUUCGGCUCAAAUCCGUGGAAAGAGUCCAAAGAAGAUUUUUCAAUCAAAAUCCCAAGGGGUGCUUGGGAAAGUGGAUGUAGGUUGAGUUUUAAACCGAACCACUAUAAAAUUACGGUGUCUUCUUCUCUAACUCUUUUCUAAUUAUUUUUUAAUUUAAUUUUAGUUACAUAUUCUUAUUGGUUGAGUUUGAUUGCAUACUUCCAUUCAUAUCUUUUUAUCAAUCUUGUUAUUUAACAAAGUUUACAAAAGUUCUUUAUUUAAAUUUUAGAAAAAUAUCUAAUUAGUUGAUUUUACUUUUUAUUUGUCAAAAAGUUUAUUUAAACCCUAUUCACCCCCCCUCUAGGGUUGCCAUACCGAUCCAACAACAUAUAUAUACAGUCUUACAUUCACUUGUUUGAUCCCAUGUUUCAAAUGUAUAUGAUGCUUGCUCUCUGGUGGUAAUUAGUCAGGCCAAGUAAAGACAUCUUCAAAUUUCUUCAAAACCACAUGCAUUGAUUCUUCCAUGGUCAACACCUCUUCUAAUGCUCCUCCUUCGACCAAAGAUACAUCCCACUCCAUGGUUCGGCAUUCCACCAGAAAUCCUUGGUUAGAGUCUUCCCAAGUUUUCAUCAUAGUCUUCAAACUUACUCUAAUUUUAGUUAAACUAGGAUCUCCCUUAAUGAUUACCUUUCUAUCAUGGUGCAUAAAAGUCAUAGUGAAAUUUCGCCAAUCUGCUUUAGUGAUGCCAAGAGAGUAAAGCCACUGUAUCCUCAAGGCCAAGCCAAUCUGUUAAAUAAACUUUUUGACAAACAAAAAGUAAAAUCAACUAAUUAGAUAUUUUUUUAAUUUAAAUAAAGAACUUUGUAAACUUUGUUAAAUAACAAGAUUGAUAAAAAAAUAUGAAUGGAAGUAUGCAAUCAAACUCAACCAAUAAGAAUAUGUAACUAAAAUUAAAUUAAAAAAUAAUUAGAAAAGAGUUAGAGAAGAAGACACCAUAAUUUUAUAGUGGUUCGGUUAGACUCAACCUACAUCCACUUUUCCAAGCACCUCUUGGGAUUUUGAUUGAAAAUCUUCUUUGGACUCUUUCGACGGAUUUGAGCCGAACCGAUUCUUGCUCCUUUUUCGAGUCAAGAGCAACGACCGAUCCUUUCCACGGGUUAGGAUCCAACCGUUACAAUAUGUUGAAGUUUUUAAAUCACACAAAAGAAAACUCUCCAAAAGAGUGAGUAUACAAUUUGAAGCUCACAAAUUUAAUCUUCACAAUGCAAUAAGAAUCUCUUAAGAAUAAGAUGAAAAGAAUAAAAAUUAGAAGCUUCAGAGAGAAUAACAAUGUUGGCUUUUUGCUUGAGGAUUGUAAAGAUUUAAUGAUUUUGUGUAAUUUAAAGUUUGGGAAAAGUGAAGUAUUUAAAAAGAGAAGAAAGAUAAAUUCAAAAUCAUUUUGGGUCAUUAGAUAUAAGUAAAAGAAAAAUGAAUAGUUGAGAUUUAAAUUUAAUUAGCCGUUAGACACAAUACAAAUAAUAAUAUAAUAAUAUGUAUUUUCAAAAUACUUUGUUUAAAAAGAAACCAAUAAAGCAACUUCACAAUUUUUUUUUAAAAACUAGCCGUUAGACACAAGGAAAAAUAAUAAUAUUAAAGUCAUUUUCUUUUUAAAUUCAUUUUCUUUAUAAAAGCCAAUAAAACAUAACAAAAAGCCACAUUUGUUACUCCUCCAUUGCUCCAAGUGGCUUUCUCUAAUUGGUUCAAAUUGAAUGCUUGGUUGCCACGUCACCAUUUCAGAUAUUUUUUCGUUAAGAUUUUUUUAGCAAUAUUUUCUUCAUUUGAACUUCGAUUUGGGUGAUUCAAGAGGCGUUAGAAUAAUUUUUCCAAGCUCUACGAUAUUAUAUAUGCAAAUUAAUAAAAAUUGUCAAUAAAAAGAAAUCAGAUUUGUUAUCAUCAAAACAUAAAUUAACUAAAUAAUUAAAAUAAAUUAAUUUGAGAUUAAAGGCCAAAAAGCCAACAAUCUCCCCCUUUUUUAUGAUGACAAAUCAUUGAAGAAAAAUAACUUGAAAUACACAUGAUCAACAAGUAAUUCUAUUAUCAAGAUGUAUAACCAUAAAGCUCAUGUAUAUAUUUCACCACAAAGAUCAUACUUGAAAACAAUUGAAAAGAGAAACUUCUUCGUUCUUAAUUAAUUCUCCCUCUAAAAAAAAUAUUCAUUAUUCAAUAGAAACAAUUAUGCAACAAAUUCAUAAAAACAUAUUUUUCUUAUACUUCUCACCCUUUGAAUACCAAGGAAGUUAGCUCUCCCAAAAAAAAUAUAAACACAUACAAAAUGUCUAAUUCUCCCCCUAUCAAUAUGCAUUAGGGUAACAAUAUCAAGUAAGAUAUAAAAUCAAGAUGCAUCACAACGAAUAAUUCAAAGCUCAAGCCUAUUUUUACAAAAGCUUUCUUCAUUCAAAGGCUUGGUAAAUAUAUCCGCUAAUUGAUUAUUAGAGCCCACAAACUCAAGAGUAAUAUGACCAUUUUGUACAUGCUCUCUGAUAAAGUGAUGCCUAAUAUCUAUAUGCUUAGUUCUAGAAUGAUGAAUAGGAUUCUUAGUCAAAUUUAUGGCACUAGUAUUAUCACAAAAUAUAGACACAUUAUCAAAUUUUAAUCCAAAAUCAUAAAGAGUUUGUUUCAUCCAAAGAAUUUGUGCACAACAACUAGCAACCGCAAUAUAUUCCGCUUUGGUAGUGGAUAAAGCAACUGAAUUUUGCUUUUUACUAAACCAAGAUACUAAGGAACUACCAAGAAAUUGACAAGUCCCACUAGUACUUUUACGGUCAAGUAAACUACCGACAAAGUCUGCAUCAGAAUAUCCUACCAAAUUAAACUCAACAUUUCUAGGAUACCAUAAUCCAACAUCAAUAGUUCCAAGCAAAUAUUUAAGUAUCCUUUUAACGACAUGGAAAUGUGAUUCUUUAGGACAAGAUUGAAAUCUAGCACAAAGACAUACACUAAACAUGAUAUCGGGUCUACUAGCGGUCAAAUAAAGUAAAGAUUCGAUUAUACCUCGAUAAGUCUUUAUAUCCACACACUUACCUUUUUCAUCUUUGUCAAGCUUAGUGGUAGUGCUCAUAGGAGUUUUUGCAACUUUACCUUCAUUUAAUUUGAAUUUCUUGAGCAAAUCCCUUGUGUAUUUUUCUUGACUUAUGAAGAUGCCAUCCUUGAGUUGUUUGAUUUGAAGACCAAGGAAGAAACUAAGUUCUCCCAUCAUACUCAUCUCAAACUCAUUAUGCAUACACUUGGAAAAUUCUUCACACAAAGAUGAAUUAGUAGAACCAAAUAUAAUAUCAUCCAUAUAAAUUUGUACUAUAAGCAUGUCAUUAUUUUUAACUUUAAUAAAUAGAGUAUUAUCAAUUUUUCCCAUCUUAAAGUCAUUCUCAAGUAAAAACUUGCUAAGUCUAUCAUACCAAGCUCUUGGAGCUUGUUUUAAGCCAUAAAGAGUCUUUUUCACAACUUAUAAACAUGAUUUAGGUAAACAAAACUUUCAAAGCCCGGAGGUUGUUUCUAUGUAAACUUCCUCCACAAUAUAACCGUUAAAACAUUUUUACAUCCAUUUGAUCAAAAUGAAAUUUAUAUAAAAAGCAAAAAGGCAAGCCACAUUCUAAUAGCUUCUAGAUCUAGCAACCGGUGCAAAAGUCUCUCAUAAUCUAUACCUUCUUCUGACAAUAACCUUGAGCUACAAGUCUAGCUUUAUUUCUUAAUUGAUAUUUCCAGUUUUCAUCCAUCUUAUUUCUAAAAAACCCUUUUAGUUCCGAUUUAGAUGCCAUUAGAAGGCUAGGAUAAUUUCAAACUUGUUUCUUUCAAAUAUGAUUUAAUUCUUCUUGCUAGCUAAAAUCAAAACUUCAUCACAUUCGGAUCUUUAAAACUUCUAGCGUUACAAUUUGAGACACAAAAGCAAGUUACUAAAUAAAUUUAGAGAAGAACGAUUUUGACACCUUGUUCGGGAUCUGCCAAGAAUUAGAUCCUUGCGGAUGGGAUAGAGCAUUAUCUCCACUUCUUUAGGCAAGGAUGAAAGCACUCUCUUCUUUUCUAUGAUGUUCACAUCUUGCAUACUUGGAACAAUUUUCUUUUGCCUGUUGUCAUUAACAAGUAAAUCUCCUUAAAUUACUUUUGUCUAAGAUCAUUCACUACAAAUAGACUCAUUGAGAAACUAAUUCAAGAUUCAUCAAAUACAACAUGAAUUUAGAUCCUCAAUAACUAAAGUUUUCUUAUAUGAACUCCUAUUAGCUUAAGUAGAGGAAUAUCCAUUAGAAAAUACCGACAUCUGUCUUAGAAUCAGAAUUUUCAGUUUAUUUCUUUAUUAUCAAAAUAAAACAUUUACAACCGAAACUCUUGAAUAUAUCCAUAUUUGGAAUUUUCCAUGCAAAGGUUCAUAAGGAGUUUAUUAAGAGGGUCUAACUAUAACGUUAUUUGAAACAAGCAAGCGGUGCUUUAACGGCUUCCGCCCAAAAUAUUUAAGGUAAACCAUACUCCAUUCACAUUGAUCUAGCAAAUUCUUGCAAAGUACGAUUUCCUUUCAACUACCACAUUUUGUUGAGGAGUUCUUGGAGAGGAAAAUUUAUGCGGAAAAACCAUUUUCUUCACAAAAAGCUUUAAAAGCAUCAUUAUUCAAAAUUCUCCUCCGUGAUCACCUAAUUUUGGAAUAAAAAAUCCUUUUUCAUUUUAUACUCUUUUUGCAAAAUAAUAAAACUUUUCAAAGCUCAUCCUUAUUAUUUUAUCAUCAAAACCCAAGUAAACAUCUAGAAAAUCAUCCAACUAUCACAAUAGCAUAAUAAUUUUCUUCCAUAACUUAGGCAAUUCUAGAAGGGCAAAUAGAGCCCACUGUGUAUAGUUUGUAAAGGGUCUAGUAGUAGAGAUCACUUUUUAGAUUUUGAUAGAUGCGACUUAGUUUUGCUUACCAAUUUGACAAGAUCACAAACUUUGUCUUUUUCAAAUUAAAACUAGGAGACUCUAACCAAACAAUUUUUUUAGAAAUAUUUUGAAAUUAAGUGCAUUGCUUGCAUGUCCUAGUCUUUAUGCAUGAACCAAUAUCAUUUAUGCCAGACACGAGAGACAUUAUCAAUAAUAGGAUAAAUCAUUAAAAUUCAAAGAGGUGUACACAUUUUAUCCCUAUUUCAACAAAACAACUUUUUCUCAUCACUAACAUUUUCAAUUAUGCCAACUUUUUUUUAUCAAAUAUUACUCUAAAUCCUUUAUCAACACAAUUGAGUAAUUUACUAAGCCAAAUCAUGCUUUAAACCACUCAACCCAAUUGAAAAUUUUCAUCAAAGCUAGCAUGAAUCUUUCCUAUAUUACCCUUACCAAUUAUUUUAAACCUUUUUUCCCUUUGUUGGGGGUUCCAAACCCAAAAAAAAAAAAAAAGGGUUACCAUGCCUCCAUCUUUUUUUGAGAAGAGAUAAGCUUUGGAUCGGUUCUCCGUCAUGUGUCUUGAGCAACCAGUAUCCAGUACCAUUGUUUUUCUUGGAGGCUUUCAACAACCUAAACAACAAAUAAUUUCAAUGUUGAUCUUUGGUCGCAUACUUGUUUGGGUACUAGAAUGUUAGCAUUACAUAUUUAGGGAUUUCCAUUUCAUUUUUCAUUAGACAUUACAAGCACUAAGAUUCUGAUAGGUAACAAGAAUAGCUUAUGUCCAUACUUGCCCACAGAAAGAACAAACAACAUUAUUGCAAAGAUUUAUUUUUCAGUAACAGAAUUUAUUAGUACUCUACUUUAAUUGGAGAAAUUUCUUUCCUUUGGGCAAUGUAAAACUUUGCUCUUUCGCCGAAAAAUUUCUUCUUGAAUAAGUAUUUUGAGGAUACUUCAUUUAAAGCAUUUAGGUCUAAUCGUGACCUUCAACACCACAAUUAAUGACAUAUGGGUUACAAAAACUAGCUUUAACAUAUGUAGACCCAUGAAUUAGACAUGUUAAACUUUAGGCACAAUAGGUGAUGCUUUAACGAAUGUAGUUUUUAGAACUGACAUGAGUAGAUGCAUUCAUCCAAUAUUAUGCCUAAACCUCUCUUAUCACCAUAAGAUUUUCCUACUUUCAAUAGUUUUGUCCAUCUUGAGAAAGACCCACCUAUUUGUCACCUUUUUAAGUAGUAUUCUUUGCUUUACUUCAAGCUUCUUGUUAAAAACACUUAGUUUCAUUUUUCUUUAAUCACUUUAAUCAAGUUAUCUUUUUUCACAACUAUCAUGCCUCCAAGAAAUCUAACUUAUAUCAAGCAAAUGCAUCUUUUCAUACAACAUGCUUAUCACUAGAGACAUUCAAUUCUUUCAAUUGCCUCAAAAUUUUCAUUCUCUUUAAAGCAAGCAAUUGUAUCAAGUUAAAAGACUAUUUUCACUUAAUUAAACAUUUGUAUUUCUUCUUAGCACAUACAUACUUACGACUAAGUUUUUCUAGCGUCAUUUUGAUUCUUCAAAAUUUUCAGAAUAGAUUCAUCAAUAGAAAAGAGGUUCUAGAGUUAACCUAUAUCAUUCGAUGCUUCAUCAUCUUUUGUCACUAUGAGCAUGAGACCAAGAUUAUGCCAUUUCUUCCAACUUCACUUUCCACUUUCACUACUAUCAUUCCCAUGUAGCCUUCAUUGCCUUUCUCUGGAUUUCUUAGAUGAUUUGAGGAGAGGACCAAUUGUUUUCUUUCAUAUGACCGAUCUUUUGCAUUCAUAACAAUCACCUCAUCCUUUUUGCUUUUGCUCACCUUUUGACUCUUUUUGGGUUGCAUAGGUGUUUCUUUGAAAUGAUUUCUUUUCUUUUUAUGAAUGUUUGUUACUUACGCUGAAAGAUAAGCAAUGUAUCUUCAUCAAUCCAUCCUCAAGAACAAAAUACUUCGGGAUAACUUCCAGGAGAUUAGUCUUUUAAUGCAAUGCCUCUUCUUCUUUUUGGACUCAUUCCUCCAAGCUGCUCCUUCAUGAUGGAUCUCAUGAGUCAUGAGUGAGCCAUAAGCUCCUCUAGUGGAAGUUUUGGUGUGAUCUUUGCUUUCUUUGAUCGCCGUUAACCUUGCUUCCCAAGUCUUCAGGUUAGAGACCUUAGAAUUUUUACUAGACAUUUUCGGAUCUGGUAUAAACUUUUACAGACCCUUCAAGCAUUUAUGAUGUUAGUAAAUCUAGUAACUAUCGGUGAAAUCUCACACCACAACAAUAUAUUAUGAACAAAAAAUUUUAGACUCUUUUAACUUGAUUUGUUCCGUUCAUGAGUAAUUCAAGAGAUUCCAAUUUUUCUUGAGCGGAAGAACACAUGACAAACACACUCAAGGCACAAUACAACAUAAUUAGCCUUAGGCAUUAACAUGAACAUUUUACAACAACCCUUAAUUUAGGCGUAGUCAACAUUAUCAACAUUUUUCAUGGGUACAUAAGCGACCUUUAGCUAACAAUUAACCACAGAAUAUAGUCAAUAUGAUUGCAAAUAAAUUUCGUUUCUAGCUUUCCAAUAUGCAUAGUUUUGAUACCAUCAAAUAAGGACGUUCUAGAAGUAGAUUGACUCAACAACAGCCAAUUACCUAAGUCUAACAAUAAAGUUUUAUUCAAGAAAUUUAAAAUUUCAAGUUAUGGCAACCUGCUCUUACCAAGUACGUAUGGCAACCCUUGAGGUGGGCUGAAUAGGGUUUAAAAUAAAUCUGACAAAAAAGUAAAUCCGACUAAUUAGAUAUUUUUAAUAUUUAAAUAAAGAACUUUGCUAACUUUGUUAAAUAACAAGAUUGAUAAAAUAUGAUUGGAAUAGUUGCAACUCAAACUCAACCAGAUUUAAGAAAUUUGUACUAAAAUUAAAUUAAAAAAUAAUAGAAAAGAGUUAAGAGAAGGACACCGCUAAUUUUAUAGUAGGUUCGUUAAACUCACCUACAUCACUUCCAAGCACUCUUGGCGAUUUGUUGAAAAUCUUCUUUAACUCUUUCCACGGAUUUGAGGCCGAACGAAUUCUUGCCUCCUUUUUUGGGUUCAAGGAGCAAACCGAUUCUCUCACGGGUUGCAUCCAACGUUACAAUAUGUUGAAGUUUUUAAAUCACACAAAGAAAACUUCUCUAAAGACGUGGUACUACAAUUUGAAGCUCACAAUUUAAUCCUCACAAUACAUAAGGAAACUCUCAAGAAUAGACUGAAAGUAAUACAAAAUUGGAAGGCUUUAGAGGAAUAACAAUGUGGCUUUUUGCUUGAGGAUUGUAAAGAUUUUAAUGAUCAUUGUGUAAAUGCUGAAGUAUUUUAAAAAGAGAGGAAAGAUAAUUUCAAAUCAUCUGGGUCAUUAGAUAUUAAGCUAACAAAUUGAAAAAUGAAGCUGAGAUUUAAACUUAAUUACCGUUAGACACAAUACAAAUAAUAAUAUGAAUAAUAUGUCUUUUCAAAAUACUUUGUUUUAAAAAGAAAUCAAUUAAAGCCAAUUCACCCUCUUUUUAAAAAAACUAGUCGUUAGACACAAGAAAAAAUAAUAAAGUAAAAUCAUUUUCCUUUUAAAUUCAUUUUCUUUAUAAAAGCCCAAUAAAACAUACAAAAGCCACAUUAUGCUUACUCCUUCAUUAGCUCCAGUGGCUUUCUCUAAUUCGUUUCAAAUCUAAUGCUUGGUCGCCACGCUCACCAUCUCGGGUAUUUUUUCGUUAAGCGUUCUUUUAGCAAUAUUUUCUUUCAUUUGACUGUUCGAUUUGGGUGAUCUUUCAAUAUAGGCGUUAGCAAUCAUUUUUCAAGCUCUCAUGAUAUGGUUAUUCAAAUUAAUAAAAUUGUUCAUAUAAAGAAAAAUGCAGGAUUGCUUAUCACUGCAAAACAUAAAUUAACUUGAAUAAUUAAAAUAAAUAAUUUUGAUAUUAAUUCGGCCAAAAAGCCAACAAUCAAUUGGUUUCUCGAAGUACGCCACCUUCAUCCCCACUACAAAACUAUGUUUAGUCGAGGCUGGAUAGCACACUUGUUCUUUAAGAAACGUCUUGAGUUAUGGGGAGUUCCAUCAAGCAUUGUAGUGACAGGUAUGGUAGAUUCGUUGGUACUCUCUGGACGAACUAUUUCCGCGCUUCCUUGGGACAGCUACAAUAUAUCUUUAAGCUGCCAUCUCAGGACGAAUGGCCAAAACUGAGGAUUCAUUGUAUGCUUUAAUGGAAUAUCUACACAUUUUGUGAUUAUGGACAAAAGAAUUGGGCUAGAUUGGAUAGGAUGUGGCUCAAUUAUUGUUUAUAUGCAUCAAACCUAGUCUUAUCCACAAUGAACGAUGCGAACCUUUCGAAAUCUUCGAGUGGAAGACACCUAUACUGCCUCAUUAUUGUUGAUCAUCAGCUUCUACAGAAAAAAUCUCAAGUACAUAACUUUACGGAAAAAUCCAUAGUAUCCACCUCGCGGUACUACGCACCCCCCCCGUUCCACAGUGCGGCGCGGCGCGAGGUUAAGCCCGCGGCUGUUGGGAGAAGACUACGAAACAUCCGGCUCGAGCUUAUUACUAAGAGAAAGUCUCGGAAGCGUAUGAUUAAGAAGCAUCAUCCGCUCUCAUAGUUUUUUGAGCGGAAGACCAACUCCAUAGAGUUUAAAAGCAAAGCAAAUUUGAUUUAGAGCGACAUCAACAUCAGAUCUUCACAGAAAAUACGAAUGGGCCCUGUUGAAGUUUUUGAAGGGAAAUUGGAAAUGCCUCCUAUAGGGUAUCGCUUGCCUGCCAUGGAAUAAAAAAUAUCUAGUCUAGCUCAAUGUGAGCAACUUGAAACCUUACCACUCAAGAAUCCAGACUGCGACAGUAGUGAACAAUGGUGUAUGGUCAUCUAUUGACCUAAGUAGCAAAGCACGAGUAAAGAAACUUGGAAGAAAUCCUUAUACAAAGAGAGUGAGGAAAGGGCGUAUAACCAUGAAGAGGCAUCAUGAAGUUCCUACUGCAAGGAAUGAAUAAGACCUCCGAGUGUGGAAGAAACACGUUAUGGAAUGUGGCUGAAGACCUUUGGAGCGUGAAAGAGAAGAAUCGAGGAAUUCUUUAGCUUCGCAGUCGACAGGGAUGUCAAUUCUUUAAGCUGGGGGAGAAUGUUUAAGCAAGCAUGCUUGUCCAGGGCGCUGUUUGCUUAUUGUCGCAUGCCCAAACACCCCCAAUGUUACAUUGUUUUAUGUUUGUAUUUUAGUUUCUACUUUUUUGCUUUCCUUUAUGAUAAUGUCUUAUAAUUUUAGCGGCUGCUGACUUGCUUUUUCUUAUUGGCGCAACACCCUCACCAGAUCACUAAAAAGCUCUAAAAUAGUAAUUAUAGAUGGCGACAUAUGGUAGUGAAUCGCUGUCCAAGCCUUGUUGCACUCUUCGCAAUCCAAAGUUUUUUCUUUUUUGCCCAAAUUGACAUGUCUUCUUAAUGCUUGCUUUAACGAUAUUUUCAUUGAAUUUCUUUCUUCUCACGUUUUAUAAAACAUUUUCUCAAGAACCUGAAGAGACGGCUACAUCGUAUCAUGUGUUUGUCUGUGGUUUUUGGAUUUGAUCAGCUAACUUGUUGUCUACGUAAAACAAGUGCAACAUAAUCAAGCCUCUCGUGUUUGAAAGCUCGCGAUUGUGACACAAGAACUGCACUAGCCAAGAAUGCACAUGAGAGGGCUAUACGAAAUGCCAAGCACGCAACCAAGUGAGUUCACAAUGUGCUUGUGUGUGAGGUUAGCACGCGGGCAUGCCCAACACGCAUGAAAAGCCUAUUGUGAGAUCACACACAGUAGCAAGCGCCCAACCAAGGCCCUGCCACCCACCCAUUUCGUGUCAGGCAGUGUCAUAUUGCGUGUUGAGCUAUUGGUAAUUUUUUGAGUUUUUUAAGUAUACUUUUAAUAUUUUCUUGGCAAAAGAUAAUUAAUUGUACUAUUUUACCAUUAUUUCAAGACAUGAGAAGAUCAUACAAAUUUAUAAACCAAGGAUUUGAGCUUGUAUCCGUGAGUGGAAAAUGUUUUAUUUAAAGUGAUUUCAAGCAUGUUCUUAAGUCAUGAUUUAUGACGGAUUUAUGAUAAAAUAUUUAAGUUUGUUAUGAAAAGUCUUUCAAGCGUGUUAUUGUUUUAAAGGUAUUUAUUCUAGCAUAUUGUUUACUCUUCAAAAUGCAUAAUAUUCAAAUGUUUUCCCACUUUCUAGGUAGAGAUCGUGUCCUCUAAGCCUAACUUGCUGCUACCGUCUACUGAAGGAUUUCAUUUUGUUAUCGUAUGUGUCCUGUUAUUUUGUACUAAUGAUAAAUUAGUCUUUUGUGCUAUCAGACUUAGGCUUUUGGGAAGGUUUUAUAAGGUUUUGUUCUAGAUAAAUAAGAUUACGUUUUUUCUAUGUAAAACUUGUCUAAGGUUGUUAAAUGAAAAAGGUUUAGCCAUUUAAGAGUUGUUGACAAGAGUUGACACUCUAGAAUUAAAAGUUGUAAGAAACAAAAAGAAACUACCCACUGUCUCUGCUAAAAGUUGGGAUAAAAUAAGAGGGGAGUGAUCAGAAAUACCCGAAGGCCAUGCAGUAAUCCAACACCAUUAACUAGAAUACGAUUAAACCGUUUUAUCAAACCAAACCCAUGAACCUUUCUAGUCCAGGUGAACCAUAAAUAAGGCACUAUAGACUAUACGAUUAAACCGUUUUAUCAAACCAAACCCAUGAACCUUUUGAGUAUAUAGCCUAAAUAGUCUAUAGUGCCUUAUUUAGAGAAACUACUAGCACCUACUUGCGUGGCUCGAGAUAUGGCGUGAAGCCAAUCGAUAGCACCCACGUCAAGAACGACACCAUUUGACCCUUAGCUUGAACGUUUAAACUCUAAACAAUAGCGGAAACAUAACACCAAAACCUUAUGUCAACCUUUGAUUCUCUAAAUAAGGCACUAUAGACUAUUUAGGCUAUAUACUCAAACUUGAUCCGCAUUUAUGUCUCGACAUAAAGUUCAAAUGUAUUAAAAAAUAGCAUUAAGACUUAGUUUAUUGGAUUUAAGAUUAUAAUUUUUAAUUUUUCAAUAACGAUGAUUUUAUUGAACUGAAUAUGAUAACAAACUACGAGUUUUAGGACAUAAAAUCCCAACAUAUGUAUUUUUGCCUCUAAUAAUAAUGUUGAAAGAUGUUUGUUGUGGUUUCAUAUUGGUGAUAUCUCUUCUGGUUGGACAUAGUCAGGUUUUGUAAUGGGUGACUUUAACGCUCUCAAAAUGCAUUUUGAGGCUUUUGAUAGGUCUUCUGUUCCUAUGGAUAUAGGGUAACUGGUUCACCUGGACUAGAAAGGUUCAUGGGUUUGGUUUGAUAAAACGGUUUAAUCGUAUUCUGGUUAAUGGUGUUGGAUUACUGCAUGGCCUUUGAGUAUUUCUAAUCACUCCCCUCUUAUUUUAUCCCAACUUUUAGCAGAGACAGUGGGUAGUUUCUUUUUGUUUCUUCAACCAUUGGGUUGAGGAUUCUUUGUUUAUUGAUAUUGUCUCUUCGAUUUAGAGUCGCCAUGUAGGAGUUUCUCUGAUUGUGAGUUUCGUGAGAAAUUUACAUAACCACAAGCCUACCCUCCAUAGACAGUUUGGUAAGCACAUUUAGAGCCUAAGUGAGGAGGUUCGUAUUGCUAAAGAGUCCAUGGAUAAAGCUCAGAGAAAGGUUGGGCAAAAUCCUAUGUCUGAUGUUUUGAGUCGCCAAGCAGGUCUUGCCAUUUUGGCCUUUUGGACGGCUGUUAGAUUGGAGGAAGCCUUCAUGUGUUAGAAGUCCAAGAGGUUUGUGAGUUGCCUUAGAACUUGUGUUACCUCCUCGAUGUUCUCCAUUAUGAUUAAUGGCUCUUUCAAGGGUUUUUUAAUGGGAGGAAAGGUUUGCGGUAGGGUGAUCCUUUAUCUCCUUUCCUUUUUAUCGUGGUGAUGGAGGUCCUCUCUCGUAUGUUGAAUCGGCCUCCUCCGAGCUAUCAGUUUCACAGGCAUUGUGAGAAGGUUAGCUUAACUCAUCUGACCUUUGCUAAUGAUCUUAUGAUUUUUUGUGCUGCUGAUGAUUCCUCUUUGAGUUUUAUUAACGAGACUAUUCGAAAGUUUGGUGAUCUCUCGGGGCUAUUUACUAAUCUUAGUAAAAUUUCUAUGUUUGUUGUAGGGGUUAAUAGUGAUGAUGUUUAUCGUUUGACUACCAGUUUGGGUUUUGUCCUCAGGCAUCUCCCUGUUCGUUAUCUUGGGCUUCCUUUACUUUCUGGGAGGUUACGACCUACUGAUUGUGCUCUCUUAUUCAACGUAUUACUAGUCAGAUUCAUUCUUGGUUUGCUAGAGUUUUAUCAUUUGCAGGUAGAUUGCAACUGGUUCGAUAUGUGCUUGAUAAUCUUCAGGUUUACUAGGCUAACGUGUUUGUGCUGCCUGUGAGUGUGCAUCAUGAGGUUGAUAAAAUCUUGAGGUCUUAUCUUUGGAGGGGUAAGGAGGAAGGUAGAGGAGGUGUUAAGGUGGCGUGGGCUGAGGUGUGUUCCUUUUGAGGAGGGUGGUCUUACUAUUCUUGAUGGGUCUUCUUAGAAUGUUGUGAGUACUAUGAAGAAUCUUUGGUUGUUGCUGACUAGUUCGAGUUUUCUAUGGGUUGCUUGGGUGGAGGCUUAUAUUCAUAAAGGAAGGUCGUUGUGGGAGGUCGAUUCUUGUGUUGGUCGGUCUGGUGUCUUUGCGCUAUCAUGUGUAAACAAGAUAGUCUAAAAGAGCAUGUUCAGAUGGAGGUUGGGGAUGGUAGGCAUUGUAAACUGUGCCUGGAUCCGUGGUUGAAGGGUGGUCCUAUCCUUCAACAAGUUGGUGAGAGAGCGCUUUAUAAUGUAACGAGUAGAUAGGAGGCUAGGCUCUCUAAGUUUAUUGGUUCGAAAGGGGAGUGGAGGUGGUCGAGGGUGUCUUUGGAUUUGAUUAAUUUAUGGGAUAGGGUUCAAGUUGUAAGUUCGUGUCCUAAUGUUGGUGAUAGGUAGGUUUGGGUUCUUGGUCGUCAUAGUGGUUUUUUGAUUGCUAGUGCAUGGGAUACUAUUCAUUCUCGUAGUGUUAAGGUUCGUUGGACAGGUUUCUUGUGGGGUGGGGAUUGAGAGUCUCGUUAUCAUUUGUUUUUUCAUGUCCUUUUGGGUGUGAUAUUUAGUCUCGGGUCCUUUAGGUUAUGGCUUCCUCUCACAGGAUUGGGUAUUGGGGGGUUGAGUUGUUUGGGGUUUGUCAUUAGAGUAUUGGUAAGGGUGUGAGAAGGAAGUUGUGGUAUGUUCUCUGGUGUGCUACGAUUUAUUUUAUGUGAAAGGAGCAUAAUCAUUGUCUCCAUGGUGGUCAAGCUCGUUUGCUCAUUGUUCUGUUUCAGCUUAUUCCAUAUUGUAUCAGUGCUCGUGUUGUUUAUUUGCGUGAGGAUGCUUAUGGUAUUAUUUAGCUUGUUUUCUUUUGAUUUUUGUUUUAUCUGCUUGUUCUCGGGCUGUGGGGUUGUUUGGACUUUUUAUGUUUUUGUUGCUCUUAAUUUUGUUGGGUUUAUUAUUGUUCUUUCUUUUGAUACUCUGGAUUCUUCCUGUUUUUGUGAGCAUUGUUCGCUCUUGUGAGGUCAUCCUUGUUGUAUUAUGAUAUUAACUUUUCAAAAAAAAAAAAAAGAUAAUGCAAUUCAACUUUAGAUAGAAACAUGAUUCGAAUUUUCAUUUCAAGAAAAUACAAGGGGACAAACUCAAGGAUUAUGUGGAUCACAAAACUUGAAUUACUAGAAUCUAAAUUUCCAUAUGUUAGAUAUCAUCAGAAGCAGUUAGACCAAAAGUUAAUUAUCAAUAUGUUAGUUCACAGGAACUGCAUAAUCAAGCACAUAAACAUCCACAUUGUCAUUCAUUGUAGGCAGCUUUGAUACACAAAAAAUAUGGAUAUUUUCAGAAGUUCAAGCAUACACAAAAAACAUAUCCUUGUCAGAAAAUAGCCAACUAAGAAAGAGAAGUUCAAGAUUUAUAUACAAAGUGCAGCUGCAAAAGGACAAGCAAGAUGCCAUAAUCUAUAUAUUAUGCAGUCGGAUAUUAAUUGGCAAGUACUAACAGCAAAGGUACCAAAAUAAAACUGUAUCAAUUUAUCUUGUCUAAAACUAAACAGUAUAUGUAAAUCUUGCAAACAAACAAGUUUUUUUGAAUCAAAACUGUCAAAAGAUUUUGAUUCAAGUGAUAAGUGGAUUGUGAUCUUUUGUGUCACCCAUCCAUUCCUCCUGUUUUAACCAUUUAAAUCAAUAAAUAAUUUUAUGUUCAAACAUAAGUUGGACAACCUUUGUUAAAGAACUGCUUCCCAAAACAAAUAGCAUUAACCACCCUUUUUUAAUUCAACACAUGGAAUAGAGAUCAAAUCUCUAAUUUUUUGGUCUAAGGUACCUUUCCUAAACUUGUCGAAUUCCAUUUUCUACACCAACUUUAAUUCGACCUCCCACGAAUUCUCUUCUUCUAAGGAUUAACUUUUCUCUAAGGCUCUGCACUCUACUAAAAAGCCUUGAUCUUCUUCCCCCCAAUGUUUUCAUAAACUUCUUAAGACAGACCUUGGCCUUGGUUAGGCUCGGAUCUCCUUGGAUUAUCACCUUCUUCCCCUGAUAUGUAAAUGUUAACAUCAGAUUCUUCCAAUUCACUCCAGUCGUUCCCAAGGAAUACAAUCACUGCAUUCCAAGUAUGGCAACUACCCCUCCCAACUUCAAGGAUAAAAACUCAUUCACUACCUUCUAGUCUCCCAGCAUUAACUCAACAUCUUCACAAAUUACCUUCCCUUUGACUACAGUGCCCGAGCCCAAAAUGACUCCAUAAUUUGACGUUUCUCUUGUACUCAGUUACAACUCUUUCACUAUUUUUUUCUGAAAUGAAAUUGCGUGUGACUCCACAAUCAAUUAGUAUUAUAGCCACCUUCCCUUGUAUCAUCUCUUUUACCUUCAUUUUCCCUAGGUUGGAUAAUCCCACCACAUAAUUAAUGGAUAAUUCCACCAUCAUUUGACUCUACGAUCUCAGGGGCAUUCAAUUCUUUCUGAUCAAUUCCUCCUUCUUCAAUAAUUUCAUACUCCUCGCCUUCUUCCUUCACAACAAUCAUUCAAUUCCCUUUGCUCUUUCAUCUUGCAUUUGUGGUCAUGAGAAUAUUUCUCAUUACAGCGAAAGCACAAUCCCUUCUUUCUAGAUUGAAAUUCAGCAUCAAAUAAGCGCUUCGUCUGUCCCUCUUUCCGUACUUCCUCUUUUGUUGUUCCUCGUAGAGUAAUAGUUCUCAUCGGCCAAUUCAUUCCUCCUUUACUUUCUUCUGUAUUCGCAAUGGUAUUAGCCUUGGUGCUAUUAUGGGAGUUUAUCACCUUUUCUCCAGAAUAUCCAAAAGAUUUGCUUCCUGACGUAUAUCUUCCUUGUUCUCUACCUUUUGCGCAAUUCGUAUCAUUUGUGCUAAUCCCUUCGACUCACAUAAAUCCAUCUCCGCCUAGAUCCACAGUUUCAAUCCGACAUAAAUGUCUCUUUUACCACCUUCUCUAAUAGGUCCGACAAAGGAGCUACGCACUUAUCGAAUAAAUUUUGAUAUUCCUCUAUCGUUGUCUUUUGUUGAAUUUGCAAGAACCUUACAUACAACGAUUCCUCCCUAACGGAUCGAAAUCGCAUAAUCUUUCCUUCAUAUUCACCCAAUCUACAAAGUUCUCUCGUUCUUCUUGAGAACGGUAAAAGUUCAAUGCUAGUCCCUCAAAACUAAUAGUGGAUACAGUCAUUUUCUCAAAUUCAGUAAGUUUAUGAAUGUUCAAAUACCUCUCUACGCAAAACAGCCAAGAAUCGGGAUCAUCUCCAUUGAAUAUCGACAUCUCCACCUUCUUAAACUUAUUGCAGUCACUAUUACUUUCAUCAUCUAUUUUCUUUCCUUCCUUCCCUGUUUCGUUCUCCCAUCUUGGUCACCCUUCGCCUUCGUCCACAUUCUUCGUCGAUGAAUUGUGCAUUGUUGUCGAUUCCAUAAUUCGUAACAUCAUCUGAUUCUACCUCUCCAUAUUUUUGGAUAUUUUGGCCAACGUCUUUUCGAUCACCAGUAUCUUACUAAUCUCUUUCUUAAUGUCUUGUAUUUCCUGGUCAAACGUCUCCAUCUCUUCGAUCCGAGUCUGAACCAUUUGCAUUCUUCUUGCCCGAGAUCAAUGCUCUGAUACCAAUUUGAUGGAAACCACUCUUGGAAUGAAAUUGCUACUAUAUUAUUAAUGAUAGAAUAGGAAUGAAAUCCUAAUUACAUUAUGAAAUCCCACUCCUGUUAUCCUCUCUCUCAAGGAAGAAUAGAAAUUCACUUUCUCAAACAAAACCUAACUUUCCCGCCCACGAUUACUUUUUAUUUAUACUAACAAUAAGGUAACUAACCCUCACAUGCUAUUCAUGUGCACGUGAUUUUUUUUUUAAUUUCUUUGUCCCUCUUCCGCUGUACAGAUGUAAUAUAGGGGGUCUAUCAGAUUCCUCCUCUUUUCAAAGCCUCCAAUCAAACUCAAUGCUAAGUUUGACUGCUCCCUUCAGAGUGACGACCCUCAUUUUCCCCCUUCCGUGGUUUGGGGAGGAUUCCUCCUCUUUUUAAAGCCCUCAAUCAAACUUGAUGCUAUGUUUAGAACGCUAAGAAUAGGUGGUCUAGUUUUGGUUAGGCCAAAAGUGAAAUUUUCCCCCAAAAGCACUAAUAGUUAGGGAACUCAACACAUUCUACUUGACUUAAUCGACUUGACUCUCUAAUUUUUAUGAGCUUUUUUCAAUGCAUAUUGCAUAUGUUUUUUUUAUAGUUGUUGAUUGUCUCACAUUUUUAUGGUUUGCAUUUACAAGCCUCUUUUUUCUUUCUUUGGUAUGAAAUAUGGUAAUAGGCCUUGCUAGAACGGUGGGGUAAUCUCUCUAUGGUUCUACACUUAGUUUCAAAGUUUGAUUACUCCCUUCGAAGUGACAACAAGCCUCGUUUUCCCCUAUUGUGGAUCAGAGAGGAUUCCUCCUCUUUUCAAAGCCCUCAAUCAAACUCAAUGCUAAGUUUAACUGCUCCAUUCGAAGUGACAACAAGCCUUGUUUUCCCCUAUUGUGGAUCAGAGAGAAUUCCUCCUCUUUUCAAAGCCCUCAAUCAAACUCAAUUAGAGUAAAAAAGGAAAAAUUUUCAUCUCGGGCGCGUGUACCUCACACGCGUCUCUCUAGGAUUUCCAAGUUCUCUCACUCGGGUGGUGAAGGAGGCGAACGGCUGGUGAGUGCUGCGGUCAGCAAGGGAUCAAAUUCGAAGGUAAUUCGUUCGGUUUUGGCAGAUUGAAUGUGAAAACUAAUGUCAUUUGGUAUCCAUUUCGAAAUUGAUUACAAUUGAUCAAUUGAACCAUUACGAAUGAUAUUCGUUUUGAUUCGGGAGAAUUAACGUCUGUCUAGAAAUUGUUUAAAUCGAUUUCCAAGCUGAAUUGAUUUGAACUAUCUUGAAAGUAUUGCGUGUGGUACGAAUCGAUUUAUUGGCUAUCAGUUCUGGGUUUGAAGACCGUGAUUUAAUUCACUCGCUGAAGGGAUCUCGCAUGAAUCUCCUCGGUUGAAUUUCAAUUUUUUUGAGUUCAUUCGUGUUCCCAGAUUGGGCCGAAAAGAUCAUCACGGGUGUUGGGUUGAUGUCCUAAGCAUGAAACGAUGAAGAAAUUAUCCAGUGACAUUGAGGAGGUGAAGAAAAACGUGUGAUGUCAAGCCUUCAACGCGUACAUGAUAUGGCGGCGAACGACCGAAGGGCGGCGACUGCAAAGGCUGACCUAAUUUCUGUGAGGAAGAAAUGGUCGGACAUGAGUGGACCCGAACCGGUUUACGUGAACCGUGAAACAUAUAAAAACUGAAAUACAGGAAAUGGACCGAGCGGAGAUGGUCCCAUGAAGAUUGUUGGCCCAAAGGCGUGUGGGCCGAUUGUUUUGAAUGAAAACGUGAUGAAGCCAGUGAGCCGGUAAAGGGGCUGAAGCCGAAUGGUGUGGACACAUUUACGAAUGGAAUUGGUCAUGGAUUUCUGGUUGAUGGGCAUCGUUGAAUGAUGGGCCGCCAUCUCACACGAAACUGGGAUCUCACAGAAGGAGUGCUUACCUGCUGGUGCUUCAAGUGUUCAGCAUGUUGGGCAAAUUGCAACAGCCGAAGGAUAUGGACCUGGGCUGGAUGCUAUUGCAAGUGCCCCAAAGAUUGGGCCGGUUGAUGGGCAUUUGAAUGAUGGGCCAGCCAUUAGAGAAUCGUUUGGUAUUAAUUCAAAUGGUGGGCCGCCUGUUCGAUUCGUGGGCAUGAGGUGCAGAAAUCUAAUAAUUCUGGAGGUGCAGGCAAAAAUUCAUGGGCUUCCUUAUUUGGCUCAACAAGAGGUUUCUCUAUGACCUAUACACCUCUGACUACCGUGGGAGAGAAAAUUGUGGUGACCCCGUUUGAAGAAGUUAUUAGUCAAGGAGUUAGAGUGUGGGAGAACUCCCUCGUCAGCCAAUUAAUUGAUGCAAAAUUGCUGUAUCUAGUCAUCUAUCGUCUUAUAGAGAAGAUUUGGGGUAGAAUUGAAAUGCCAACAAUUACUCUGAUGGAGAAUGGGCUCAUCUGCUUUCAAUUCAAACAUCUGAAGUCGAUAGAGUGGAUCUUAUCCCGUGGCCCAUGGCACCUUGGAGGCAAACCUAUGCUCCUCCGCAAAUGGACUCCAGGUAUAGUUCCUGAAUCCUUUGUCUUUGAUUCAGUUCAUGUUUUGAUAAAGUUAGGGAGGAUUCCGUUGGAGCUAUGGACGGAUGCUGGUUUGGCUGUGGUAGCGAGUGCAAUAGGAAAACCUCUUUCAGUUGAUCUUGCUACUAAAGAGAGGCGUCGUCUUUCUUAUGCCCGUAUAUGUGUGGAAUUGAAUGUGGACAGUAUUAUGCCUGCCGAAGUAACAGUCAACCUUAGAGGAGAGGAAUUUAUUGUAACUGUCACUUAUGAGUGGAAACCGAAAAAAUGUAACUUGUGUCGAUCUUUUGGACACUCGCAGAACACCUGCCCUAAGAAAAGAGGCAAUGAAGAUAGUAAAAAGGAAGCUGCAAGUAAAGAGGUUCCUGUUAAAGAGGUUGUUCCUACUAAAGAGGUGGUUCCAAUUGUGGGGAGUAUGAGAUGUUGUGUUGGAAUCCUUCCAACACAUGGAAGAAGGAGAAAUUAUUACCCAUAAACUGCCUGAAAAGGUGGAGGUAAAUUGGGAGGAAUUUACCCCAGUUGACAGGAAAAAUAGGGGAAUGAUCUCUAUUUGGGACAGAGGGAAAAGGGCGGAAGUGAGUAUCACUAACUCCUUUAACAACCUCAUGGAGGUGGAUAAAGGAGAUAAAUGGCCUUUAUCUAUAGUGGAUGCUCCCCUCCUCCCUUACGAGUAGAUGACUCUUCUAUGGUCCUUUUGAGUACUAAGGUGAUGUAAUUCCUAUGGGAGAGGCGGCUCCCAUACGACCUCAUGGUUAGUUGGUGUACGUGGAACGUGCGGGGCCUUAAUAGCCCUAUAAAGUGUAGAGCGGUGAAGGACUUCUUAGCUGUGUCUACGGUGGGUUUCUGUUGCAUCCUGGAGACUAGAGUUCGAGAGGAGAACUUUGUCUCGAUAUCUAGAAGAUUUGUGAUUCGUGGGGUUCAUUAGUAACUACAGCGAUAGUGGAGCAGGUCGAAUGUGGAUUAUGUGGAAACGUAACAGUUUUGUGUUCACGACUAACGAGGUUGUCGACCAGUUUAUUUUGGUGUAAUAACAGAUUUGAUCUCUGGGGAGAAGGUAGAGGUUCUGUGUGUGUAUGCCUAUAAUAGUAACAUCGAGAGACGUGUUUUAUGGAGGCAAAUGGCUGAGAUCUCUGCUGGUUGGAGAGGACCGGGUAUGGUCUUGGGUGAUUUUAACACCAUCAGACUCCAGUCUGAAGCAUUCGGGGGUGCUCCGAACGUGGGGGAUAUGGAGGAGUUUGACAUGGCUAUUCGAGAGGCGGACCUUGUUGAACACGCGGUCCAGGGGAACUGGUUUACUUGGACUAGUAAGAUACAUGGGUCGGGUUUGAUGAAGAGACUUGAUCGUAUCCUAGUGAAUGAUGAGGGGCUUAGUACAUGGCCUAACAUGAGGGUUAACGUCCUCCCGUGGGGUAUUUCUGAUCAUUCUCCCAUACUUGUCUAUCCCAGUAAUCAGCGAAGCCAACAAGUGGUCUCUUUUCGUUUCUUUAACCAUUGGGUUCAAGAAGCGUCCUUUAUGGAUGUUGUGUCCUCUGCUUGGACCAAAGAUACUAGAGUUUCUCCAAUUGUGAAUAUUGUGAGGAACUUAAGAAAUCUCAAGUCGAUUCUUCGCAGACAUUUUGGUAGGCAUAUCCGGACCAUCAGUGAGGAUGUUCGUCUUGCCAAUGAUACCAUGGACCGAGCUGAAAGAGAGAUGGAGACGAACUCUCUGUCGGAGGAGGCGAGUAAUCACGCGAGCUUAGCCACGGUAAACUUUUGGAAAGCGGUUAGAGUGGAGGAAGCCGCUAUGCGUCAGAAGUCGCGAACCAGAUGGUUGAAGCUAGAUGACCAGAAUACUGCCUUUUUUCAUCGAUCUGUUCGAUCAAGGCAGAGCAGCAAUGCUUUGAGAUCAGUUAUUGACCCAGAUGGAAAUCGGUUGACUAACCAUGAUCAGGUGACUCAGGUGGUAGUGAAUUAUUUCAAAGAUAGUCUGGGUUCUCAGAAUAUUAGCUAUGAGAGCUCUCUACUAGUAUUGAGGAGAUUGUUCAGUUUAGAUGGACUGAGGAGUGUUGCAGGCCCUCCAGUCGCCUAUUGGCAGGGAGGAAGUGAGACGUGUUCUGUUCUCCAUGGAUGGUGNNNNNNNNNNNNNNNNNNNNNNNNNNNNNNNNNNNNNNNNNNNNNNNNNNNNNNNNNNNNNNNNNNNNNNNNNNNNNNNNNNNNNNNNNNNNNNNNNNNNNNNNNNNNNNNNNNNNNNNNNNNNNNNNNNNNNNNNNNNNNNNNNNNNNNNNNNNNNNNNNNNNNNNNNNNNNNNNNNNNNNNNNNNNNNNNNNNNNNNNNNNNNNNNNNNNNNNNNNNNNNNNNNNNNNNNNNNNNNNNNNNNNNNNNNNNNNNNNNNNNNNNNNNNNNNNNNNNNNNNNNNNNNNNNNNNNNNNNNNNNNNNNNNNNNNNNNNNNNNNNNNNNNNNNNNNNNNNNNNNNNNNNNNNNNNNNNNNNNNNNNNNNNNNNNNNNNNNNNNNNNNNNNNNNNNNNNNNNNNNNNNNNNNNNNNNNNNNNNNNNNNNNNNNNNNNNNNNNNNNNNNNNNNNNNNNNNNNNNNNNNNNNNNNNNNNNNNNNNNNNNNNNNNNNNNNNNNNNNNNAUGGAGAAUUUUACUAUCUUCCUCAUUAUUGGGAGUGGUUAGAGCUCGUUGUUGCUAGAAAUACGGCAGUACUCAAGCGAGCCUCCCUAUUUAAUGCGUGUGAUGGCUUCCCUAUAUACAUAUGAUCGCAACAGUGACAUUGAUCGGGCUUUCUGCGAGGCAUGGUGUCCUUCAACAAACACUCUUCACACCUCAGCUGGUGAGAUGUCCAUCUCCUUAUGGGACUUAUGGAUACUAGGAGGACUCUCGAUUAAAGGUAGAUUUUAUGAAGAAAGCAUUCCUUGCCACCAAGACUUAAUAGGAUCACCUGAUGUAUGUCCAAGAAGUUGUGAGCAUUUAUUUGCAGCCUAUUACCGCAUUGUUUCUCAACGCAUGAUCACUCUCAAAUCACUGUAAGUGAAUGGAUCUCUUUUUGGGUUACACGAUCUGAGGUAAAGUAUUCGAAACCGCCUCCUCGAAAGCCUAAAAAGACUUCUCGCCCUCGCUCAACUCAUAAUCCAGAUGGAAUUCCCAUCAGACGUCCUGACUGGUCUAAAGCUGAACUCAAAGUGUUCCUUGACUUAAGCGUCACUGAUGAUCAUAGGGACAAAACCUAUCUAGCGGCAUUUCUCUCUUGUUGGCUAUGUGUGUUUGUGUUCCCUGAUAAGCAACUUUCCCUUCGUCCGGAGGUUUUUAAGGUUGCUAGCCUCAUGGCGGAAGGCUACACAUUUAACCUUGUCGUCCCUGUUUUAGCUAAUAUUUAUAGUGGCCUACGCCAAGUUCAUGAUUCUACUUCAUCACUUGGUUAUUCAAAUGCCUGUUUUCCUCUUCACUAUGUCCAUGGGUGGCUUGCUCUUUACUUCAACACUCAUUAUAAAGCCCCUAGGAGUCUUAGGGGUCCUCGCAUGGUUGAAUUUUCUGGUGAAGGUGGGGCCAAAUAUUAUACUAAUCUUGAGGCUCGAACACAUAUCCACAAGGGAAAGUAUGUGUCAUGGCAUGCGUGUCUUCCAACAAAGAAUAAGGACGAACUCUUAACGGAUGAUGGAGAGUUAAUUAGUUGGAAUGCUUCAUUUUUCAUAAGCAUUCGCUCUUGUUUUCUAUCCUCGCAAUGUGGAUCCUCCACAGUUAUUGAGCCUUAUAGUCCUUGUCGCUUUAGCCGACAAUUUGGAUUUUAUCAAGACGUGCCAUAUGACUUAGGUGAAGAAAUUCCCGAAGCCAAUUUUUUAACGUACGAUAUUGUUGGAUGAUUUGUAUUCGCGAGAAUACACUUUCCCAAGUAUAUCUUCCUGUGUCUGCCCCUAAUCCAGACACACAUGUUACCUCUCAUUAUAAGGUCUGGUGGCUUGCAAAACACGGUGAUUACCUCCAAGAAGGAGUACAACAUUUGAUAGAUCGUCCUACUCCCCCUCACAUCAAAUCCAAAACCACAAAAAAGAUUGAACAUAAUUUUGGUAGUGGAAAUCAGAAGAUAUGCUCCGAUGAAACUGAUGAACGACUUGUGGAGAAAAUUGAGGGAGGGACAAAACGCUUGGUGGAUAAUUUGUCUCUUUCUACACGAUUUAAACAUCUUAUUAAAGGUGGUAUUGACAAUAUGGGUAAGGACAACCGCUUAUCGAUAGCUACCAAGCAUCCUUCUGAACGUAUUGAGGACAGUCAAAGCAGCAAUGAUGAUCGCCAUUGGAAGAGACCCAAGAAGCCCAACAAACAGUCGAUCGAUGAUGAAGAGUCUCCUAUUCGGGUCCCUGAUGCUGCACAAUUCUUCGAUGUCCCUUCCCCCAUGGUUUCUUUUCGUCUCCCUUUUUAUUUAUUUAUUUAUUGUAUUUUCUCUCCUUUACUCCUCUUAUUUCUUGUUGUUAAUAUUAUUUUGCAGUCUUCUUUAGGUGAUCACGACCUACACAUCGAAGAUACCCUAGAGUCGAUGCCGAAUCUAGAAGACUGUAACGUUGUACUUUCUUAUAAUGGAAACUCUAAGGAACCUAUAGGCGCAAAUAUUGUGUCUGCUUGUCCUCCUGUGAUCAAGGGACCUCCUCAAAAAGUGGAAGGCACGGAGCCUAUUACAGUUUCUGAGAUUUCUCAUUUUUGUGCUGACAGCUUAAUUUCUGACCUCCGACGACAGGCUGCCAUAACCUUAUGGGAAAACCUACGACAGAAGAUCAUUCGUACCCCUUUUGAACGACUGAGUAGUCUUGAACCAGAAAUGCAUAAGAUCUUUGAUGCGAUUGCGACUAGCGGCAGCGACAACCUUAUUGUUUUGAGGGAGCUUGUGAAUGGUUACUUCCAAGGUGUCGAGAACCAUAAUCAAAUACAUUCCUCAUUUCUACUCCAAUCAACUAAGGAUGUUCAGCUAACGGAGGCAAAAGGUUUUGUGAAGACUCUGCGAGUUGAUGAGAAUCGUAUAUUGGCAGAGACCAACACUGCUAAACGUCGUCUUACACGACUGUCCGCCAAGGAGGCUAAACUAGAGGCAAAACUAAAGAUGGUGCGGGCUGAGUCUGCUAAACUUUCUGGAAUAAUUUUUAAGAACGACCUGGAGCUGAAGCAGAAGCAACAUGAGAUUUCGAAGACUUGUGAGGAAAUUGACAAACUCGAAUGUGCCCCGAUCGUUGGAGAUAUUGAUGCUAAAAUGCUAUCAACACUUCGUGAAUCUUUAGAAAGCACACUAGAGGAGCUGAAGAACUUUAAAUGGACUCCAUGAUUCUCUGCUUUCUCUUAUUUAUCUACUUAUGCCUUUUUAAUUUUUUUUUUGCUAGAAGUUUAUAAUAAAAAAAAAUUAUUCUUUCAUUGUUCCACUCCUCAUCAUAUUUUCUAUUAAAUGUAAUUUGUCUUUCUUCCUUUUUUUUUAUUGGACUGAACUUAAAGUUUCCUUUAAGCUGCCUACGUACCCUUUAUAAUAUAGGGAUCAAGUCAUAACAUAGUUCAACUUUUUUUUUUUGCUGGACUGGGCUUAAGGUUUUCCUUAAGCUGCCUACGUACCCUUUAUAAUAUAGGGAUCAAGUCAUAACGUAGUUCAACUUUUUUUUUGCUGGACUGGGCUUAAGUUUUCCUUAAGCUGCCUACGUACCCUUUAUAAUAUAGGGAUCAAGUCAUAACGUAGUUCAACUUUUUUUUUGCUGGACUGGGCUUAAGGUUUUCCUUAAGCUGCCUACGUACCCUUUAUAAUAUAGGGAUCAAGUCAUAACGUAGUUCAACUUUUUUUUUUUGCUGGACUGGGCUUAAGGUUUUCCUUAAGCUGCCUACGUACCCUUUAUAAUAUAGGGAUCAAGUCAUAACGUAGUUCAACUUUUUUUUUUUUUUUUUACCUAACAAAAUUAAGCAUAAAAUUUUUUAAGAAAUUUACCAUUGAUUGGGCCAAUUCGUAGUCCGUCUUGAUCAACGAUCUUGUAUGCGCCAUUUGUAUAAACUUCUUUAACAAUGUAAGGUCCAUCCCAUUUAGGUGUGAACUUAUUUCCUGUAUGCCUUGUUGUGAUGAUCGGUCUCCUUACGGCAAGUACUAGAUCACCGACUUGAAAGGAGCGAGGUUUAACGUGUUUAUCAAAAGCUUUGGACAUUCUCGCUUGAUAACAUUCCAAUGCUUGCUGAGCCUCUAAUCGCUUUUCGUCAAGUGCUUCUAAUUCUUGAAGACGUAACUUCACAUUAUCUUCGGUAGUCAAUCCCUCUUGUACUGCCAUUCUUAGUGACGGAAUUUCCCUUUCGAGAGGAAGGACAGCCUCCACACCGUAAACAAGCGAAUAUGGUGUAACCCCUGUAGGGGUGCGAUGAGUCGUCCGAUAAGCCCAUAAUGCCUCGCCGAUCUUUUCUUGCCAAUCCCUCUUUGACUUGGAGACAAUUUUCUUUAAAAGAUUACACAAUGUUUUGUUGAAUGCUUCUGCUAGUCCAUUCGCAGCUGCGUUGUACAUGGAUGACUUAUAUUGCUUGAAUUUGAAUUUUUCACAUAACUUGUCCAUCAUACUAUUGGAGAAUUGCUUUCCAUUAUCCGUCACGAUUCGAUGUGGAAUACCGUAUCGAUAGAUGAUGUGUGUUCGAAUAAAGUCUGCCACGUUCUCCUUCUUGGCUUCUCUCAAUGAAAUGGCCUCAGCCCACCUUGAAAAAUAGUCUGUUGCUGCUAGGAUAUAAGAAUGUCCUGCUGAUGAUUUUGGUGUAAUGGGGCCAACCAGAUCGAGUCCCCAAGCCUCAAAAGGCCAAGAAGCCACAGUUGGAUGAAGAGGUUCUGGAGGUUGGUGUAUGAAGUUUGCAUGGUAUUGACAAGGCUCACACUUCUUCACAUAGUCUAUUGAAUCUUGGAUCAUCUUAGGCCAGUAGUAGCCCAUUCUUCUUAGCUGGAAUUGAAGCUUUGGUCCCGAUUGAUGUGCUCCACAAACACCUGCAUGUACUUCCUUUAGAGCUUUUACCGAAUCUUCCUUUCCGAGACAUCGAAGGAAGAGCCCUUCAAGAGAACGGCGAUAUAAAGUUCCCUUGUAAUAAAUGAAGUGUGCUGCCCUUCUUCGUAUCUCAAUUUUAUGACGAGAAUCCUUUGGAAGCUUUCCAUGUUCAAGAUACUCUAUGAUGGGUUGACGCCAAUCUUCUUCAUCAAUCAAAUAGGAUGUUGCCAUGUUCACUUCCUGACAUUCAGGCCUAACUGGGGGUAUAAUCCAUCGUUGACAAAGUGGUAUGUUCAGAGUUACAUCAUCUGGCAUGGUCAAGGCCGUGGCUAAAUUUGCCAAUGCAUCCGCUCUCUUAUUUUCUACUCUAGGGACAUGUUCUAACAUCACAUUAUCAAACUUUUCCAUCAAUUGUCGAGCAUAAGCAAAAUAUGGCUUCAAGUCUUCAUGUUUCACGUCAUAUUGAAGCGAGAGUUGAUUGAUUAUCAAUUUUGAAUCACCAUAGACCUCUAUGAAUGACACUCCGAUUUCUAAUGCUAUUUGAAGGCCAAUUAUCAAAGCCUGAUAUUCAGCCACAUUGUUUGAACACAAUUCGGAAAGUGCAAAGCUAUAAGGCAACAUAUGCUUCUCAGGAGAAAUGAGGACAAUGCCUGCCCCCGCACCACUUCUUCGAGCUGCACCAUCGAAGUACAUAGUCCAAGGUUCCAUAACUUCUGUGAAGAAAACCUCAUCGUCUGGUAGGUCAUCACAUAACUUCCAAUCCGAAGGAAUUGGGUGGUCUGCUAAAAAGUCUGCUAGCGCUUGUCCUUUUAUCGCCUUUUGGGGAAUAUAGACAAUGUCAUAUUGUUGGAGUAGAACCGCCCAUUUGGCUAAGCGUCCAGCGAUGAUUGGCCUGGAUAGAACAUACUUUAUAGGGUCUGCUUUUGCCACUAGAUGAACCGUGAAGGCCUGCAUAUAAUGCCUCAACUUAUCAAUGGCAAAGAAAAGUGCAAGACACAUCUUUUCGAUAGGAGAAUAGUUAACUUCAGCCCCAAUUAAUGUUCUGCUUAGAUAGUAGAGAGAACGCUCCUUUCCCUUUACCUCUUCUUGUGCCAGUAAUGCUCCUAAGGACCUUUCUUGUGCAGCAAUGUACAAUAUUAGUGGUUUGUCAGGUACUGGAGCUCCCAGCACUGGGGGAGUAAGCAAGUAUUUCUUUAUGCUAUCAAAAGCGUUCUGACAAGCUUCAUCCCACACAAAAUUUUCUCCUUUUCUCAUCAACUUUUGAAAAGGUUGACACCGACCGGCCAAGUUAGAGAUGAACCUUCGGAUGUAAGCCAGUCGUCCUUGGAGACUUCUUAGGUCAUGCAAACUUUUAGGUCUUGACAUCUUCUGAAUGGCAUCAAUCUUGGACUGGUCUAUUUCGAUCCCUCGAUGCCUUACAAUGAAGCCAAGAAAUUUUCCUGAAGUUACACCAAACGCACACUUGAGAGGGUUCAUCCUUAGCUGAUAUUUUCGCAAGCGAUCAAACACGACUUUUAGAUCCUUCAAAUGGUCUUGUCGUCUCUUUGUUUUGACUACAAGAUCAUCAACAUAACAUUCAACAUACCUGUGCAACAUAUCAUCAAACACUUUCUGCAUGGCACGUUGAUAAGUAGCGCCGGCAUUUUUCAAUCCAAAGGGCAUCACCUUGUAACAGUAUAUUCCCUUUGGAGUUCUGAAAGCUGUCAUUUCUUCAUCUGAGAGGGCCAUCCGUAUUUGAUUAUAUCCAGACGACCCAUCCAUAAACGACAACGCCUCGUGUCCAGUAGUUGCAUCAACCAUGAUUUCGGUGAUGGGCAAGGGAAAAUCAUCUUUAGGGCAUGCAUUAUUCAGAUCGCGAAAGUCUACACAAACGCGAAGUUGUCCAUUUUUUUUUCUAACAGGGACAAUGUUUGCUAUCCACGUUGGAUAUUUGACCUCGCGAAUGAAUCCUGCUUCGAUCAACUUGUUGACUUCCACCUCGAUUUGAGGGAUAAGCUCCGGUCGAAAACGUCGUUGUGCUUGUUUAAUCGGUCGAUAUCCGGGUUUAAUUGCAAGAUGAUGGACUGCUACUUUUGGGUCAAGUCCUGGCAUCUCCUUGUACGACCACGCAAAGAUGUCCCUGUAUUCGGUGAGCAAACUCAUAUAUUUAUCCACCUCUUCGUUAGAGAGGGACGCACUAAUGAAAGUCGGACGUGGUUCCUCUAUUGUACCAAGGUUCACCUCUUUUAGCUCGUCUACAGUAGAUUGACCACCAUCCUCUAAACUUUGUGGGGCAUUUUCUGCGUCUUCUUCAUGAGUUCCAGUCUCUGAUUCCUCAAUAAUGGUGAUGUGAUGACAUGAAGUUUCACAUUCCCCUUGUUCCGACCCUUCUUUUUCAGGAUUCGUUAGUAUAACAUCAUGUCUUUUUACCUUUAACGAACCUUGACUUGUAUUGAGAGUAACAAAAGUUUUUCUUUUCAUGCGAGAAGGAACGUUGCUAUGAAUUUCUCCAUUUUCCUUUGUCUCGCAAGGAAACUUCUUACUACGAUAAUUAUCGACAUCUGUAUGCUUAAUUCGACGCCAAACUUUCACACGAGACAUUGGUUCCUUCUUCUUUGUAUCUAUGUUGGAAUCAAUGUUGUCGUGUGAUCCUUUAUCCCCGAGAUGAUUAAAAAUCGGAGCACGGGGUGCUUGUACAUUUUUCUUUUUAGACACACCUAGCCUUUCAAAGGCUGAUGGUCUUGUAGUUGUCAAGGCAUGGCAUGUGCUUUCUUCCUUUAUGGGAGUCGUAGUUAGCCUUCGAAAGACCGAAUGUCUCUCAAGGUUUGGUACUGACUGGAGCCUUUCUCUUUCUGCCUCUGUCAUGCUUAGCCUUUCAAAUACUACGGGACGUGCAACAGAUGGUCUAAUUCGAUCAAAUACUGAGAUUCUCUGAUUAUCACCUUCUUUUACGUCAGUAUUGUCAUCCUCCUCUAUAGUUAUAUGAUUGAUGUCAACCACUUUUUCCUUCCCCUUUUUAGUUAUACGGAUCGGUUCUGGCGACUUGUAUCCGAGUCCUUUUCUCGACACGGGUAUAGAAUGUCCUUCCCGUAGAAGCUUCUUUUGAGUUGAGGAGAGCUCAGGUCGGUCAUGAAUUUCCAAGCUUUUAAACUCGGUGUGAGCUGUGAAGUCAUAACCUGCUUUCGCCAUCAAUUUGUAAGCCUUGGGGUCGAAUCCGUCUUUCGUUCGCCUUUGGGGCAAGUUUGCUUCCACCAGAUCUACCUUUACCUCCUGCUUCGCUAUCUUAGUUAGUGGUGUAGUGAAGCUUUCUUUUAUGAUUUCGAUGUCCCAACUUUCAAACCUUUUGGAGACUCCAUGAAUGGUGAUUCGCCUUUCUUGCGCCUUGACAGAGGGACAUAACGCAAAACUGGUGUGUUUGCAGCAUUUUCAUCCUUCAAGAUCAUACCCUUUGUGCUGCUAGUGUAUGCUUCACCCUUUCCAGAGUUAAAGGUUCUCGCACUUUCAUGUGGUUCUGUGGUUGCGAGUGAUUUCAGUUGUGAAUUAUCUUCUCCUUUUGUAAGAGGGGUUUCUGCAGGCAAAACUUCUAAAAUAUUAUUAUUCUUUGAAUAAAACUUUGCAUCUGCGAAGUGAGACUCAGCUUCUGAGAAUGGAUUAGAGUCGGCUUCAACCUUCUUUACACCGUCCUGAUAAAAUUUGAAGCACUGAUGCAGUGUUGAAGUUACUACUCCGUUUCCAUGAAUCCAAGGACGCCCUAGUAACAACUUGUAAGUAGUCCUUGAGUCUAUGACAUGAAACAAUGCACUGGCCUUUAGGUCGCCAAUUAUGAGUUCUAACCGUAUCAUGCCUAUUGCUCUUUGGCUACCUUGGUUAAAACCUUGAAUUACUAGCUUGCUAUUUGAGAGCUCGUCCAUCAAGAUGCCUAAUUGCCACAUAGUCGACUUUGGCAUUAUGUUGACAGCUGAGCCAUUAUCAAUGAGGAUUCGAUCGACUCUCUGUUCUCGAACGUAUCCAGAAACAUACAAAGGUCUAUUAUGAAGUUUAGAUCCCAACAACAAAUCCUCAUCUGAGAAGUCUAUAGACAUACAAUAAGAACCACUCUCAUAUGUCAUAGUCGGAGUACUCGAACUUGAUGCUCUUGAAUUUAGCAAUGCAUCAAUAAGGAUGGUUUUGGUCUCUUGAGGAAGUGAUAAUAGAUCCUCUACAUUAAACCUUGAAAGGUCUUUUGAUACUCCCUCUCCUUCUAGUGAUCUUGGAGGGAUUAUUUCUUCCUCCGUUGUGUUGAUAGCAUGACACGCAACGACUUCUGGGUCUUCAUCCUGAUGAUCACAAAGGAAGCUUUUUGGAAGGAAGUCUGCCAAGGUCACUAAGCGUUGAGGUCGAGAGAAAUUCAUGUCUUCAUUAUGUACGAGCUUAAGCUUAUGAGUCUUCUUCUUUUUCUUAUUCUUUUGAGUCUUAUUUCCUCUUCUAUAGUUUUGGUAAGAGCGAGACUCUCUUUGGGUCGGGAUCGACUGUCUUUUCUUUCGGUGGGUCACCACUAUCCACCCUUCAUCGUCUUCUUCAAUUGGUCUUUUCUCUCCUUGAGGAUCCUCGUAUGAGAUUUCCUGAAAGAAUUGGACAACUAUAGGCUCAAAGGUCCCGAACUGGACCAAGCUUUUCCUUUGCUCAAAAAUCAAUCUCGACGAAGAAGCCUCAGACAUUAUCGUCACUUCAGCGUGGUUUGUUUGAGCUACUUCCUCCAAAUCUAGCUCAAUCCUUUUCUCACGAGCCAACCUUAGAAUUAGCUCCUUCAGCACGAAGCAUUUCUCUACUGGAUGACUGAUGACCCGAUGAUACUUGCAGUAAUUGGGAUCAUCUACCUUUCCUGCUUGCUCAGGUCGUUUACAUUCUGGCAGCUGGAUCAGCUGCUUCUCUAGUAGUUGCUCUAGCAUGUCAGCGAUAUCUGAAUCAGGAAAUGGGUAAACUUUUUCCUGCCUUUCUUUUAAAGUCAGACGUCGCCUUUCGCUUCCAUCAUCCUUCUUUUCAACCCUCGCUUCCUUUCCUUUGGAGAAUUUCAGCGGGGUUGUGUUUACGACCAUAGAUUCUUUCGAGGUGCUUUUCACUAUCUUUUCAGCACCUUUCAUCUCUUUCUUAUCUUUCUUUACUUCAGGAACAAGAAAAUCUUUAGUUCCUCUACUGGCGAUGCUCAACUCCAUAUCAUGAGCUCGAGUUGCCAGUUCUUCAAAUGUGCGGGGCUUUAUUCCCUGCAAAAUGUAGAGGAGUCCCCAGUGCAUGCCUUGGGUGCACAUUUCUACAGCCGACAGUUCGGUGAGCCGAUCUUUACAGUCAAGACUUAGAGCUCUCCAUCUAUUGAUGUAGUCGAUGACUGGUUCUCCCUUUCUUUGUUUCGUAUUUGUAAGCUCCAUCAUGCUUACAGUACGCCUGGUGCUGUAGAAGCGAUUGAGAAACUCCUUUUCUAGUUGUUCCCAACUCUCAAUGCUUUCUGGCUCCAGAUCAGUAUACCAUUCAAAAGCAUUUCCUUUCAAGCUUCGAACAAAUUGUCUGACUAGUUGAUCUCCUCUUGAUCCUGCAUUCUCACAUGUUUCGACGAAGUGAGCAACGUGCUGUUUUGGAUUGCCCUUUCCGUCAAACUGCUGGAAUUUUGGAGGCUGAUAUCCAAGCGGCAUUCUCAAGUUGUCGAUUCUUUUGGUGUAUGGUUUAGAGUACAUGAAAGAAGUCUGAGAUGGGCCUCCAUAUUGUGCUCUGAUGGAGUUUGUGAUCAUAUCUUGUAAUUGUUGAACCGAGAGAGAAGCCACAGAAGUUGAUUGUUGUUGUGGCUGAUUUUCUUGUACCACGUUCUUCCCUUUGUCAUCAACUUUAACGACAGGAGUUUGACUCGAUUCAGCAGUUUCACGAGUCUGCAUCUGCUCCUUUAAAGCUGCAAUUUCGUGGUCUCGUUCAUCAACAACCUUCAUCAGGAGAUUAAUUUUUCUCUCCAUCUCCGCCAUGGCAGUCUCGACUGCUACAUCAGCCAUCAUGACGGACAUCACAUCUGGGUGUGCUUCUUUCAGUGACCUGCUAGAGGCAGAAUCAUAAUCAUUAUAUAGAGGAUUUUCCUUGAUGACAAUUCCAGCUUUAGGAGAUUCCAUCAAUUGCUUCAGGAUGCUCUGCGCGAUGGCGGAACCUUGGUCUUGCCCUUGGAUGAUCCCCUUGGAACGACUACGGGUAAUAGGUCCCGUGUAGGUGUCGCUUGCAGCUGAAGAUUUGGAUGCAGCUUUCUUUGAUGCCAUUGAUUUGCUUGUAGAUGUAGAUGAUGAGAGAGAGAUGAGAGGUAGAGAUGAUCCCACUGGGCGUGCCAAUUUGUUCGCACGAGAUUUCCGGAGAAAUUUAAUUCGUGGACUUGAACUUGGGUUGAUGUUGUAUUUUUGUUGAUUUGAUGCGAUGCGGUUCAAUCUCUAGAAUUUGAUCCUCUGAUUCUCUCUCAACUGUAUGUCUACGCUUGAUUUAGAGGAAGCGGAGCACGUGAUGUUCUUGAAGUUUGUUGAACGUCUACGCUUGAUUUGGAGAAAGCGGAGCACGUGAUGUUCUUGAAGUUUGUUGAACGUCUACGCUUGAUUUGGAGAAGCGGAGCACGUGAUGUUCUUGAAGUUGGAGUCUUGGAAGAAAGUUUGUAUCUUCAAAGCAGCUUCAAUCUUCGAGGGUGGUCAACUUCAGAAGUUAGGGAGUCUUCUAACUCUUGGAAGAAUUCUCUCUGGAUCUUCUAGAGUCAAAAUUUUCCAACCCCUACAAAUGAGGAGAAUUCCCCUAUUAUAUAGAGUUCACUGGUGGGCUUUAUGGGUUUGAACUUGGUUGGUCCAUGGACCAGACCCAUGGGCUCAACCAUAUGGACUUAGGUUAUAUUUAGUCUUUGGGCUCAAUUAAGCUUAUUUUUUGGCUUAAUUGAACUUAGUCCAAGUAAAUAAUAUUUAAUUGAACUAAAAUGAUUGACUUAAUCCAACGAUUAAUAUGAAAACAUGUGGCAUUCUUAGAAUGACCAAUUUAUUUAUUUUAACUCUUUAAUUUGGAGCAUGUGUCAAUUUUAAUUAGUUCCAAAUUUAAUUAUUUGUACUUUUCAUCAUUAACUUAAUAAAUGAUGUGGCAACUUGUGAUUGGUCUCAAAAUUUCUUAUUCAACAACUACCUCCCCCAUUAAUUUAUUAUGGUAAUAUGGAAACGCCCAAUUCUACUCUAGAUCAACAACUGAAGGACCGAGUUAUUGUUUUGGGCAUCUUGAAGGAACAUCUCAGCAUUGCACAAAAAUAGAUGAAAAAGGUAUGCUGAUUUGAAAAGAAGAGACGUAGAGUUUGGAGUGGGAGAUCUGGUUUUUCUCAAACUCAGACCGUACAAACAGACUUCUUUAAGGAAGAAAAGGAAUGAAAGUUAUCUCCUAAAUAUUUUGGGCCAUAUAAAAUUAUUGAGAAAAUUAGGGCAGUGGCUUAUAAACUGGAACUUCCAUCCACGGCUACAAUUCAUCCUGUUUUUCAUGUGUCACAAUUGAAGAAGGGUUUAGGAGAUUAUAUACAGGUGCAUCAAAUAGUGCCUUAUUUAAAUGACAAGCACGAAUAGAUGACAUUACCAGAAGAAGUCUAUGGUUAUCAAAAGAAUCCUAAUACUAAGGACUGGGAAGUCUUGAUUAGCUGGAAGGGGUUACCGCCACAUGAAGCUACAUGGGAAGUGUGCAGCGAUUUUCAACAACAAUUUCCUGAUUUCCAUCUUGAGGACAAUGUGGAUUUGGAGGAGGAGAGUAGAGUUAGACCACCAUUGUUAUUUACUUAUAAUAGAAGAAAGAAAAAUAAAGGACAUGAGGAACUACCUACAGUUAAUUUAAAAAAAGAACCACCUAUAGUUAAAUUUAAAAAAUGACAGUUAUUUCAAAAAGGAAGUUAAAUCAAUGAGGGAGAUGGGAAAGGACGGGCAGUUUUUGGAGUGAAAGAAAAGGUCUGCAAUACUCCUUGAAAAACAGUGGAAGCAGAGGUUCACGAUUUGGUUAUUAGUAUUUUGUUUGCUUUUUAGUAUUUUGUUUUGUAUUUUGUUUUGUUUGUUGUUUGGUAUUUUGGGUUAGGAGGUUUACUUGUUUGAUGUUUGUGAAUUAUCUGUAACAUGACUCAUUUUGUGAGGUUCACGGUUUGAUUAUGUUGUAAGUUGUGUUUGAAUUAUCAAUAUAAUAGAAACACUACAUCAGUGUUCUAUCAGUGAUGUAAUGCUCAAACUUAAGACAAUAAAGAAAUUGCCUAGGUACAAGGGAGAAUAAAUAGAGUAUACAAUGGAAUAAAAAAGGAAAAGAUUUAGGAAAAUAAGGAAAACAUUCUCAUAAUCUUUCCAUAAUUAUUCUAGGAUUCUAACAAGGAAAAUGCCUAAAAAAAAAAGGAAAGAAUUCCAACAAUAAUCAAGUCAACUUAUCCUCUCUAAUUACAACUUACAACUUCGGUUGAUCAUUGAAGUACAGCUCCCCUUUCUUCCCAUGCUAUGUUGAAUACUAUACAAGCACAAAGUUGAAUACCAUACAAGCCUGGUGGUUCGCAGAGCAGCUUGUGCGCUUAUUGGCAUCUAUAAGAAUGAACUAUGGCCUCCACCAAAUGGUACCAUUGGCUUGAACUCUGCAGAAGCAACCAGCCAUGGACAAUGGCUGAACCUAAUGCUCUGAAAAAAUCACCAAACAGUAAGAAAACAAAAGAAAGAUCGUUAGUCAUGCGCUUCUUAAACUACCAACCAUAAAGUUUACCAACUUUUUCAACCUCAAACCACAAAGUUUACCAACUUAGUCAAUUAAUACUGAUACGCUCAUGUUGUCACUAGUUCAAAUAGUGUACGUAAUAUGUUAGGAACUUGGAAUAUGAGAAUGGGAUUUUCUCCUAUAACAUUGAUCAGCCAAAUUUUUGCAAUGCCUCUAACAUUUCUUUCUAGUUCUUUUUUUUGUAGAGCAGUUGAGUAAAUAUAAAUUACUUAGUCUAAAUUGCUCUAAGGUACAAGUCAAGCCAUGGAUCUUUUCCCAUUCUGUUGAAUUGGAAAGAUCCAAUCCCUUUAAAUACGCAGCAUCCAGUUUCUAUUGUAAUUGUAAAAUAUAUACGUACUGGAAUACUUAGAAGCAACCCUUGAUGAUUGACUAGAACUGGAAGACUUCUUCUUGCAGCAACUGGAAUCAAUUUCAACAGCACCAAUGCUUCUCUAGCUGAUGAUCUGGCAGAAUUUAAACAUCUAUUUGUACUCUCCAUGGUCUGCCCCUCCAAACUGGCUAAAGUAUCUCUUGGGUUUUGACAAUUCUUCACAGUGCAACUGCACUUGGACAACUUAGAAAGAUAAAGCCAAUCAGAUUCGGUCAUGUGCCGCACCUCUAACUCCAUAUCACAACCUAACAAACAGGACUUGCAAAAUGCAUUACAACCAGCUGCCUUAAAAGUAGAGUUAACUUCAUUUUCAUCUUUUAUAUUCCAAGUGAUAAAGAACCUGUUCAUAUAGUUACAGAUUUGCCCUGGCUUAAGCAGGCCACUGGAUGAAGUUCGCACAGAUUGUGAACCAUGUUUUGAUUCAUGUCCAGGAGUGACUUUUGGUUCUGCUUUGAAGAGUUUGGUCUCUUGCAUCUGCAGUGAAACGAUGAUUCUAUAGGUUGAUUCACUGAGAAUAUUUAGCCUUUUUGCUUCAUCUAGAACAGUUUCAGAGGUUGCAUCCAAGAAGUGCACAUCUGAAGCUUCAGGAAUGAAGUGUUCUAAAUAUGACUUCCCAUCAUUGAUGAUUUGUUCUAACCCAUCAGAAACAUCGCGUCUCUCUUUCUUAUAAGAGGGUGCAUGGAAAACUUCUAUUUUGGAAGGCAAAGGGCAAUCCACAGAACAACAGACUAUGCACCUGGUGCCCUUAGAUCCAGGAGCUGGACAAAUGUAGCAACCAGCUGCUGUCAGUGAAGUCUGCAUGGUUUGUUUUUUAUAUAAUUAAUAAGAAAACAAAGAAUAGAGGAAAUCAAGCCAUGACAAAAAGAAUCAAAUGAAGUACUUCAUGAAGCAACAAAAAGAACAGCUUCCUAUACACUUUCACCACUUGACUUUUAAUGAAAACUGGAGGAAAAACGUUGCUGGUAUAUAACAGGUCAACUCCAUUACUCUUAAGUCUGCAAGAGAUUUACACUAGUUGCUUCUGAACUUUAUGUGCAUGCCAUAAAUAAGAAUAAUUACUGAAACCAUAAAAUACAGAAGGGACAUGGAGAGAAGAAACGGAUUAUUGGCGCAGCAGUUGACUCCCAUGUUAUUUCUGUGAACUUCAAGGAUCAACGAAGCUACAGCAAUGUUCCUCAAUAAACAAUACUGAAAGUUCAAAUCGAUGCACUUUUACCUAAAUAGUUCAUUUGAACACAUUGCACAUAGCCAACACAAUUUGAUUUCUUAACUCUAAGAAAAUAGACAAACCAGAAGUUAAAUGAAGCUGAACCCAGACUGUGCCAAGAAAAAAUCAUUUGUUUAGAAAUCAUGUAAAAAAUUAGUGAUAUAGAAGCAAUGAUGAGAUAUAUUUCUUAAGAAAAGGGAGUUGACUAGUAAGACGAGCAUAUUGGAAUAACACUCUUAAAAUCAAAUACGUUGGGAAAAAGUUAUUCCAUGCAUCAGGUAAGGGUAAAGCAAGCCAACCACCUUUAUAAAUAUGUAAUUUAUGCUUAAUGCACUAAUAAUUAAAAUUUUCAAAUAUAUUCAUCCAAAUACAAAUAUGGAAAGAUGAAGUGUCUUAAUAAAGAGAUUGACUUGUAUAUUACCUUGCAAGGACCUGUUUGAAUGUAGUCUAACACCAAUUUUGCAGUGUUGCCUCUAACCGGUCUGUGCCUUUGAGAGAUGAACUGAAAAUUUUUUAUGGACUCACAACAAUGUUAAUUGGCCAAUUGCUUCAAAAUAUAACGGUUGUCAUUAUACUAAUAAUGUUUUACCUGCAAAACUAAGGUCACAAACUUUGCCAGGCAAACGUCUUGAAUUUUAAAUUGAUUGAGAAUCUCCAAAUUAAUAAUGGCAUAUCCCACCUACAAGAAGGAUCCAAAUUCUCAUCCAUCAAAACUUAAUAAUGUUUAAUUAGAAAAUGGAGGGCCGAGAGGGAGAACUGCUGAAGAGAUUCUUAAAAAAUGAAUAUGAAAACUGUAAGAUCAAUUAAUACACACAGAUGUAAAGAGUACCCACAUCCGUUAUGGUCAAAGUCCAAUUUGCGAGGCUUAAACAAACUUGAUCAAUAAAUAAGCGUGUUUUCCUACAGGCAGAAAUAAUGGCAUGUAGCUCAGAGUUGAAAGUACCUGAAACUCAAAAAAUGGCGAGAUGAAAUCAUGAAUCUCGUAUAUUGAGUAACCAUCUAUAGGAAAGAAAGCCAGUCCCCUGACUGUUAUAUUGGAACUUUAGCAAACCAGGCAAGGCACCAACAAGAUCAAUGGCGUUCUCUAAGCUGCUUAUCUUAGUCACUAAACAUCCUAAGAUUCAAGACUUUUAGCUUCAGAUUUUUGUGGGCCAUGGUUUCUGGGAAAACAUUUUUUUAUAGACUAUUUAUGCAAAAACUGUUAUUCAGGCGUUGUGUCAGAAAAAAAGAUGACAGUUUUUAACAUGAGUUCAAAAGUGGAAGCAGUUGUUUUAAUAAAAAUAAAAAAUAAAAAUAAAAGGUGGAAAAUCAUUGUGAUGUUUUUUCUACCUCUAAUUGGAGUUGAGUAACCUAAAUCUUCUUCUUUAUGCAUAUAUAUAAAGAUUUCUGUACCAUUGGAGAGCUUUUUCUAAGCCCUUUUAAUUCACACUUAGAAGAAUAUUGAUACAUCAGUAUAGUAGAAGGAAGAAGAAGAAGGAAGGGAACCACAGCAGUUGCACGUGUGAAGAAUAAGGAAGUUAGAAUUCAUUAGCUGUCAUUUAGAAUUCAUUAGCUGUCAUUUUGUAAAUCAGUUAGUAUAAAUAAAGAAUUUUGAGGGAGAGAGAAAGUUAGUUAGAAAGUUAUUUUGAGAUAUUCUUGCAAUUCCUUAAGAGAUAGGAAGGCAGAAUAGGGUUUGAACAGUUCCGAAUUGAGGUAUUCUCAAUUCGGAUUCCUUGUAUUCUUUACCAGAACUUGAGUAAUAAGAAUUUCUUUAUUUGAUUCAAUUGGAGUCCCCAUCAAAUUGGUAUCAGAGUAGUACGAUUCUGGAAAAGAAGGAACAUGGUGCAGACGCGUAUGGAAGAGAAGGUGGAAGCGCACAAUCAAGAAAUGAUAGCAAUGAGGAAAGAAGUAAGCAAAAUUCCUGCUAUUGAGGAAAAACUAACGACGAUCAGUGUACAGACUGAAAAGACUCAUCAGAUGUUGAUAAUGCUUAUGGAAUCCAUCACGAAAGAACGCACCAUUACAAGUGAGAAAAUGGCAGAAUCUAGUGUGCUGGAGACUAAUUCGAUGAAAGCGAAAGAGAAAGAAGGCUCGACAAGUAAGGAUUACAAAGGCGAAACAAAAGGAGGAAAGAAUGAAGGAGAAGACGAAACUAGCGAAAGGAAUAAGUUCAAGAAGGUUGAGAUGCCGGUAUUCAAUGGUGAAGAUCCCGAUUCCUGGCUUUUCCGUGCAGAAAGAUAUUUCCAGAUUCAUAAAUUGACUGAUGCUGAGGUGUUACUGGCGAUGGUAAGUUUUGAAGGCCCAGCGUUGAAUUGGUAUAGGGCACAGGAAGAACACGAUAAGUUCACCAGUUGGAUAAAUCUCAAAGAUAGACUACUCGUACGAUUCUGAUCAGCAAGGGAAGGGUCCAUUUGCGGACAGUACUUGAGAAUCAGACAACAGACUACAGUCGAAGAAUAUUGAAACCAGUUCAAUAAACUGAUGGCACCACUUUCUGAUCUACAAGACAGGGUCGUGGAGGAGACGUUUAUGAACGGCUUAUUUCCUUGGAUCAAAGCAGAAGUUGAUUUGUGCAGACCGGUUGGUUUAGCCCAAAUGAUGCAAGCGGCUCAACUCGUGGAAAACCGGGAGAUCAUCUAUAAUGAGGCUAGCCUUAAGGGUUAUGCUGGAGGAAAGUAUCCUCCUCAAAGUUCUACUAAUGCUAAAAAUAAUACGAUGAUGAAUAGUAGUGAUAACAGAGGAAAUACAAUAUUUCCGAUGAGAACAGUCACAUUAAGAACCACGACCGGAGAAGUUAAGAAGAGGGGCUUAUGAAACGAUUGUCUGAUGCAGAGUUCCAGGCAAGAAAAGAGAAAGGGCUCUGUUUUCGUUGCAAUGAGAAAUACUCUCAUGAUCAUCGAUGUAAAAACAGAGAGCAAAUGGAAUUAAGACCAUGCCAUCAUUGAGUUAAGAAUGAAUGUAUAGUAAAAACAGAGAGAAGUUAAGAAUGUAUUAUUAAACCACCAAUUCAUCCAAAAGCUUAAGCUUGUGGUUGAAGGCAAAUUUAAUUAUAUAUCACCAACACUCCCCCUCACUUGUGGGCUUGAAAUAUCUGAAAGGCCCAACAAGUGGAAAUUGAUUUUAAUUAGGGAGGAAACGACAAUGCAGGGGCUUGAACACAGGACCUCCCUGGACCACCUGCUCUGAUACCAUAUUAAACCACCAAUUCAUCCAAAAGCUUAAGCUUGUGGUUGAAGGCAAAUUUAAUUAUUAUUGAAAAGAGAGACACAACGAGUUCACACCAAUUUACGUGGAAACCCGAGUACCGGGAGAAAAACCACGAUUGUUUGUGUUGUUAUUAUUUUCUAAUGAAUUAAGCAAUAGGUACAAGGGAGAAUAAAUAGAGUACACAAUGGAAUAAAAAAGGAAAAGAUUUAGGAAAAUAAGGAAUACAUUCCCAUAAUCUUUCCAUAAUUAUUCUAGGAUUCUAACAAGGAAAAAGCCUAGAAAAAAAAGGAAAGAAUUCCAACACUCCCCCUCAAGUUGGGACGUAAAUAUCAAUGAGGCCCAACUUGCUAACACAGAAGUCGAAGUUUGGUCUGAGAAGCCCUUUGGUAAGAACAUCAGCAACCUGUUGACUCGAAGGGAUGUACGGAAUGCAUAUGCUCCCACUGUCAAGUUUUUCUUUGAUAAAAUGUCGAUCAAUCUCAACAUGUUUAGUUCUAUCAUGUUGAACAGGGUUGUUAGCAAUACUAAUAGCGGCUUUAUUAUCACAGAAAAGCUUCAAUGGUGUCUCACAUUCCUGAUGAAGAUCUGUCAAAACUUUCUGAAGCCAAAUUUCCUCACAUAUUCCUAAACUCAUAGCUCUAUAUUCAGCCUCAGCGCUGCUCCUGGCCACAACACUUUGCUUCUUACUCCUCCAAGUUACAAGAUUGCCCCAAACAAAGGUACAAUAACCAGAGGUAGAUUUUCUGUCAACAACAGAUCCUGCCCAAUCCGAGUCAGUGUAUGCCUCAAUGGUCUUUCUGUCUGUUUUUCUAAACAUCAGCCCUUUACCAGGUGUUGAUUUUAAGUAUCUCAAGAUUCUGUUGACAGCUUUCAUGUGUUCCUCAUUAGGGGUCUGCAUAAACUGGCUGACAACACUCACAGCAAAGGAAAUAUCAGGACGAGUAUGAGAUAAGUAAAUUAAUUUACCCACGAGGCAUUGAUAUUGUUCUUUAUCAACUGGAACUUGAUCAUCAGAGUUUCCUAGUUUGCAGUUGAAUUCAAUAGGAGUGUCAGUGGGACGACAUCCUAACAUACCUGUCUCGGUUAACAAAUCAAGGAUGUAUUUUCUUUGAGAUACGGAGAUACCUUCUUUAGAUCGGGCCACCUCCAUUCCAAGGAAAUAUUUCAAAUUUCCCAAAUCCUUGAUUUCAAACUCAUCGCCCAUUCUCUGCUUUAGUUGACUGAUUUCUGCCUGAUCAUCUCCAGUCAAAACAAUGUCAUCCACAUAAACUAUUAGAACAGCAAUCUUUCCUGUUUUGGAAACCUUUGUAAAUAAAGUAUGAUCAGAGUGUCCCUGCCUGUACCCUUGGGACUUGACAAAGGUAGUGAAUCUGUCAAAACCAUGCUCUGGGAGACUGUUUCAGACCAUAUAUAGAUUUCUGGAGUUUACACACAUGCUGACCAAACUGAGCUUCAAAUCCCGGCAGAGGGCUCAUGUAGACUUCCUCUACGAGGUCUCCAUUCAAAAAGGCAUUCUUAACAUCCAGCUGAUAUAAAGGCCAAUCUUUGUUCACAGCAACAGAUAACAGAACUCUAAUAGUAUUCAACUUAGCAACUGGAGAAAAAGUUUCUGAAUAGUCAAUACCAUAGGUUUGAGUAAAUCCCUUCGCAACUAACCUUGCCUUGUGUCUGUCAAGAGUACCAUCAGCUUUGUAUUUGAGAGAGAACACCCAUAUGCAUCCCACAGUUUUGUGUCCCUUAGGUAGAGUACAAAUGUCCCAAGUACUAUUCUUUUCAAGAGCUUUCAUUUCUUCCAUGACAGCAUUCUUCCAUUCAGGAUACUUUAAAGCAGUGUAGAUAUCUUUUGGUAUUAUGGUAGAGUCAAGGCUUGCUGUAAAAGCUCUGAACUGAGGAGAGAGACUAUCGUAGGAAACAUAAUUGCAAAUGGGGUGUUUAGUACAAGACCUGGUGCCUUUUCUCAGAGCAAUGGGAAUGUCAAGAGAGGAAUCAUACUCAUCUGAUUUUCCUGUAUGACCCUGUUCCGCUUCAUUAUUACGGGUUUCUAUUCUGACCUCAAUCUCAUCACCACUGUCCUUUUCUUCCACGUUUUCAAGAACAGCAACAUUAGACCUGUCAUUCUCACUUAUCAUAUUCUUAGUACAGGGUUCAGUAGGGUUUUCCAUACCUUGAUCUCGAGGAGGUUCAGAGUCUUGGACUGGAGCCAGCGGCUGACUAGUAGGGGAACCGACUUCCUUUUUGUGAUUCCUCCUGUAGUACGUUUUCCAGGGGACUUGGUUUGUGGGUAGGACUAUGGAAUGAGGAAUGAUGUUAGACACGACACGAGGAGUGGGUUCGAUGAAUUCAAAGGUGUUGUUAGACUCUUCACUCACACUCUCCCCCUGAAGAUGGCUAACGGGAAAGUAGGGUCGAUCCUCACAGAAAGUAACAUCCAUAGUGACAAAGUAUUUUCUGGAUGGUGGGUGAAAACAUUUAUAACCACGCUGGUGAGGGGGAUACCCAACAAACACACAUGCCUGAGCCCGAGGGGUAAAUUUGGUUUGAUUAGGGCCAAAAUUAUGGACAUAAGCGGUACACCCAAACACACGAAGAGGAACCUCAAAAACAUGACGAGUCGAUGGGUAGGACUCCUUAAGACAAUCUAAGGGAGUUUGAAGAUGAAGAAUACGAGAAGGCAUUCUAUUGAUUAAAUGAGCUGUUGUAAGAAUAGCAUCUCCCCACAAGUAUGAAGGAAGGGAAGUAGAAAGCAUAAGGGAACGGGCUACUUCCAGAAGGUGACGGUUUUUUCGCUCGGCCACUCCAUUUUGUUGAGGAGUGUAGGCGCACGAGUUUUGAUGAACAAUCCCCUUUGAAGCAAGAAAUUCACUAAGGUUAUGGUUUUGGAAUUCCCGACCAUUAUCACUCCGAAGAAUAGCAAUUUUUUGAUGGAAUUGUGUUUCAAUGGUGUGAUAGAAAUUUUGAAACAUAGAGGAAACCUCAGAUUUAUCAGUGAUAAGGUAGACCCAGGUAAGACGGGUAUGAUCAUCAAUGAAGGUUACGAACCACCAUUUUCCAGAUGAGGUUGUUAUCUUGGAUGGUCCCCAGACAUCACUAUGAACAAGAGUGAAGGGUUGGGUUAGUUUGUAUGGUUGUGAGGGAAAAGAGACUCGAUGUUGUUUGGCCUGAAUACACACAUCACAAGAUAAGGUAGUCAUCUCAACUUUAGAGAAGAGAUGUGGAAAUAAAUGUUUCAUAUAUUGAAAAUUAUGGUGGCCUAAACAAAAAUGCCACAACAUGCAAUCUUGUUCAGAAGUGGUGAAAUAGGAAGAUAAGAGACUAGUCCUAGGAAUGCUACUAGAAGAGGUAUCGUCAUCAAGGAGGUAGAGUCCCCUACUAUGUCGGGCAGUGCCAAUCAUCCUCCCCGAGCUCAAGUCCUGAAAAGAGACAGAAUCAGGUAAGAAUAUUGCUUUGCAGUUUAACUCACGAGUGAUCUUGCUUAUCGAAAGCAAAUUAUAAGAUAGUUUGGGCACAUGCAAAACAUUAUGUAAGAAGAGCCCUGCACAAGGAGAAAUCUUCCCCUUUCCAGCAAUGGGGCCAAGGAGCCAUCUGCAAUUCUAAUUGUCUCGUUCCCAGCACAAGGAAUGUAAGAUACAAAAUGUUCAGAGGACCCAGUCAAAUGAUCUGUGGCACCAGAAUCCAGAAUCCAGGGGUUCUUCCCAUCAAUACUAACAAGACCGAAGGAAUGAGGUAUACCUGAUUGGACAAUGGCACCUAAAGUGGCAAGACUGAGAUAAGUUUGGUUUUUGUGUGGAUCGGAUUGUUGAGGAGGUUCAGCAGACUCACUCACAUACGCCCGCCCUGUGUUCUGUUUGUCGUUGGAAGGGCGUUUCUUACUUCCUGGGGGACGACCAUGUAACUUCCAACAUUGUUCUUUGGUAUGCCAUUGUUUUUUGCAAUGCUCGCAGACAGGAAUUGGUUUUCCAUUAUGCUUGUCACUGCUACUAUUAGAAGAUCUUGCACUAAAAGCAGCAGAGUCAAUAGUAGGGGUUGCGGAAAUAUUCAUAGCACUUGUGCGAUCUUCCUCGAGGCGGAUUUCAGAGCAAACUUCCAUCAGGGAGGGAAUCGGUCUUUGACCUAGUAUACGCCCUCGAACUACAUCAAACUUAGGAUUAAGACCAGCAAGAAAGUCAUAAAUCCUGUCAUUCUCUUCAAUUCUCGAGUACUGUACACCAUCAGUGGGAUCACGCCAGACUAGUUCUCUGCAUAGGUCCAUUUCUUGCCAUAUAAGAGAAAGCUUAUUGAAAAAUGAUGUGACAUCCAUGGUUCCUUGCUUGCAUUCAUGAACUUGCUUUCUCAGCGUGUAUAGACGAGAGGCAUUCUGACGUUUUGAGUAAAGUGUCUGAGCUGUGUCCCAAAUAUCCUUGGCUGUUGCAGCAAACAAUAACGGCUUGCCAAUUUGAGGUUCCAUACUAUUGAUCAAUAUGGAUCGAAGAAUAGAGUCUUCUGCCUUCCAAUAUCGUUCAUGUGGGUCGCCCGGUAGGGGGCGAGGUAUUUCCCCUGUCAGAAAGCUAAAUUUUUGUCGUCCUUCGCGGACCAUCUUUACUGACUGAGACCAUGAGAAAUAGUUUGUUGCCAUUCAACUUUUCUCCUGAAAGAUGAUACAUGGAAGACUGAGUCACCGUAUUAGUCACAUAAGGAGAGGAUACAUUAGGGAACGAGUUUACCGGAUUCUCAGAAUACAUCGGUAGAGUGGAUGUCGUCCCUAAGGUAGCCUCAAGUGCUGCCAUCUGUUGUCGAAGCCCUUCCAAUUGUUGAUGAACUAUUCUCGAGGAAGCUUGCACGUUACGGUUGGAAUAUGCCGAAGAUUCACCAACCUCAAAUGUUGAGUGAAUUUGAGAGUUUUUAACAUCGGGAUGGUAGCUAGGAUCAUUGGGUGGCUGGCCAUACAGAUUUGACGGCAGAAGCGGUGGUAGCCGAUUGGAAUUAGAUGGCAGAACAUAAAUCGGGGCGUGGGGAGCAAUAUAGGCCGCGGACGAAGAAAAGGGUUGGACAGAUGGGAUGGUCGGCGCCGUCUGAGGAAGAAAACCAGGCGCGUGGUGGUUCGGUGACGGCGUGUGGUGGUUCGGUGACGGCGCGUGGUGGUCCGGUGACGGCACGUGGUGGUCCGGUGACGACGCGGACGACUGCGGUAAUGACGAAAAAUUAUUUUCGGACGUUUUCUGUAGCCGGCUUAAUAAUUCGUCCAUGGCAGCACGCAUCCGAGCAUCAAUGGCAGCAGCUACGGCAGCACUAAAAUUGAUGGCUGUCCCUUCUGUUUGAUUUUCAUAAGUGGUUUGGUUUUUUUGGGUUUCUAGGGUGUUUUCAUUGUCCCUCUCUGAUACCAUAUUGAAAAGAGAGACAACGAGUUCACACCAAUUUACGUGGAAACCCAAGUACCGGGAGAAAAACCACGAUUGUUUGUGUUGUUAUUAUUUUCUAAUGAAUUAAGCAAUAGGUACAAGGGAGAAUAAAUAGAGUACACAAUGGAAUAAAAAAGAAAAAGAUUUAGGAAAAUAAGGAAUACAUUCCCAUAAUCUUUCCAUAAUUAUUCUAGGAUUCUAACAAGGAAAAAGCCUAGAAAAAAAAGGAAAGAAUUCCAACAAUUAUAUAUCACCAACAUGUAUGUUGUCAAUGCUGAUGAAGAAGAAUUUGAGAUUGUAGAAGAAGUGGAGUAUGAUAACAAAGAAUUGAACAAUGUGGAGUUAAUAAAAGAAGACCAUGCCAUCAUUGAGUUAUCCAUUAAUUCGGUAGUCGGAUUAACAAACCAGGGACAAUGAAGGUGAGAGGGAAGAUUGGUGAAAAGGAAGUUGUUAUUCUGAUUGACUGUGGGGCCACCCAUAAUUUCAUAUCAGAAAAGAUCGCGAAGGAACUACUGCUGACUACGAAAUCUACGUCCCAUUACGAGGUAAUCCUAGGUUCAAGAGUUGCUAUCAAAGGGAAAGGCAUAUGUCAAAAUGUGGAGAUCCAGCUGAACGGGUGGAAGAUAAUAGCGAAUUUUUUACCAUUGGAGUUGGGAGGAGUAGAUAUAGUGUUGGGAAUGCAAUGGUUAUACUCCCUUGGUAUGACUGAAGUGGAUUGGAAGAAUUUAUCAAUGACAUUCUUGCAUCACGGGAAGAAGGUAGUGAUCAAAGGGGAUCCGAGUCUAACGAAAUCUACAGUGAGUCUGAAGAACAUGAUAAAGACGUGGAAGGAUUCUGAUCAGGGAUUUUUAAUUGAGCGUAGAGCAAUGGAGAGAGUUUAUGAACCAACUGAAGAUGAUGGGAUUGAAGAAGUGUUAACGGUAGAGGAGUCAAUUUAAGUGGUUUUGAAGAAGUUUGAAGGCGUGUUUACUUGGCCCAAGACUCUUCCUCCGAGGAGAGAUAUUGAACACCAUAUUCAUUUGAAGCAAGGAACAAAUCCAAUAAAUGUACGACCUUACCGUUAUGCCUAUCAACAGAAAGCAGAAAUGGAGAAAUUGGUUGAUGAGAUGUUGACAUCAGGAGUGAUUCGUCCGAGUAAUAGCCCUUGUUCUAGCCCGAUUCUAUUAGUAAGAAAGAAGGACGACAGUUGGAGAUUUUGUGUUGACUACAGGGCAUUAAACAGUGUAACCAUACCCGACAAAUUUCCUAUCCCUGUCACUGAAGAGUUGUUUGAUGAACUAAAUGGGGCGAAAGAGUUUUCUAAGAUUGAUUUAAAGGCUGGCUAUCAUCAAAUCAGGAUGCGUAGUGAGGAUAUAGAGCAAACUGCAUUUCGUACUCAUGAAGGGCACUAUGAAUUCAUGGUUAUGCCAUUCGGUCUAACUAACACCCCAUCUACCUUCCAGUCGUUGAUGAAUACAAUCUUCAGACCAUACUUAAGGAAGUUCAUAUUAGUAUUUUUUGAUGAUAUAUUGAUAUACAGCGAAAACUUGGCGGCACACUUGAAGCAUCUUCAAUUGGCACUGGAAGUAUUGAGGAAGAAUGAGCUGUAUGCUAACCAAAAGAAAUGUAGUUUUGCAAAAGAAUGCGUGAAUUACUUGUGCCAUAUUAUUUCAAGCCAAGGGGUAGAGGUUGAUCCUGAGAAGAUUCGAGCAAUCAAGGAAUGGCCCAUUCUGACAAAUGUAAGGGAAGUUCAUGGAUUCCUUGGUUUAACGGGUUAUUAUAGAAAAUUCGUACAACAUUAUGGAUAGAUUGUGACUCCAUUGACUCAACUAAUAAAGAAAGGGGGAUUUAAUUGGACUAAAGAAUCUAAGGAAGCUUUUCAACAUUUGCAAAAUGCUAUGAUGACAAUGUCGGUCUUGGCAUUGCCAGAUUUCAAUGACACUUUUGAGUUGGUGACUGAUGCUUCAGGGUAUGGGAUAGGAACAGUAUUAAUACAAGCCAAGAGGCCAAUUGCAUACUUUAGUCACACAUUAGCAGUGAGGGAUAGAGCAAAGCCUGUGUAUGAGAGGGAGCUAAUGGCAGUGGUGUUGGUAGUGCAACUGAGUGGAGGCCAUACCUGUUAGGGAAGAAGUUCAUAGUCAGAACAGAUCAGAAGUCUUUAAAAAGUGGGUAGCCAAGUUGUUAGGUUACUCGUUUGAGGUAGUAUAUAAACCGGGACUUGAGAAUAAAGCAGUUGAAGAAUGCCUCCUACAGUUCAUCUAAAUAGUUUGACAGCACCAAUUUUAGUAGAUUUAAUGAUAAUCAAGAAAGUGGUGGAGGAGGAUGAAAAAUUGAAGAAUUAUGGUGGAGUUGCAAACGAAAGAAGAAGACAAAUAGAGUAAGUUUUCUAUUAAGGAAUGCUAAGGUACAAAGGAAGACUGCUAUUAUCCAAGAUGUCAUCAUUGAUUCCAACCAUUUUACAUACCUAUCACGAUUCGGUGUUAGGAGGACACUCUGGAUUUUUACGUACAUAUAAGAGGUUGACGGGGGAGUUGUACUGGGAAGGAAUGAAGGCUGAUGUGAAGAAGUAUUGCGAUGAAUGUGUAGUUUGCCAAAAGAACAAGACCAUGGUGUUCAUGCACUCGCUCCAGCAGGAUUACUAUUGCCAUUGGAACUUCCCCACAGUGUUUGGAGAGACAUAUCAAUGGACUUUGUUGAAGGUCUCCCAAGGUCGAACGGGUUUAAAGCCAUAUUUGUGGUGGUUGAUAGAUUAGCAAAUAUGGUGAUCGACAUAUUUGCUCCAGCUUGAGGGGGAGUGUUAUGAUAUAUAUAUAUACAUAUGUCCUUUAUUGUAAUUUUACAUAGUCUCUAGGGUUUAGUUUAUUCUCUAUAUAAAUAUGUAACAUUGCUUUGACUCAAAUAUAAUAAAACAGAUACUUUUCUGAAUUCUAGAUUACAGUCAUUUCCUAACCCUUAAACAUCCUUUCACGGUUAAGACAGUGGCAGAGUUAUUUGUAAAAGGUCGUACAUUUCCUAACCCUAACCCUUAGCUUCUUCCGGGGAGGGCCCUCUUAUCCCUCGCCCUUAGGCUGUUCUGUUUUGUUAUAUGAAUAUACUUGUCUCUUAUCAAAAAAAAGAGUUAUUUGUAAAAGAAACCGUCCGGCUAUAUGGGUAUCCUAAGUCAAUAGUAUCGGACGAAGAUAAAGUGUUUUUAAGUAAUUUCUGGAAAGAAAUAUUCAAGUUGUCGGUACCAGAUUGAACCGAAGACAUCUUACCAUCCAUAGUCAGAUGGCCAAACCUAACAAGGGUGUUGAGAUGUAUUUGAGAUGCUUUUGUGGUGAAAGACCGAAGGAAACGACAAGAUAGUUACACUGAGCGGAGUAUUGGUACAAUACUACGUUUCAGAGAUCCUUGGGAAUUACUCCUUUCCAGGCAGUAUAUGGUCAAAUGCCGCCCCCUUUGAUAUACUAUGGAUAUCAUAAUACCUCUAAUGCAACCUUAGAUGAACAGCUUAGAGCAAGAGAUGAAGCUUUGGAGGCAUUGAAAGAACACCUUCGAAUAGCUCAAGAUAAAAUGAAAAAGAAUGUUGAUCCGAAGCGACGGGAUGUAGAGUAUGCUGUGGGCGACAUGGUGUUUUUGAAGAUCGGGCCAUAUAGACAAUCGUCAUUGCGAAAGAAAAGAAACGAGAAGUUAUCUCCCAAAUUCCUUGGUUCCUUUAAAAUUGUGGAAAGAAUCGGUCCAGUGGUGUACAUAUUGGAAUUACCUAAAUCGUCAUCCGUCCCAUCCAGUCUUUCAUGCGUCUCAACUUAAGAAGAUGAUAGGUGAUCAUAAGCUGAUACAACCAGAUAUGGUAUCUUAUUUGACUGAGAACUAUGAGUGGAUAGCUAUACCAGAAUAGAUAUAUGGAUACACGAAGAAUAAAGAAGGAGGUUGGGAGGUAUUGAUCAAACGGCAAGGUCUGCCCCCUCAUGAAGCUUCUUGGGAGAAGUGUGAGGAUUUUCAACAGAAAUUUCCUGAUUUUCACCUUGAGGACAAGGUGAGUUUGGAAAGGGAAUGUAAUGAUAGACCACCAAUUAUACAUCAGUAUAGUAGAAGGAAGAAGAAGAAGGAAGGGGACCACAACAGUCGAACCUGUGAAGAAUAAGGAAUUUAGAAUUCAUUAGUUGUCAUUUAGAAUUCAUAAGCUGUCAUUUUGUAAAUCAGUUAGUAUAAAUAAAGAAUUGUGAGGGAGAGGGAAAGUUAGUUAGAAAGUUGUUUUGAGAUAUUCUAGCAAUUCCUUGAGAGAUAGGAAGGCAGAAUAGGGUUUGAACAGUUCUGAAUUGAGGUAUUCUCAAUUCGGGUUCCUUGUAUUCUUUACUAGAACUUGAGUAAUAAGAAUUUCUUCGUUUGAUUCAAUUGGAGUCCCAUCAAAUUGAAGAAUAUCUUGACUUCCCUCAAGUACUAGGACUAAUCAGAUCCUUUCUUAUUUGAAUUGUAAUAUCAAUAGUAACAAUACGAUGCAUUCUUCAAAACACCUCAUAAAUAUUAACAUUUUAGCAACUCACUAGAUGACAGAUCUCCCAAUGACAUUCGAAUUCUAUUUCGAGCAAACAAGGAACUUCUAUUUGUUGGGUCUUCAACCCAAUCUUGAUUAGCAGCUUGGCAUAUCUGCAAAGUGCAGAUAGAACAAGGUUAACAUAGUACUGGCCAAAUGAAUGAAAGCACCGUCUCUAAAUAUAUAUUUUCAUGCGAUUUUAAACUUUUACCUUGUACAUGUCAUCUUUAGAAAAAUCCAUUAGUGGUCUCACAAGAAGGACACCAUAAUUCUUGGAAACUUCGCUGUAAGAAUAUGUAUGCGAGGAGAAAAUUUGAGAAGUGAAAGGUAUUCCCGCAAGUCCAAGCACACCACUACUGCGAGACAACCUAAGAAUGAAUAACUCAGCCUGCAUUGUGUUCCAGCAAUCACUACAUUUCUAGCAUCUCUAACAAGCUUCCAGCAUUACACUAAUUGAGUUUACAAUAGCCCUAAAGAGUGAAGUUACAAUACAAGCUAUCGCAAACAUGGAAUACUAAGAUUUGGGAAAAUCAAUUUUAAUCAACUUAUAAGGCAAGAACUUAAACUAAAAAUGCAAGCUUGAUAUCAGAGAAUUCAACCUGGUCAUCAGCGUGAUGCGCAACAAGUAUCACUCCAAUAUUGUGUUGGACACAAACUUUCUGCAACAUUUGGUACCUGGAGUGAAAGAAAAUGAAUUAAAAUCGCAAAUUAGGGGACCCCCGUGGCAGGAAGCAAACAAAGUUAGCUAGUAUUAGAACCAAGGUCAACAACAAUAAUAUUCACACCAGAGAUUAAGCAUAUUUUGAAGAACGCAAACCACCUCAUAUCACGAGCUGCUUCUUGCAAGUGACCCUGCUUUGGUCUACCGUUUAUCCAAUCACAAGACGCAAGCUCGCAACGGAUACCUACAGAGUAACAUACAAGUUGAACAUUUAUAUCAGAUAAUUGUACUGAAUUGAUUUUAUCAUAACUAAGCAAAUCACGCUGAUAGGGAGUUGUACCCAAUUGAGUAACUCGAUUGCAGACAACUUUUGCUUCAUCUCUGCUCUCAGCACGAAGCCCAUGAUCCACGACUAUUGCCAGGAGACCAUCGACAAGAGUGCUACUUUUACAUGAGGUACCCAGGCCAUCCAUUUUCCAGCCCGCCGUAAGAACACAAAGAGCCAUACUAUCGGGCCCUCCACUAACUCCCAGAGCUGAAAAGAAGCAAAGAAUAAAGGGUAAAUGAUGUCAGUUUGAAAUUGAAAGAUAGCAUUAUCAUUUGCCACUUCAGUUCUUGGUUACUUUGGGAGAGAACCUAGUGGUAUUUGGGACUCAAGUCGCCAGAUUGUGUGUUGUGAAACAAAAGGGUAAUAGAAACAAGUUACAAAUAAUACUUCCGCAGAAAGGAAGCUGACCUAUACGGUGGUGGGGUUUGAGUCCCGCCAUAUCCAUGCGCUUGGAGAAAGUUUCCCUGUAGUUGCACAGGUCGAUUGGUUGUUGCAAAGAAGAAUAGCUGCAAAAACAGCGAGGAAGAGGAAGAACACGAAGAUGAAAAGAUGGAAGAAUGAAGGAUAUUGCAAUUUUGGAUUUGGAAGAUAAGAAGAAGAAUGAGUGGUUUGUUCCCGUCUGGAUGAGGCCCUGCGCCAUGGCUUGCAACUCUGAACUCCCCCACUCUAUCACUUUGAAAUCAUUUCAAUGAGGAAAAAAGAAAACAAAGUGAAUUGAAAUUUUGUUGGUUUUAAUCCAAAUAUUUCCGGUUGGAUUUGACAAGAUUUGAAAUUUAGAAGAUGCUCUAUUCUCGAACAGAGCAGAGGAAAGAUGGGAAAAUUGUCACAAAUAACUUUUAAUAGCUUUUGUCACCUAAAUUGUUUUUUGAGUUUUUUUUUUUUUUUUUGGUUGUGCAGGUUGCUAAUAAUGUAAAGAUUAAAAAAAUUUCAAAUCUUCUUAAAAUUUAACUAAUUUUUAUUUGUAAAAUUUAAAAAAUGUUUUAAUCUAUCGCUUAAGUUUUAUAUAAAAUUCCAAAAGUAGAGGACUCUCACGAAACAUAGGUUUUUUGUUUUUAUUAGAAAAUUUCGAAUGAAAUUGUCUCAAGAUUUCAUGUAAUUUCGUGUGUUAUAGAUUUGUCUCGAGUUUUUUGUAAAUAUAGAAAUAUGCAUCCCGCGAUUAAUUUUUCGAAUGUGACAAAAAUACCCUUAUAACCAAAAAUUUUAUUAUUAUAUUAAAAAUAAAAUAGCUUGUUCAAAAAGUUUCACCACCAACUUCCAAGAAACUUAUUACAAUUGUUUGGGCUUUCUUUCACUUUCUUCCUCCCACAUUUCAUAUUUUUCAAACCCAUCAAAAAAAAUAAAGUGAACAAACCUUACUGUUUUUUAUAAAUUUCGUUUUUAUUGUCAUUUGCAUAAUGAUUAGACUAGCAAUAUUUCUUUUAGGUAUUUUUGUACAUAAUAUUGGUUCUUAUUAAGGGAUCUCAUGUUGGAAUUUAUAUCCUAAAACUCGUAGUUUGUAAUCAUAUUUUAUUUAAUAAAAUUGUUAUUGAUACUAUAAUCUUAAAGUCAAUAAACAAAUGUCUCAAAGUUAUUUUGAGUAAACUUGAACGGUAUGUAGAGACAUAAAUGUGGAUCAAAUUCGAGUAUAUAACCUAAAUAGUCUAUAGUAUAGGAAUAUGGUUAGACACCUUAUUUUAGGGACAUUAUGGAUGCGGCUCGCUUUAUAGUAAGUACAAACAGUGUGAUCUUGAAUCGUUCAUAUAGGGACAUGGAAGUGGGGGCAUCCUAUGUAAAUAGUUUACAUAAGACUGGAACCAUAGAAAUAGUUGCUUUUAGGUUAUAACAUCAUUGACUUUAAUAAAACCGAUUAUUUCAUUUAUAGAUAUUCAAUGUAACUUAAUCUUAAUCCUGAGCUAACUAUGAACUUCUGUUCAUACAAGAUUAUCCUUACAUAUGUAUAAGUGAGGGCGACUCAAUGGCGCUAGUCCAAUAAGCCUCCCAUUUCAAGGGUAAGAUCAGAUGGAUAGCUAGAGACAUAGGUCCACUCUAGGGUUAGUAGAUAGGUUGUUCCUUUAAGGACUGAAUCUAGAUCUUCAACAAAGGGCCACACCCUCUCAUUGGCCCGAGAGGGAUUCGGUUUAAAGGUUGGACCUUAAACCAAUUGUUCAAUAGUGGAUUAGUGAGACUUAAAGAGAAAAGAUUUAUUCUUGGGGGUAAAACAGUACUUUGACCCAGCCGAGAUUAUGAACAACCUAUGAAUGAUUAACUUACUUAUCAUGGUCAUAUCACAGGGACACAAAUAUAUCUAUAGUGAGGGGAGUGCAACUACGACACUUUAGUGGAAUGACCCGUUAGUUAACGAAGGUUGUUAACUUGGUCUAAAGAGUUUAUCCAGUUAAUCUUGAAUCGUUUGAGCCCAUGAUCUAUAGGUUCAUUAGGUUCCCUCGCUAACUCACAUGGAAUCAACUUAGAACAUUAUGAUGGAAUAAUUCAAAUUAGGUAAAGAGAGAGAAACCAAAAAAUAUAUAUGAUAUAGUCAUCGGUUAUAACUUAAGAUAGAGCUUCAUGUUUAAAUGUGAUUUAAAUAUGAAAAUAGAUUCAUAUUUGAAAGCUUGGAAUUAAUGAAAAAGGUCAAAGAUGUAAAAAGUAAAAAUGUUGACUUUUGACUUUGAAAAAUCAAACUUUGACUAACUUUAUAUUCAAAUGUGAUUUAAAUUUUGGAGAAAUGAAUACGGAUUCAUGUUUGAGAGGUUGAAACUAGUCAAGACGGACAAAAUGGUUAAAAAUCAAAAUGUUGACUUUGGACUUGAAAAAGUUAAACUUUGUAUAUGAUUUAUGUUUGAAUUACCAUAUUGUUCUUAGAAUAAUUUAAAUAAUAACACUUGUUGAGAUUUGACAAGCUUAUCACUUGCAUGUGAUAUGCAAGUGGCUUAUUGCAUGCAAGACACCUACUCCACUAAGAAUGUCAAGUGGUGAGAUAUGGAAGCUCUUGCAUGUAGUUUGCUUGUAAACAAGUUUAGUGCAAAGGUGAAAUGACUCUUGGAUUUGAGAUUGAAAAUUAAUUUUGUAAUUGAGAAUUAAAAAAUAAAACCAAUGAACUCUUUUCAUUUUGAGACUCUUAACAUUAAAAAAAAAAAAAGGUUAGGUUCCUCCAACGAAUCUCAUUUCUCUCUAUUUCCUCCACCAUUUGAGUCUCACAACUCGAUUCUAAGUCCGGAGAAUAGCGAGUCAAUGCUAGUGGUAGUCCUGGCUUCGAUUUCAUAAGGAGAUUACAAGAAAAAAAACGUCAAAGGAUAGGGUUUUUUUUAACCGUAUCUUUGUUAUUUUAGGGUUUUUUUAUGCAUGUUAAUCACUAAACUUGUUUAGUUGCAAUUAGAGUAAAAAUCCAAUCUUUAUUCUACUGUGCAUGUCUAUUGUUUCCAUCGUAUUGGGCUAGCGUCAUUGAGCUGUCAUCACCUAUGCAGAUAUAAGGAUAAUUUCGUGUGAACAAAAGUUCAUAUUUAGCUCAGGGUUAAGAUUAAGUUACAUUGAAUAUCUAUAAACGAAAUAGUCGAUUUUAUUAAAGUCAACGAUGUUAUAACCUAAAAGCAACUAUUUCAUGGUUCCAGUCUUAUGUAAACUUUUUACAUAGGAUGCCCUCGCUUUCAUGUCUCUACAUGAACGAUUCAGGAUCACAUCGUUUUGUACUAACUACAAAGCGGAUCACAUCCAUUGUGUUCUUAGAAUAAGGUGUCCAAUUGUAUUCGUAUACUAUAGACUAUUUAGGCUAUAUACUCGAAUUUGAUCCACGUUUAUGUCUCUACAUAAAAUUCAAGUUUACUCAAUAAUAGCCUCGGGUCCUUAGUUUAUUGGCUUUAAGAUGUAUCAAUAAUAACUUUAUUGAAUAGAAUAUGAUUUACAAAUUACGAGUUUUAUGAUAUAAAUUCCAACAAUUACAGCUUUAGUGAAACGUAGGAGACUGAAGACCCUCACAUUUCAUAUGCCUUGCGGGAAACGUACCAUCAUAUUGCAGGACGUUGUGAUCUAGUUGGGACUACCAGUGGACUAAGAUCCUAUUACGGGAUUGUUAAUGUAUAACUAGAAACAUGUGAGGAUUUAUAGGGAGUUCUACCACCACCUAACAUGAAUGGUUAAAGGUUGAGCCUUCCAUAGUUGGCCGAAUUAAUUCACAAAAUUGCCACAAGAUGUUGACGUUGUGAGUGUUCAAAGAUAUGCUCGUGCGUACAUAUUAUGCAACUCAUUUGAGGUUUUUUGUUCAUCAACAAGUCAAAUACCUUGGUAGAUUGUAUGUUUCUUCUGCUUUUAGGCGAUUUCGACUAGGUUGAUACGUACUCUUAGGGUGUUGCAUGCCUUGCAUAGUUGUAUAGAGAAUUGUGUCGAACAAGUAAUGGACAAUCCUAUGAAAUAGCUAGGUCAUUGAUGUUAUUGCAAGUAUGGGUAUAUGGUAGAUUUUCUAUUGUAGAACCACAAGUUGUAUUACAGGCUCCAGUUGCUCGAUAACUGAGUUCCAAGUAUUAUUUUAUUUUUAAUUUUUUUUAUAAUAUCUAGUAUUUAGAUAUUUGCACUUAUUGUUAUUAUUUUUUGUCACACAUUAGAUGGAGUGGUGUCCUACCUGCAUUGGAACAAUCAACAAAUAUGUUGUUAACAUACCGAAUGAAUACUGCUUAUUUUUGACCGAGUGAUGCACACUCAAGUAGUAAAGUGUUAUACGAAUGAAUACUACUUAUUUUUUGUGUCUACUUAUGUCAUUUGUUUUUUAACAGAUCAAUUAGACAUCAUACAUACAUGAUAUUAUGACAUUGGUACUUGAUUGAUGUCAUACUGGUGAAGAAGUACGAACUUACUUGGGCCCUCUAAAAUGCUUCCAUAUCGUGGAGUGGCAUUUACCAGAUUGUGUGUGUUGCAACAAUUUGGUAUUUUGCAAAUCACACCAUCAUUGUGCUUUACAGAUCCGACACUAUACCAAUUAAAUUGAUUUAAGAGAUAAACACAAUCAAGAUUGACGUAAGAUUUAUGAGGAUUAUAACACAAUGCGGCAUACACAUCAUGGUCGUUGUGCACAAGGAAAAGCAACACAUGAACCAGCUGUAUCAUAUGACUAUUUUUCUAGUACAAGUCAAUUACAAAACUAUUUAUCUCAUGCAAUGGUGCUUACUAUUAUUGUAUGAUUUAUUUUAAAAUUUUAUAACAUGCACGUUACUUAAUUAUAUUAUUUGUAGUUUUUUAGAAUAAUUUUGUUCAAGAUGUACAUAAUUACUUGGUGGAACACGACUUACAAGAUUUGAGUUCAAUGUGUGGUCAAACUUUGGAAAAAUAGAACAUAUUAUUUAGCAGACAAGAUGACUCAAUGUUGCAGACAUGGAUCGAAGAUGUAUUCGACGUAGAUGACGACGACAUGGCAAGGAUGUUGUAUACAAAGAUCAAGAUCAUGCUUAGUUCGUAAUUGCAAAUUUUAAUUCAUAUGAACUUCAAUUUUGAAUGUAGAAUUAUACCAAAUUGCAUUCUUAUUUGCACCAAAACCAUGUCAGAUUAGAAACUUCUUGUCCAAUGUAGUUUAAGUAUGGUGUUUCCUCUUGCAUUUUUUCUCUUUGAGUCCAAAGUUCAAAUAACUAUCAUUUAGACUUCAAACAAUAGGCUAAUUUUGAGAAUAAUUUUUUUAGAAAGUUGUGUACUGGUACAUGACUUCCUUUAAUCCAGUCACACCAUUUGACCUAGUCUUCAGCCAUGUAGGCUAUGACUGAAUUAAAGGAAGUCGUGUAUCGAGUACAUGAAUUCUUUCAACGCAAAAACUACCUUAUUUUUUAUAAUAGUUUCAAUCUCAACCUCAUUUCUUAUUAUCUUUUCUAGAUAUCCUAUCUUCAACAAUAGUCUAAAAAGAGCAUUAUUCUUGAAAUUAAACAAUAGUUAUUAGAUUUGAAUUUUUUUCUCUAAUCAGUUUUGGUCCCCUUUUAGAUGGACUAUUUAAAAAAUUAUUUUUAUAUAAACACUUCCAAUAGAAAAAAAAAGUGUUUAAGAUACCCUUCAAACUUAUUUAAAGGAAUUAACUAUAAUUACGCAAAACAAAACUAAAAUAACCACUACUACAAAAACAGGCUCUCUUGACGUUUUUAAACUGUCAAGAGACGGCUCUCUUGACAGUUUUAAAAACGUCGUUGAAGCCAGUGUCAAGAAAGACAAAGUUCUUGACGGUUGAUUAAACGUCAAGAAUAGUGAACGUUGACGUUUUAUAAACGUCAAAUAUACUUAUGUUCAUGACGUUUUAGAACCGUCAAGACUGGUAUUGUUUAUGACAUUUUAAAGCCGUCAAGAAUGAACUGGUUUAUGACAUUUUAAACCCGUCAAGAAUUUUAAUGUUCAUGACAUUUUAAAACUGUCAAGAAUGUAAUUGUUCUUGACAUUUGUAAACCGUAAAAAAUGCAAUUGUUCAUGACAUUUUAAAACCGUCAAGCAUUUUUUAAUUUUUUUUUUUAAAAAAAUUGUAAUUGAAUUAUGCUGUAAUUGAAAGAAAUAUAUUCUGAUUGCCUGUAAUUGUCCAGCAAUAGUUUCAUAGAUAUUUGAUAUUCAUCAAAUACAGUUUCAAAUCUCAAACAUAUAUAAAUAAAACCAUUCACCAUAUAUAUUCAAUUCCAAGACUUUACAUAUACCUAAUGAAAUAGACUUUACAUUAGAUUUCAUAUUCCAUUACAUUGCCAUGAAUCCAAAUCAACUUAGAAAGUCACAAAACAUGCUAGCUAUAACAAUAAUCAAAAGUAUACGAAUGAAUCCCCCUCCCCCUUCCUCCAUAUGAACAAUUCAAAAGAAUUAUCGGCUAAAGUUUCUAUUACAUAAAGUUUCAUAUCAUAAAGAAGCGACACAACAAAAAAAUUUUCUACUUUAGAAUCACAAAAUAUUGGUCAUAAUCAUAUGUAAGAACCCAAAAAGUCAGCUAACUCAACUCGCACCUCGUCUAGUUCUGCCUGUGAGUAUGAUCUUCGUGUAUCAAUCUAUAAACAUGCAAAAUAAAUUAAAUGAAUUAACUGACUAUACAAAUAAACCAACUAACUCACAAAACCAAUAGUUUGACAUAUAACAUACCGCAUCGGAUAUGACAAUGCUUCCCCUAAUCACAAUUUCUCUCAUAUACCUCAUCACGUAGUAUCCACACUCAGUACUCCCGACUUGUAGUGGACACUAAAUAAAAGCAACAAAUUUGAAUAAUAAAGUAAUCCUAAUUGCUAGUAGUCUACAAAAAUAUAAUGACUUUAAAAGUUGAUACUUGCCUUUACUGUUCGUCAUAAAGUUUGUUUUCUACUUUUUUUAAUGUUUCUUUUGUGACUGAAACAUGGCUAUUGCUCUGUUUCGACAUGAUAAGAUUGAACAAAUAGUUUAAAUAUUGUGUACAUGCAUAUAAGAAUCAACACUAAAUGAAAUACUAGAUUAACAAUUCCCACAUUUCAAACAAGGACAACGAAUAUAGGAGCUAGUUGUAUUAGAAAAUCCAUAUUUGAAGAAGUUUUCCACACCCAACUCAUAAUCUUUAGACAAUCUACUCUUGUGCAUCCAAGAUUUAUCCAUCAUUGUAAAUCUAAUGAGAAAUAAAGUUAUUGUCACUAUUGAUAAUUAAAGUGGAAGGACAAACUUAAAAACACCUAAUCUUCAACAAACUACAACAAAUUGAACACUGUGGAAAGGCAAAAUAAUGUCAAACUCAUACAAAGAAUGACUCAGAAAAUAAAAAAAUCAGAAAAGUACAAGUACAAGUUUCAUGCUUGGAGUAAUUAACACAACAGGCCCAAAUGUCGUUUCUAAUGUGGUAUCAUUUUCAAAGAUAAAGACUGAUCCUAUUAGCUCAGAAGAUAGGCAGGGAGGUUCCUCUCCAUAAAUUAAAGGCUCAAACUUGUACUUCAAGGAAAAAGUAAACUUAACUAAGCCAGGAUGGUUCCAUCAGGAUUUCCUCUGGUACCCAUUAAUUGAAUACUAGAGCAAUUUGCAUUAUAAAUAAACAAUUACUAAACCAAUAUUCGUUAACAUCUAAAGAAUGUACACAAGGGUAACGUCUCAGACUUCAAUUUCCUUCAACAGGUAAGAUAGAAAAACAAGUGAUAAUCAAAUUGAAAGCAAAAGAAACACAUAAGACAACAAGAUAUAAAAUGCGUGUGAAACUAGAUCUGAGAGGGUAAAGAUAAAAUUCGUACUUUCUCAAUUGAAGACUCCCUUCUUCGAUUAUCCGUAACACAGUUCGAUUACAAGUAAGUAAAAUUGAAAAGAAGAAGAAAGAAGUAGAUUAGGAAAAAUGUUAGAGCCGAAAAUUAAAAUUCAAUACUUUCUCAGUGUAAGCAAUAACAGGAGCUUCCCUUUUACACAGGAUUUGGAGACAAAUGGAGGUUUUCCGGUGAAUGUAUUCACGCGUUUUCGAACAGAGGUGAAUGUGUUACGCGUUUUUGAACAGAGAAGGUGAUUACGAGUUUCGAAUGGUGAACGGUGAACGAUGAACGAUGAACUAAACGGUUAAUGAACGAAGGGAGAACGAUGAACGGUGAAAGCUUGAGAAUGGUGAAAGGGGAGAACGACGAACGACGAAUGCAAAAGCUUGAGAUUCUGGAGAAGCUUCCCUUCGAACGCACGACAAAUUAGGUUUUAGAAAAGAGAAAAUGAACUUAAAUGGAACGACGUCGUUUUACGAUUAAAUUCUUGACGUUUUUAAAAACGUCAAUGAUUUUUUUUAUAAAUUUCUUGACAUUUUUCAAAACGUCAAGGAUUUUUUUAUAAAUUUCUUGACGUUUUUAAAACAUCGAGUAAAAUUUUAAAUUCUUGACGUUUAAGAAACGUCAAGCAUGUCGAAUUCAUACGCUUCUUGACGUUUUAAGAACGUCAAAAAAUUAAUAGAUAUUUCUUGAUGUUUUAAAAAUGUCAAGAGAAAAUUUAUUUUACUUGACGUUUAAUAAACGUCAAGAACGAUGUUUCAGAAAAUUUCUUGACGUUUUUUUAUUAAAAAUGAAAUCUUUCUUGACGUUUUUCGAAAAAAACGUCAAGAAAUGAAAACUGCAAACGUCAAGAGAGCCUGUUUUUGUAGUAGUGAACUUAUUAACUAGGGAUGUGUUAACUUUUUGUUUACCAAAAGUUUGUUUGAAAUAGUUAGGAUUUUGAAAUUAUUUUCAUUCUCUAAUAAUCAAUUCAGGCUCACACAUAAUUUAUUCAAUAUACUUCAUUGAUUAUCUCGAGUUUCUAUAUUGUUCUAUCUUUUUUAUAUUUUUUUCUUAUUUAUUUCUAAUCUCUUCCGGUUGAUGAUUUAAAAUGGAAUUUACAAUGUUAGUCGCAUUCACUAUGAUGCCAGACUGAAUUUUGAGAGUUUCAAACAUUAAAUUGAAUAAAACAAAUAAUUUUGCAAAUAAUUCUUAGUCUACUUGUUUUUUGCAAAUAGUUUCCGAAACUGCCCUCUAUUGCUGCAGUUAAUAGUCUAACCCCCCAUUAAAUUGAAGUUCUUCUGGAAGAUUUGAAAGAAAAGCUUCUUUCAAAGUUCACUAGAAAUUAGUCAUCUGUAAGAGCAUUUCAAUCUUAUAAUCUUCCAUUGUUCAUAAAUAAGAAUUAUGAGCUUUUGCGUGUACUGUCUCAUUGGUUUUUUUAAAAGUACAAACCUAUCGAGCUCAUGAGUACCAAUCCACCCCCAUGAAGGUGCCCUAUCCUGAGCACCAUUCCUGUGAACAAUUUUGAAAUCCCUCCACAUUCCCCCUUGUGCUCAUAGGUAUGCUCAUAGGUAGCCCCAUUCAAUCAUGAAAACCCGACCAAAAUUUUAAAUCAUUUUCUUUAUGUAUUCCUAUAAUGAUCGUGAUUAUAAUCACUUCCAGGUGAAUUAAAACUAUCCCUAGCCCGAUAUGAAGGAUUAAACCCGAUUUUGAUUGCAAUUCAUAGUAUUUAAGUUGUAAAAAAAAAUUAAAUUUACAAGGAUCUGUUUGGAAUUACGUAAGUUGAAUUAAAUUAAAAUACUAAAAAAUGUGGAAAAAUAAAAAGAAGGGUAUCACAUUUAGGUUGUUUACCUUUACCGUCGUAGAUCGUUAUUUAUGUUGGUUGACAUGAACUUUGUGCAUGUUUUGUUGUUGCAUUUUGUAUUACCGCACCAAGUGCACUUUUGGAUUUGCACAUGUUCUCUAGUAGAAGGAAUGCUAUUAACACGCGGUUUACCAACGAUGGUAGUUACUUUUUAUGAUAGUAUAACACAAUCCAUGUAUUUUGGUGGUCUUCUCCACUUCGAAGGAUGUUUGACAGGGAAGAUUAGUUCAACAUAUGUUAAAUAUCAAUGAUUCUACUCAAUAAUAUUGGCUACAAAGGGUCUACGGGUUAAUGUUUUGUGACCUUGGAGAAACGAUUGUGUGUGAGCAUAGAAUCUUCAAGUAGUUGAGCAUCUUACAUGUGCAUUGGUGGCUGUUUAAAUUGAUCAGAUCAUUCAAGCAAUCAGACCUCUAAUGUGCAUAAAAUUUAUGACUAACAUUUAUCAGAGCACAAAGAAUGGAUCUAACACUAGUAGAAAAGUGGUCUACGACGACAGUUAUUUAUUGUCGUAAACGAAAUUCAUGACAGUUAUUUUCAGUCAUAGAAGCGGGAGUCAUGGAAAGUCCUUCGAUGACAAUUUUUAAAAAUUGUCGCAAUAAGUUAUUUUAUGACAUGAAAUAAAUGUCGUUAAUCAGAAUUCAACGACAUCAAAUAAUUGUCAUAUUUUAUUUUAUGACAACAAAUAACUAUCAUCAUUUGUGUAUUAACGACGGUUAAAUAAUGUCGCAAAUUCAUUUAUUGUGACAUUUUUUAAUUGUCAUGAAUAUGUUAAUCGUGACAGUUUUUUUGUAUAAAAAUGUCAUUGUUUUACUAUUGACGACAUUUUUUUCCUGUCACAUAUAGGGCAAUCGUGACAAUUUAUUUUAUUAAACAACUGUCAUCGUUUUCGGAUUGACAACAAUUAAUAACUGUCACAAAUUCAUUUAUUACGUCAUUUGUUGCAAAUUUCUCAAUUUACUACAGUUUUUUCCUGUUCUCCUUGCCACUCCACCAUUACACGAACCAUUUGAAUGACAAUAAUGUAGCUGAGAAUGACAAUUUUGAAUUUAUAAUAUUGACACCCAUAUAGAAAAAAGUAGCCAACACUUUAAUAUAUAUACGAUAUAAUACAAUUUAUAAUAUUCGUACAUUUCCAAUCAAGUGUCAACAAUUUACAAGUACAGAAUCCCAACCCUUAAUCAAAAAAUAUUUUAAAUAGCAUUAGAAUACAUCUAACAAGAUUUUCUGCAGAAGCAUAAACGACCAACCGAGAAUGUUCGUCUCUGAAAAUGUUCUUUGAAAGUAAACUUAUGAAGUUGUCGACUCCAGUUGAAUCUACAAAGACAACAUGAAUAUAAGCAUCCAUCAUAGGACAAGAGAGUACAACUCUUAUAGAAACUUUCAACAUUGAGCAUUACCUAUCACUACAUGCGUCGAUAAGAGAAACAACUACAUAGCAGAGCACAAAUGUAGAAUAACAGCAUCACCGUAACAUCCACUUGGUCUACAAUAUUGAAACUUUUUAUAAAUUACAACUCUUGUAUCAUUGCUCUUUAGAAAAUUUACCUGGAUAUAAAUAAGUAAUCUACAAGGAAAUUAUUGAAUAAGUAAUCAUAAGUAAUAAUCGAGAUGAAUGAAACUUAAGAAUCCAUUAGUAGUUCACUGUCAAUAAGGUUGGAAGAAACGUUAUCCGACAAGAACUGAAAAAUUUCCAUCUUAAGGAGUCAAACACUUUCAAUCUACAAAUAUCAUAAAUAAGACAGUUUUCAUGUGUAAUCCACUUCAGUUAACGAAGCCAAGAAAUAUUAAGGUACUAGGAAAAUGAAACUAGAACAACUUGUAUCAUUUAUGGCUUAACAAAAAUAAAGGUCUCCUAGUUUCUUAUCCAAAAAAUGCUCUACCAAUGAGUACGACAUAAAAUCCAUGACAAUUUACACAAGUAGCAAUUUAGCAAUAGCAAUAAGUACAGACAUAACACCCAUGACAAUUUACACAAGUAGCAAUAGCCAACCAGUACAAGCAUACUAUCCAUGAUAAAAAAAAAAAAAAAAAAAGGUAUCUAUUACUCUUAAUCCUAUAAUAUGAACGACAUUAACUAAGAAGGGACCAUUGACAUGUACCUGAUGUUCUAAUUCCAUGGAGAUCGAAGUCCCGAAUGAGCUUCCAUAAGUUAACAUCCUACAAUACAAUACAUUUUAGUCAAAUCAUAUAGCAACUCAUUAAACAUAUAGAGAAGGACUUCCAACUGACAUUUGGAAAAGAGUUGGGUUGAUCAAUUUUUGUGGCAUGGGGAGCAAUGUUAUCUUGAGCAAAUUGUUUAACACUUUCUUUGAACUGCAAUCAAUUAAUCAAGAAUUUUGAUAUAUUGACAUUAUAAAUGAAACUACAUACAAAUCAUUGUUGUAAUAAACUAAUUUGAACCAUUUACUAUCAUUUAAAUAAAGCGAGAGAGAAAAGAGGAAGCCUUAAAAGCAAGAUUCUUAAUAUAUCCUCAUAAAAAAAAAAAAAAAACUUGUUCAAGUGUCAAAGUCGACAAAAAAAAAAAAAAAAAAACUGCAACUGACAAAAACGAAAGAACUAUGAUUAUUUGAUGAUGUUUGGUUCAAUAAGUAGGAAUGUAGCUCGUAACCUUUUCUCAUUUUCUCCAACUGCCAGAACAUUCAGGACAUUUUUUAAAGAUUCACAACACUCUAUCACUUCACAUUUCAUGUACUCAUCUGCAUAAAUGUGCUUCCAUAGGUCAGAAUCUCUGGAUCGAAAUUCAACAGCCAUAUCCAAUGCUAUUGGAAUCUGUAGCAGUAGAAAAAUUGUUAACAGUUGCUAUAAGUAUGCCUAAAAAUUAAAAGAAAACAUAAAUGGGCUAUAUUGACCUUGCUGGCUAGUAAAAAGGGAGGCAUUUGGAUUAUUUUUAGGCUGGGAUCUGAGGAAUAAGGAACUAGCAAGAGAUCCAUCUCCCUGUUUCAUUUGAAAAUUCAGUUUAGUUUUAAAAUUAUAAUUAGAAGGAUGCUUGGAAUGAAAAUUUCUAAUUUUUAGGCAAGAGUUCUAAUAAACUCUAUGGUCGUGUCUCCUAAUCCUCCGUUUCUAACUUUAUUGUUUUCCCUAAGAGAUUUGACAAGAUACUUUUAUCUGAUAUUGAAGAAAUUUCACCAAUUGUGGGCUGCAAAUAGUUCAAACAGAACUAGUAUUGGAAUAUAUAGAAUAUACAAAAUACCCUAGCCCAUAAGAAACAAAAGAAAUCCAAAACAUAGAAGAAGCAAAAGUCAUUAAAAGAAAUGGAUGAAGUGCAAACAUACACAAGACAACUAGCAGUAACUACCACAAUAUGCUUAUGAACCAACAACUGAAGUAACCUAACUAAUAACAAAGUCAACCUAUCACAAAAGCACAAGUUUUCAUUUUUCAACCAAUAGAGGCAUGCCUGCAAAUAACCAUCAUCUUUUGUAGACUUUAGAAAGAUGUCUGACAAAGCAGACAAUAACUUAGGAGAAGAGGACUUAAGUAUAGUCCGGAAAAUAUGAGACUACAUUUUUCAACUAAAAGGCUAAUUCCUUAGACAUCAUGUAAAUCAAGUCCCUUUGGAUUGCAUAAACAUGGCACCAACUCCAUUGCUGAAUGAAUAAAACAUAAACUACCUUAAUAAAGCAUAAAUUUACCCAAAUGCAAUCUCGUGAAUUAAUUGCAACAUCUUUAGAGAACAUAAAGGGGCUAUAUUGACCUUGGGAAAGACAAUUUGAAUGAAUAAAUCAUAAACUACCUUAAUAAGUUCAUCAGAUGCAACGUAUCCUAUCGCUUCUUCAAGACUCAUAUCUGCAUUUAAGUUUAGAAUUAGAUGUUAGUGUGAGUAAUUAUACUUAGGAAAAGAUAAUAAAGCUUUUCAGCCUACUCGUGCCCUGACAUUCUAGAACUGAAUUCUACAUCUUGGAUACUGGAUUCACAAUAACACUAAAAUAUAUACAAUUGGAACUCAAUGUAGAAAUAACAUACAAGUCGAGGUGGAGAUAGCUUCACGUUUUCAUCUUUGCAAGCAGAACGGAUAUUGGUAAGUUUUCUUUAGUUCUUACAAGAUUAACCUAGAAAAAAGAAAAUUGCUUACCAUGUAAAUCAAGUAGAAAUUACAACUUCGAUCCAAAGUCUAAACAUAAAGUUCUCAACUUACAUCUAGAUCUGAUUCCCUAGAAUGUUCUCCAAUAAUCAUUCCAUCAUAAGUCUGGAACAUAAAUUAUCAGGAAAACUGAAGCAGAACAUUUUCGAGGACCCAUAUAUUAUCUACAAUGAAAAGAUAGUGGAUCCUCAGUCUAAUGGAGACAACAAAAUAUACAUUUAGACCAACUCAUAGCAUAAAAGAUAAUAGGUCUAUGAAUCAAAUGAUUUCAGGGUAUCAAAAAUAGCUCCUAAACAAACGUAUAUAUAAUUGAACAUCCACGCUUCCUGCCUAUGAAAACAGGGAAACAAUUAAUUCACGAGAUGGAACAUUUUGAGCAACUUCUAUCCAAAAGGAGGAAAGAGGGGUGGAAAGUGUACACUAAAAAACCAUUAUGCACCAUAUAGAUGAAUUGACAUGACUUAGCUACAAAUACUUGUGCAAACUGCAAAAUGACAGCAACUAGCACAAUAAAAACAAAUCAAACAAUUUUCUAAAUGGUGAAUUGCCAAUUGCCAAACUAAACUUCAUUACAACAAGUCUAAUAUACUAAGUUAAAAAUAGGCUUCAACGUGUGUAACAAUCAGAUCAUAGAACACACUCGCACAAUGCAAAAGAAAAAGAAAAAAACUUUUAAAGCUUCAGACACAUAUUGUCAAACACCUUACAAGCACAAACUAAUAUCAUAUUUUCUCAUAAUCUCACCAAAAAAAAAUCUUGUUUAAGUUUCAAGAUAGAAUUGAUUGAUGAUGUUCUUUUCUAGAAGAUUUCAAGAAAUAAAUAAGAGAAUACUUCAACUUUUCUGCAUGAUUCCAAAAUCCCAUCAAUCAAGAAAUCUUGUUGUAAUCCCACAAGGAAAGCUUAUGUUCUUCCUCCGUCCACAGUACAACAAGAUAAAACCUAACGAAAAUCCUAAAUGUAUUAAGUGAAAAUCCCCACAAAUUAUCAGUCAUUUACACAACUACACCAAAUCAUAUCUUAAAAUCACAAGGUAAGAAAAAAUGGAUAUGUUGCUGUUGAUCAGUAUCAUCAUCAUCAAGUUACUGUUUGAAAUCAUUUUCUUUAAGCUUCACUCUUGAUUUUGUUUGAGAUUUAUGAGGAAAUAAAACAGGAGGCUCUUGAUCUUAUGGGUUAAAGAUUGAAUUCAUAGCUUGAUCCCAUAGUUUCAACCAUAACUUAAAGUACUCUAAAACAUGAACUUAGGAUCUUGAUCUUAUGGGUUAACGAUUGAACUCAUAGAUUAGAGUGUGAGAAUGACUUUCUUUUUUGCAUAAAAGGGAAAACAAUGGUAAUGGUGAACAACAUUUUCUCUUCGAUGCUUUGUUUUUCAUUUCCAUCUUCUUUGUACAUUCUUAGAAGAAAUUGUUAUUUAUGAUUAUUGUACAAGUGUGAGUAUGUUUAUAGAUGUUUUUUUAUGGGUAUUAAAAAUAUGCUACUUCGGUAUCACUUAGGUCUUCAUAAGAUUACUCAUUGCCUCUUAAGAGUAUGGAACUUGUCAAUUUUGCUAGGUUUCGUCUUGCUACAACAAUGGAGGAUUUCUAGAGGGUCAAAGGUGAACAUUGAAACUAUGGAAGCACCCUAUGUUUUCUUAAUACUGAAAUUUUUAGUCAUAUAUAUAUAUUUUGCUAAGUUGGACAAAGGUUUUAACAAGACAAAAGGGAGUCUUAUAAGUUAUGUACUCAUUUCAUGUUUUGGUUUUUAGGCACAGUAAAAAGGAUACUUCCUUUUGGUUUUAUUUUGGUUUGAGUUUGUUGUUAUCUUGUUGUUAGGGUAACAAUUGAGUUAUCUUUUGUAGAUUUAUUUUCUUGGAUGUGGGAUGAAAUAUAGGUGGGGACUUAUGUGUAUAUUUUCUAAAAUGUAAAAUGUAGGUUUUGGUUGUCAUUGUUUUGGUUUUUGUAGAGAAAAGUUCGUGAGUUAAGUUUUGUUUUUGUAAGUUCGAUUAAGAGUUAUGUUUGAAAGUUGCUAUAUGUUUUGGUUGUAAAGAAAGGUUCAUAAACAUACGUUUAGAAUUUAAGUUUAGAUUGUUUUCUUGGACAUGGGAUGAAACAUAAUUUUGUUUUUGUAAGUUCAUAUUAUUUAUUCAUCUUCUUUUUUCAGAUUUCUUCAGCCACUCUUCCAAUUUUUCUUUCUUCUACUAAAUUCAUAUUAUUUUUCUUUAUUUUUUGAUCAUCUCUUUCUUUCUUUCACCACUCUUCCAGAAUAUCAAGAUUGCUUAAAUAUCACUUUGAUAUGAUCUAAAUGAUCACUUAUCUAGUCAACAUGAUCAACAAGAUCGUUUAGCAUUACAUGCCAAUACAAUCGUUUAGAUUUGAAACCAUUUUUCCAUCGUUAAAAAAGAACUACACGAUCGCGUAGAUAUGAUCUAAACAAUCACUUACCAUAGUUAACAUGAUCGUUUAGGAUGAUUACUACAAUCAUUUAGAUUUGAAGUCAUUUUUCUAAAUAACUACACAAUUAUGUGGAUAUGAUCUAAACGAUCGCUUACCAUAGUCAAUAUGAUCGUAGCAGUCAUUUAGAUUUGAAGCAUUUUUUUCAUCAUUAAAAAAGCUACACGAUUGUGUUGAUACUAUCUACAUAAUUGUGUAUCAUUUUCUACACUAUCACGUAUUAUGAUCGUUGAUUGUGUAAUAUUUUUUACACGAUCAGAUAUCAAGAUUGUUUAGAAAAAGAAUUACACGUACAUGUGUGAUCGAUCAAUCGAGUGUUGGCUGAAACAUAUUUUAUAUUUUUUAUUAUGGACUUAUUGAAUUUUUUUUGUUUACAAAAUAGCAGUAGAAUGUAAAUAUUGUAGAGGUUGGUUAUAUUUUUGGAAACACAUCAAAAACUAAAUUUGAGAAAAGAAAUUCAUAUCAAUGCCGACAGAAAACGGCUACUAAAAACCGGAGAAAAGCUAUAAUGAUAAUAAAGCCACACUAAUUUAUUAACGUUUUCUCCUAAGAAAACAAAUAUACUAACGUCGUUUUCCUUACGGUUGGAAGUUAGAACCCCGUCAAGCGUAACGGAGCUACGGGAACUAGAAACGGGAUACUUGCAGCUACCGACACUCAUAUCCAAGCCUCUACCUUCGGAUCCCGAGCCUGAGCUCCGAAUUUACACUCGCAGCUUUCUCCACUGAACCCGAAUCCCCCUCCCUGGCCCUUUCUCAGUGGUGACUGAUGGCUCAUCACUGCGUCUUUACUCCCACUAUCCCCAUUCACAUUUCUUCUUCCCUUCUCUUUCUCACUCCCACAGAAGGGAAAGUUCUUCUUCACAAUCUCUCUGGUUUUUCUCCUCCAAUUCCCAAUUUUAAGUAAUUCAGUUUGUAUUUUCCAUUGUUUCUUAGCGAAACUCAUCUGGGGUUUUCAUCUCUUUAACUUCUGAAUUUCUUGUUCAACCCUCGAAUUUCCAUUGCGACCCACCCAUCUUUCGUUACUCCUUUUGAAAGAUGAUGCACGCCAAAUCCGAUUCGGAUGUGACGAGUUUAGCUCCAUCCUCGCCUAGGUCACCGAAGCGGCCACUCUACUAUGUGCAAAGCCCUUCGAGAGAUUCUCACGAUGGCGACAAAUCUUCCACCCAUGCCACUCCUGCCUUCAACAGCCCCAUGGAAAGCCCUUCUCAUCCAUCUUAUACUCGCCACUCUCGCUCCUCGUCGGCGAGUCGGUUUUCCGGUACGUUUCGAUCCUCUCUUGGCCGGAAAGGUAGCCGGAAACGCAACGAUAAAGGGUGGCCAGAGUGUAAUGUGAUUGAAGAAGAGGGGGACUAUGAUGAUCUAAAUGGAGAUAAAGGGUUAACUAGAAGAUGCCAGAUUCUGAUGAUUUUGCUUGCUUUUGUUUUUAUCUUCUUGUUGUUCUGUUUGAUCAUUUGGGGUGCUAGCCGACCUUUCAAAGCAGAGAUCAAACUCAAGGUUGUGUUUCUAACUCUAUAUAUACUCUGAAACUAUAUAAAAUUAUUAGAAUAUUGAUUUGUUUUGUUGUAGUUGAUUAGAAUAAUAUUUGCCUAUAGUUGUGAAUAUUUUAAGACUUCUCUGGCGUGUAGGAUCUUUGUGAAGAAUUGAUACUAUCUUUAACAACUUCAUAUAUAUUUCUAUUUUCAUUCUUCUUUUGUCUAACUAUGGUUUUGGCUGCUGCACCAUAACUUCUCAGUUAAGGAUUUGAUGAUUGAAGUUAUUUGGUUGUCAAUGUAUGAGAAGUGAUUUUUGUUUCAUUGUUUUUAUCCUCUUUCUCUUACAGAGCAUGACCGUUCAUAAUGUAUAUUUUGGAGAAGGAUCAGACACAACAGGAGUUCCAACCAAAUUACUGACUAUCAACUGUUCAUUAAGGAUCACUGUUCACAAUCCUGCAACUUUCUUUGGCAUUCAUGUCAGUUCCUCCCCCAUCAAUCUUAUGUACUCCCAGAUUGCAGUUGCCUCUGGUCAGGUAAAAUUCCUAACGACAAACUUCCAUAAAAUAAGGCACUAAGAAACUGAAAUGGAGACUGAUCCACAGGAAAGGGAAAAUAUAUGAGAUCUUUUCUUACUUUGCAGUUGAAGAAAUACUAUCAACCGAGACAGAGCAAUCGAAUCAAAUUGGUGAAUCUUCAAGGGAACAAGGUGCCACUAUAUGGGGCUGGAGCAACCCUUGAAGCCUUGGAUAAAAAUGGAAACAUUCCUAUGAUGUUGGUGUUUGAAGUACAUUCAAGAGGGAAUGUGGUAGGGAAACUAGUAAGAUCAAAGCAUAGAAGGCGUGUAUCGUGUUCUUUGGAGAUUGACUCUCGCAACUCGAAGCCUAUGAAGAUUAAAGCUGAUUCAUGUACAUAUGAUUGAGACAUUAGAAUCUCCAUCUUGCAUCCUUCUUUUCAUUGGAAGGGAAAGAUUCUACCUGUAGGGGAUCAAACUAUGGUUGUAAAAAUAGGCUGUUGACUUAGUUCUUUCUUCUUGACAGCAAUGGAAUAAAUAAGGAAAAAAAAAAAGAUGAGUGGAUCAGUUUAUGGACAUACUAUUUUUAUUACAACUACUUUCCAUAAAACAAUAGAGCAUGCGCAAUUAUGGUACAAUUAUUUGACAAAAUGAAAUGAUAUGUUCUUUAUGCUUCUAACAAGACAACAUUGUUUUAUAAAUUAAAGCACUUUACUGCCUAUUGAAAAGGAAAAUGGAGCUAGCAGUUUAACGAUGUUUUCUUAAAUAUACUUUUUGUGGAUAAGAUAGUUAAAUCACAAAUAAAAAUUGAAAAAAAAAUGAAUGUGUUUUUACUUUUUAUUAUCAUAAAAGAGAAUACUAAAGUUUUUUUUCAUAAAGUUUUCUUUUGGAACACAUAAACAAAAUAGUAAAUUUAACUUUUGUUUUCAUCCAAUAUCACUCUACAUUGGAAUUAACUUACCUCAACCCACUCAACCCACACUAGAAUGUUAUUUCAUUUGUCCUCCCAGUAAAAAUUGGUAAUUAGACAGAAAAAAUAAAGAGGUUAGAGACCGCUGAAUAAAUGAAAUGCUUAAGCUUAAGAUUUUUUUUUUCUUUGCGUGAGAGUUAUCCAACUUGAGUUAUGGGGAAAAUAAUGAGUUUUUUUUUCAAAAGAAAAACAAAAGAAUAAGAAAAAAUUAUUUAAAUCAUAGUCUAAUUGAUUUAAUAAUCUAUGGAUCUAUUUGACAUUAAUUAGAAUUAUAUACAUAACUUUGAAUUUCCUCGAGCCCUACGAGGAGAAAACUUAAAUUCUACUUUGGUCUCUAAAUGUAAGACUUGUACUUAAGUUAAGAAGUAAAUUGUUGAUUAAAUGUUUAAGAGAAGGCAUUUUGAUUAGUUUUCAUGGUAAGAGGUUGGUGAUUUGAAGUAGUAUGAGAGAAAACAAGGUUAUGUGGUAAGGACUUCUCGACGUUUAAGUAAUUAUAUGCGAUUGAGAUACUACGCCAAAUGAAAGACUUGGUGAGAAGAAGUAAGAAAACUUCUAAGAAAUUUUCUAAGUUUGGUUAAUGGGCCACAUGUAGAGUUUAAGUUAAAGUAGGAUUAAAUUAAACCUUAAGCUUACACGUGCACAAUACAGGUAGGAGUUGGUGAGAGUUGGUGAGCUGACAAUAGUUUAAAGAUAGAGAGUGCCAUAUGUGGAUUUCUUUGUCUUCAUAUAACAUAUAAGGUAUGGACAAUAUAGCAAAAAUGUAGCAUUAACGAAUUUUCUAGUCUGGCCGAGUCCUCGAAAGAAGUUUUUAUGGGAUCCCUAUCUACCAAAAUUUUGACUUCUGGUUCCGGCGAACGAAUAAUCAUUGAGUCCUCCUCUUUCCGGACAACACAUACAAAGAGACCCGCCAAUAGUUAAGUAAUUAGUGAACCUAUGAGAGAUUUUUCUACUUAGUUUCUUUCUCUGCUAUCUCCCAUCUAUUUUAUUUUUUUUUAUUUAGUUAUUCACUAGAGCAAUUAUGAUCUAGAAGUUGAUCCGGGGCAAGUGUUCGGAUCUAUUAUGACAUAGCCAUGAGGCGCUCAACGGACCUUUUGAAUCUUAUAAAACCUUUUUCCGGGUUUUGAAUUGACACAAAUUCAAUUUUUUUGUAGAACCUAAUGUAUUCACAUAUCUCGAUUAGAAGUUCCUAAAUGGAACUACUUUAUGUCUUACAUAGAACAUAUUUCGUAGUCUUUCAUAACAGAAAUAUUGUUAAGAGUCUUCUGUCGUGAAAACAAAAAAGUUUGUGACGCUGAAAGAGGCCUUCGCAAUAAAUCAGCUACAAUUGGAAAUGCCUUUUAUCUCAUACUACUCUUUCGAUACAUAACCUAAUGGUUUAGAAAAAAAAAAAAAGAAAAAAAUUCUCAUAUCGAAUUCAAAGUGCCAUGCUAUUAUUACUUAAUAUUUUAUAUCGCGAAGGCAUAGUUUUUUGUCUAAAAAAAAAAAACUCAUUGGCGCCGAGCGUGAGGGAAUGCUAGACGUUUGGUAAUUUCUCCUCCGACUAGAAUAAAAGAUCCCAUUGAAGCGGCUAAUCCAAUACAUAUUGUAUGGACAUCUGGUGACACAAAUUGCAUAGUAUCAAAAAGACCUACUCCGGGUAUUACCGAUCCACCGGGAGAGUUUAUAAAUAAAUACUGAUCUUUGGUACCAUCCUCUAUACUGAGAUAUACCAUAAGACCCAUAAUUUGAUUCGAGAUCUCAUUAUUAACAUCUUGGCCUAAAAAAAGUAAUCUUUGUCGAUAAAGUCGGUUGAUUAGGAUAAAAUUGUAUCCCGUAAGAAGCGUACAAGUAUUAGAAAAAUUCUAUAUUUGUGUGAAUCGUUAUUGGUUUGAUACCAAUAAUAGCAGUCGUUUUAGUAUGCUAAGGAUCCAUAUGUAUCCACAAUUGAAAAUUCGUUAAUGCUACAUUUUUGCUAUAUUGCCCGUACCAUAUAUGGUAUAUGAAGACAAAGAAAUACACAUAUGGCACUCUCUUAGAUUCUGAUAGACGAUAUUAAUUCAAUGACGUAUCUAUUCGAUUUAGAAAUGAAUCCAGAAAAUAUUCUUAUUUCAUUUUAAAUUCAAAUUUGCAGUCUAAAUAUUUUUUGUGCAUGCAGAAAUAUACCAGACUUUUGUAUACCUAUCUAAAUACAAUUUUCAAAAAUUGAAUUGCUAAAUUUUAUAAAAAAAAAAAAAAGAAAUUCUUAAUCAAAGUAAGAUUAUUGUGUAUAUCAAAUUAAAAUGAGUAACAUUAUUAUUACUGAUCACUAAUAAUUUAUAAAAAAAAUAAAAAAAGGAGGCUAAGGAGAUUUCAUUUUAUGGUAAAAAAUUCAUUCAGCUCAGUUAUUUCGCAAGAAGAAAAAAAAGAAAAUGGAGGAUCCGUUGAAUUUCAAGUAGUCAGUUUCACCAAUAAGAUACGAAGACUUACUUCACAUUUGGAAUUGCACAAAAAAGACUAUUUAUCUCAAAGAGGUCUACGUAAAAUUCUCGGAAAACGCCAACGAUUACUUUCUUAUUUAUGAAUAUUACUUGCAUGAAUGAUUUGGCCAAUCAUGAAUUGGUUAUGAAACCAUGUAAAUGAGAAUUUUACUAAAAAUUCUCAAGAGAUACUAAAAAAAUUCAUUAAUCUCUAUAUGAAUGUUCAUUUGGUAAGAGUUGAUCAACAUAAUAUUCCACUUUCUUAGUUAGAAUCUUGCCUGGUGAAGUAACUGUGUUUUAGAUGUAUACAUAGGUAAAGCCGUGUGCAAUGAAAAAUGCAAGCACGGUUUGGGGAGGGAUUUUUUUUACUUAUUUUUUUUUUAAGUAAAUUAUCGACUCCAUCCGACUAGUUCCGGGUUCGAGUCCCGGGCAACCCAUAUUAAUGAUGAUAGUGAACUAAUUUAUCAUAUCAAAAUAAUCUAUCAAGUCUAAUUCGAUUUUUUAAUGAAUGAAAAGAAUUAAAUAAAAAAAAGAAAGAUUAAUCUAGAUAACUAAUAAAAGCAUAGAUAUAUAUUGGAAAAUUGCCAAAAAUAGGUAAAAAAUGGGGUAGAAAAUGAGUUUUAGGAUUGAUUUUAAAAAAGUUGAGAUUUAUGACAAAUUUGGAGUGAAAUGUCCAGAAUACCCUUAUUUAAUUUUACUUCACAUUUGUCUCUUCUCUUCCAACCUCUCUUCAACGUAUAGUACGUAAAGGAGAAAAAAAAACAAAAAAAACCCAUUUGCAGUUCUUCUCCUCUCUAAAAAAUUUGUCAACUUUCUGCUUUACUCCGGUGUCGUUCAUCCUCUACUCCGGUGAACAUCUCACGCACUGUGGUUUGUUUUAAUUUUUUUUUAAUUCGAAUCGUGUUGUGUUAUAUGUAUAUAUAUUUGCAUCUUAUAUGUAUAAAUCAAAUAUAAUUUUUAAUUGUUUCAAGUUGAUUUAGGGUUGUUUUAGAGUUGUUUCAAAGGAUGUUAGCAAGUUAUUAAUUUUUUUUUUUAUCUCGCAAACAUCUCGCAGACAUCUCGUAGGUUCUUAAAUUCAAAUGUUUAAUCUCAAAUGAAUUGAUUUAGGGUGACUUUUAACUAUUGUUUUAUGUAUCUCGCAAUAUCGUAAACAUUUCGUAGCUGUCAAACUUUAAAUGUCCAAGACUGAAUUAGUUAUAUACUUAUUUAGGAUGUGACUAUGCACGUUUUAUUUAGUGUUUAGCUACUAUUUUUUAAUUUCGUAAAAUAAGUCAAUAAACUUUUUUUAUGUGAUAUGUCAAAUUCUAACUUCAAAUCAGUUUUUGCAGCAAUUAAAAAGUAUAAGGUGGUUUAAGGAUGUCACAUGUUCGGAUGUUAGUGUGUUACGAUGGUACAUGGGAUGAUGAGCGAAGAAAAUACGAAGAAGGCAUGUUAAAAGGCAUCGUUGUCAGUAAAGAAAUAACACAUAAAGAUUUACAGGCAUAAUUAUAUGACCUUGCAGAAGUUGACCCUACAAAGUUCGACAUAAUGAUAAGAUGCAUAUAUGAAAUAAAAGUGGAACACGAAGCUCCUCCAUUUGAGUUAAGCAAUGACCGUGAUUUGAAGUUUUAUCUUCUUAGUGAAAAUCCACUAGAGGUCCCUUUAUGCGUCUCAUUUGAGCCUAAAAGUAAUCAAAGCAAAAAAAUGUUAAACAAAGAUUACAAUUUAGUAUCUGAGAGCAACCAAGCUCAUAACUUAAACCCUCAUCCUCCAAUUGCAAUGAAUACAUUAAAUGAGAAUGUAGUUCAUGUUUGUGAAGUUGAAGUUGGUUUGUGUGAUAACAUGAUAGGGACCACUUCGGCUAUAUGGGAAUCAUAUGAGUCAUAUGAUUCGAAAGAUAAUACUUUUCCAUGGGAGCCAGUUGAGAUGAAUAAUGAAUCAUUUGACAUCCCACAACAUAGAGAUGCUCCUACAAAAGAUUGCAAAGGAAAAUCUAAAGUUCAUUACAGCUCUUCUAGCCGAAAGUUGAAGACAGAAAGAAGUGAUUGGUCUAAAGAAAGCUCUACAAGUGAGGAGUUUGAUGUACGACAAAUAUUUUUUUCCAAAAGAGAUUUGCCAAUGAGAUUAAGUGUCUUGGCGAUGAAAUUUUUUUUUCAGUUUGUAGUAAAAAAGUCUACAAAAAAGGUUCUUUUUAUUAGAUGCAUUGACAACAAGUGUGGUUGGAGACUGCGAGUGAUGAGAUUGAAGGAUUCAAAUAUAUUCAAGAUUAAAAAGUAUGUCAAAGUUCAUUCGUGUUCUCUUGAGUUUUUGAAUCGUGAUCAUAGGUAAGCAAAAUCUUGGGUUGUUGGAGAAUUAAUAAAGUCAAAAUUCAAUGGAGUCGGUCGUCUAUACAAAUCAUGUGAUAUCAUUGAAGACAUGAGGCAAGACUAUGGCAUAAAUAUGAGUUAUGAAAAAGCAUGGCGUGCUAGAGAAAAUGCGUAUGAACGAGUGUGAGGGUGUCCUGAAGAGUCAUAUAAUCUAUUGCUUAGAUAUGGUGAAGCUCUCAAACUUGCAAAUCUAGGUACAAUAUUUCACAUGGAACUUGAAGAUGAUCGUUUCUUUAAAUAUCUUUUUAUAGCUGUUGGUCCAUGUGUUCGAGGAUUCUUAAACUACAUUAGACCGAUUAUAGUUAUGGAUGGAACAUUCCUUAAGAACAAAUAUCGAGGUCAGUUGAUAGUUGUUGUUUGCUUGGAUGGUAACAAUCAAAUUUAUCCUCUUGCCUUUGGAGUGGUGGACAGAGAAACAGAUGCUUCAAUACAGUGGUUCUUAGAGAAAUUGAAAGGUGCAAUAGGGGAGGUGCCUAAUCUAGGCUUCGUGACAGAUCGAAAAAUAUGUUUUUCUAAGGGUAUUUCAUCGGUUUUUCCCUCCGCAUUCCAUGGACUUUGUGUCCAACAUUUGACUCAAAAUUUGAAUGAUAAAUAUAAGAAUGACAUUGUAGCUACUUUGUUUUACAAUGCAUCUAGAACAUAUCGUGAAUCAACGUUCUCAGAAGCGUGGAGAAGUAUUCUUGCAUUUCCUAAUGGUUCAGGAAAAUAUUUAAACGAUGUUGGAAUAACACGAUGGUCUCGUUUUCACUGUCCAGGAAGACGAUAUAAUAUGAUGACAACAAAUAUAGCAGAGUCCAUGAAUUCUAUACUGAAAGAACCUAGAGAUUUGCCUAUUGCUUCAUUCCUUGAACAUGUUCGAGCUUUGCUACAACGUUGGUUUUGGGAGCGUCGAGAAGAAGGCAUUAAAGUGACGUCUAUAUUGACUAAAUGGGCAGAGUUAGUUUACCAAAGAAACAAGAACGAGCUUUGAUAAUGAAGGUCAACCCAAUUGAUUGUUACCAAUUCCAUGUUAAAGAUUUAGAUAAAAAGGAGGUCGUAAAUCUUCAUACUCAAGAGUGCAUUUGUAAGGAGUUUCAAGCUGAGCAACUACCAUGCGCACAUGCCAUUGCUGUUGCACGGGAUCGCAAUAUAAAUGUUUAUAGCUUAUGUGCUAACUAUUACACUAAUGUAUGUUUGAUGGCAGCAUAUUCGGAGGCCGUCUACCCAGUUGGGAAUCAGUCGGAAUGGAAGACAAGUGAAGAAUAUGUACAUAUGACUAUCUUACCUCCGAAAGUAGUCAAAAGAGUUGGUCGACUGAAGAAAAAGAGGAUUCCAAGUGUCGGUGAAGCACCGAAAUUGCAUAAAUGUGUUCGAUGUAAAGAAAUAGGCCACAAUAGAUCAACAUGUACCAAUCCAAUUUCAUACAUCGAGAAGUCGAGCAUACAAGAUUAGUCCUCGUCUUGGUAUGUAGUAUUACUUUUAUACUUGCUUGGUUUGUGCUUGAGUUGUUUGCAUGAUCACAAUGUAAAAAAGAUUCCUUGUUUUAAUGUAGGUGGAAGAUGAUUAUAAAAAUGUAUCCUGAGUUGUUUGCAAGAUCACUAAAGUCAUCUCACUGACAAAUCUAAUUUGAAGAUUUUCCUUCUGCAACUUCAAGACUUUCCUUCUCUUUUUAUUUAUCCUACUGUGAACAUUUUAUAGAAUAUUUACUUAUUGUAUUUUUUUUCACAAUGUUUGUAUUACUUUGCGUGUAACAACCAUUUUAUAUGGUAUUUGGUUUUAUCUUAGUGGAAUUGCAUGUCCUUUCAACUUACUCUGGUUUUGUAAGUUUCCCUUUCUCUUUGCUAUCUAAUUGACAUUCUCUCCUUCAUCUUCAUCUUCAGUUUUCAUUUAUUUUGUUAUAUUAAAACAAUAUUUUGAUUGUUAUAGAAACUGGGGUUUAUUUUGUUUUUCUUUCCUUUUUCCCCCCCUUAAAAAUAGAAGCUUUAAUCAUAGUUUAUGAAAUGCAUCAACAAAUGGAGAAGAUAUGUAUAACUUGAGUAAUGACUAAUAACUAGUGACUAGUGGGAACAUAGAGUAACCAAAUUGUUGACUAAAGUCUGGCUAGCUUGUGGUGCAAAUUGUGACCUUGCUGUUGUUGGACAUUAGGGGAUCUGUUGCAGAAGGUUUUCCUGUCACUCCUUGAGUGACGAGGGCUGGAACUUGAGGAAACUGAGAUUUCUCAUUCUGUUGGGAUAAGCCAACUCCACGUUGUGUAACGAAUUUGUUUGAGAGACCAUAAUUAUAUGAACCUAAAUGCUGUAUUUUCUAAAGGAUUUCUUCCAAUGGAGGUGGAGGUCCAGACAGCUUUACUACAAAAAUUAACAUAAAAUAUCAUGCUAUUGCCAGUAUUUGAAAAAGGAAUGUGAUGAAAGCAGAGGCAUGGCCCCCUGUGCCUAUAAUAAAAUGAGAUGAAAGCAUUAUUUCAAUUAAGUCUCCAAAGAACGAAGCAGAGCCAUGGCCCCCUGUGCCAUGUAUUUGAAAAAUGAAUGUGGGAAACUGAAGGUCAAAAGUUAAAAAGCAUAUAUAAGGUUCUCCUUCGUUCAACUUUAGCUUUUUGGUAGUGGUGGUAAUUUCCAAGUCUAUUUCCAAGCAACUUUUAUUCAACAGUUCUGCAGAUUAAGCUCAAAUAAAUAUACUCUUAUAGCCUAGCUGAUUCUGAUGUUUUCAUGUCACAUCCCCUUUUUGGAGAGUUUUCUUUUCUUUUUCUUUUUCUUUUUUUUCCCUAUGACAUCAAGACAGUCUAACAUAAUUUCAAAAUCAACAUGGAAAAAAGCAAACAUGGUUGUGUUUCCUUCUGAACAUGUAAAAGGAAAAAAAAUCAGCAAAAAACUUUCAUAAUAUAAAAUGGAAAAAAAGACUAUUGUUUUUGUCUCUAAAAAAGAUGAUCAUGAAUAAAAAAAAUGUAAAGUGCAAGGAACCAUGGCAAAAUGAUCCAAAAAAGAUCAGCAAUGUGCCUACUUCCUACCACUUAAUCACACAACAAGCUGACAAAAUGAUUCUUCAGCCAAAGCCAAAAAAGUUGGUUUGAUACCAGAUUUUUAAUUAUAUCUCUCUCACUUCAACACCAAAAUUAAUUAUGGUUGGUUUCAUUUCUUUCUCUAACCAAACCCAAAUGAUGUUGAUCCAUAGCAGUAGCCCCUAAAAAUGCAAGAUAACCACAUCUCAAAUGAUGCUUAUGGGAUUGUACAUACUGCACACUUGAAUUUUUUUCCAAAGAAUAAAAUAAAAAUUUCAAAACCAUAAAAUAACAAUGGUAUUCAUUCCAUUAUAUAAAUGUAUUUAUGUACAUAGUUCGCAACAUAUACGAUAUACAAUUCCUUCAAAAUUUGCAACUAAAAGUCAAUACAUAGGAUUGUUGAUCCAUAAUUGAAAUGCCAAUUGUUUUCUAAAAUAUGACAUGUUUUCUUGACAUAAUGUAGCUACAUCUAAACCAGAAGCUUCGUAUUCGAAAUACUUAAUGGUAAAUACACCACAAUCAUUAUUUUUGCGUUGUAGUGGAAUGGAGUCAACAAUGACAAGUGGCCAAGGUUCCUUGUGUGUUGAUGAUCCAUUCUCCUAGCAAAGAAUCCAGUAGUAUCUAGCAAAUUUGGCACCAUCUCUCGAAUCGACAUUAAUAUUCUUCUCAUAUCUUCGGCACUCGUAAGCGACGGAAGUGAAUCCCAUACCUUGACUUGACAACUUACCAAGUCCAAGCAUAAUAGAAUCCAAUGAUUGCCAUGAAUAUUGAAUGGAGAGUAAAUGUAAUCAACAUUUGUCCAAGGAUCUUGAAAGUCUUGUUUUGAUCCGACAACAUAGUCAACCAAUCGAUACUCCUCCUUCUAGUGAAAUGGCCGAUUCUCUUUAUACAUUCUUGGUAUUCAUGCCACUUCACAACUAAUAGUCUCUGCAAAGAAAAAAAAAUACACAUGUAUAUGUAUUUAUGUCAGACCGAAAUAUAAUAAGACAAUAAGACAAAUAUCAAAAGCAAAUUCAUAACAUAAAGUAUGGUUGCGAAUACAAACCAUGAAGAGUGUGUCUACAGUUGUGAAGUUUUGAGUAGAAGGUAUCAUGGCUAUUCUAAACUUGAAGCGAAUGAGAAGAAAGAGUGCAUCAAAAUGCUAAUAAAAACAAAAGAAAAUAUUUAAUACUUUUUCGGUUUUGAGAUCAAACCAACUUCCUAAAAGCUAUUAUUUUUAGUUAACAAAGAAAUAAGAUUGAAGGUAGAAGUAGUAUUGAUAGGUUUGAUUUUAAAAAACAAACAUGGUUUUCCUAAGUACUCUAGACCUGUAAAGAAGAAAUAAUAAGAAAAGUCCUUACCUCAUCCGCCAACCACCGACGACACAUGAACAAGUCUUUGAAAAAUUCCUUCGAUUUUUUUCUGUGAGAAGUUUCACGCACCUCAUCUUUCGUACGCUUGUCUGUAAUCCAAGCUCUAAGUCGAUCUAAAUUGGCGUCAGGUAUUUUGUGCAUAGGAUCAUAAACAGAUGGUUGAGACUGAGAGGUGGUGGUGGUUGAUUUCGUCGACCGUUUAAUUAAAGUUGUGAAGGGGGUUCACAAGUAAACACUUGCACGCUUGCUAUGUGCAGGCCGAACGUGUGGUUGUUGAGUGGAUAAGGGUUCUAUUUCCAUGAUGUCUAAAUCAAAAUGGGUAAGACUUUUUUCUCCAGUUUCCUCCUUGAAAUCGUCAACGACGUCUAUUGGCUCAUCCAAACCAAUAUGAACCUUCUUCUCUAACACGUCGAUUGUGUCAUCCUCCUUGCGGUCUCUUUUAACACCCUAUAGAAGGUCAAAUUGCAUUAGUAAGGAUAAUGAUAUAAACUAAGCAUCAAGAUUAGCUAUAUCAAAAUAAAGCAUUAGUAAAGAUGAUUUUUACCCCAUUACACAACUUUGAUUCCUAACCUUUUUUUGAAGUUCAACGUGUUUCACCCCAUUACUUGUGUCAUCCUCCUUUGGCAUCCUCAACCAAGAAGGGGUAACGGGUGUGUCAACAUCUUGGGUCUGGGCAUCAUGACCUUCAAAUCCUGUGCAGUCUCCUUCUUCACCCUUUGGAAAUGUCAAAAUGUAUUGGUAAGGAUAACUUUGAAAAUGUUAAUCAAACUUUACUUCCUAACCUUUCUUUGAAGUUCAAGGUGUUUCAAUAUAGUCGACAUAAUUGAUUUUAGGCUUCCACGUUCAUUCUCGAGAACCGCUACUCGGUAUUUGAGUUUCCGAACAACUUCUUUCAUCGUAGACUUCCACUUCUUUUUCUUACUCUUUUUACUCUUUUUGCAGUCAUCAUCAUCAUUACUACUUCUCUUGGUCGUUUUGAACCACCAUUAUUCUCAGAAACGAUGUUAGAUGGAUGGGGUUUGUCAAAAAGUUCUUCUGAAGACAUUCUUAGAUGCUCCUCUUCAGACGUCAUCUCAAUUACCGCAUUAAUUAUGAACUACAAAGCGGAAAAAUAAAUGUAGUUAGGCAAAACAAAAAGGAACAAAGUCAUGCAUACGGUAAGUUAGUUACUAUUGGUUGCUACUUACCAUGGACGAGUCAAACACCUGGCUCUGUAGGACAUGAGACUUUGGCGAUAGUUCGCACACCCACCUUAGCAUUCGUGGUAUGACAUUGUUGCUUACUUUAUGUACACCACAUUCAGUGAUGGUUGAUAUAAAUUCAUAUUCCCAAACCUAUUCCAUGUUCGACAAAACAAGUUUAGCAAGUGUCCCAAGAUAUAUGUAUAUAUAAAUAUGUGCAUAAGUUUGAAGUAGGAAGUAACAUAUCUGUAAUGCAUGCGGAAAUCCCACGACAAUAUAUUUUGUCUUAGUUGAUUUAUUCUUUCCCUUGGCAUGUUGCAUGUCCAAGGCUCGUUUUAAGAAAGAAAUUGUGCGUCCAAAAACCAACCGUCCACAAUCAUAAUUGUUAAAUGUGGUCCAAUCAUCUGCAAUCCUAAAUAAAGUUCGGUCCACUUUGGUCUGCCUAUCUUUUCCUAACAAUGACAACUCUAUAAAGUACACUAAAGCUAAUUUAACUAGGUCAUCAUCAUCGUCAUCCCCCUCGUAUUCCACAAAUGUGUCCUUUAAGUCACUUAUAUAAAUAAACUUUUUUCUUCAAAGAACUUUUCCAACAACCUACUAUUCCCAACCAAUUAAAUAGGCUCUGUUGGAGAACUCCAUAGACCUGUCAUGAUAUUAAACUCUCUCCUACCAAAAGUGCACACAACUCCCCCUAUCAUGAAACUGAUAUGAUCAUUCCUUUCAUCUUCCACCUCCCUUAACAAAAAGUAUUGGAUGAACGACCCAUUAAAGACUAUAUUAAGAUCCAAAAAGUGGCCAAACUUUCUAUUUCUAAAUAAGGUUAAUUGAUCCAGUUUCAAUUUAGCCUUUGUAUUAUGCGUACUAUUUUCUAAAUGAGAUAAACUGCUUACUAAAGCUUGAAAAUGAUGAGAAUGAUCAAUCUUGUACAUGAGACUGUCAGUUGAUGUCAAAGUCAUACUGAAGCCUGCACAAAAAACAAACAAAUCAAAUAUAAUUGCAUAAGAGACUUACUAAACAUGGAUGCAUUGAAAUUUGGAUAAGUGCGAGAUAGGUGCGAGAUAAAAAAAUUAAAGGCUAAUAAACUUGCUAACCCUAAACCCUUAAAGCCCAAUAAACUAGCUAAAUAUGCAUUCUAAACAAUUUAGAAAGGAUAGCAAUCUCAUUUUGAAACUCCUAGUGAAAUUUUGGUAGGUGCGAGAUAUAUGCAAGAUAGGUGCGAGAUAAAAUAUUAUGGCUCAAUAAACAUACAUAGGACCAUUAUAGACGGUUUAGGAAGGGUAGCAAUCUCAUUUUGAAACUUCUACUCAAAUUUUGGUACAUGCGAGAUAGAUGCGAGAAAAAAAAGUAAAGACCAAUAAACAUAUAUUGUAACACCUUUACUAAAAUGAGAUUGCUAGUGAGGGGUUGACAAGUUCAUAAGAGAGGGGUUGACAAGUCAUAAGAGGCUUACCAUAGCAAUAAACAUGUGAAAGGACAUGCUAAAUAAACAUAUGAUAGGGGGUUGACAAGUUCAUAAGAGGCUUACUAAAUCAAAUUGCUUGCACUCCUAAACAUAUAUUGUAACACCUUUACUAAAAUGAUUAAUAAAAGGAGGAAAGCUUACAAUUCUUAUGUUUAGGAACAAAACUAAUUGAAUCAUUUGUCUUCAAAUUCUCUCUAACAAAUGAAUCCUAAUUAAAUUGGUUUGGCAUAGGACGAAUUAAUAUGAGGAGAUGCUUGGUUAUACGAGGCAACAAAGAUUGUAUUUUAUUGGAACUACAUCACUAAAAACAUCAACAAAGUAGAGAACAACAAUGCAACUUUUGAUUAUAAUAAUGUGAUUAACUCUAAAAAUGAUAAUGUCUUUUAACAUUGUUCUACUGGUAGCUUUGCUGAGUUUAGAUGGGAUACCAAAUAUGCUGGAAUUCAUGUUCUAAACUCCAAGGUAUGUAUAUAUAUAUAUAUUACAGUACAUUGCAAAGGAAAUGGAAAUGGUUCUUCGUCCAAUAUGUUGCAUGCAUAUAUAUAAUAGAUUAUUAACCCAAUUAUCUAUUAUUACAAUACAUUGCAAAGGAAAUGGUUAUUCGUCCAAUAUGUUUAUUAAUUAUAUGGUUCUUCUUCCUAAAAAUAGAAUUCAUGUUCCCACGGCUCUCUAUGUAUGUGUGCCUGUAGGACAUAUGCAUUUCUUCUCUACAAAUUUAAUGGUAUAUCUAAGAUGCCUGACAAAAAACUCAGAUUUUAUUACUCACUUGACUUCAAAGAGGAUGGAUAUCGACACUGCCAACGGAGAGGAGUGGAGAAGAAAUGGAGAGGUCCGGUGAAAACAAAGUUGAAAUCGAAAAGGAGUGGGGAAGCGUUCACCGGAGUUGAAGUUGAAACUAAAACAGAGAGCCGUGAAGAAGAAAUGGAGAGGUUCGGUGAAAACGAAGUUGAAAUUGGAAAAGAGUGGAGAAGCUUUCACCGGAGUUGAAGUCGAAACAAGAAAAAUAGAGUCGUGGAGAAGAAAUGGAUGGAAGUGGAGAAGAAAUUGAUGGAAAAGAUGUUCACCAGAGGCACCGAAGUUGAAGGAAGUGUAGAAGCAGGAGAGUUCAAAAGCGGGAGAGUUGAAGUUCACGUUUUUUUUUAAUGUUGUUCUGUUUUUAGGUUGAAGAAAAGGAAAAAGGAAAGAGGAAAUGGGGAAAUUAAAUAAGGACAUUUUGGUCAAUUCACUCCAAAUUUGUCCUAAAUCUCAACUUUUUUAAAAUCAAUCAUAAAACUCCUUUUCUACUCCAUUUUUGGCCUAUUUUUGACAAUUUUUCAUAUAUAUUUAUGGAUGUUGAUAUUGGUUGACAUGGGUAUAUAAGUCAUGUUAUACUGUUGAAUAACAAGCCCUUCAUUUUCUAUUUCUAGAGAAUUCAUGUGCUUGGGAGUCCCUGAUGAUUAAUUAUUAAAUAAACCAAGAUUUUACCAUGACUGCAAUUUUAGAGAGACGCGAAAGCGAAAGCCUAUGGGGUCGUUUCUGUAACUGGAUAACCAACACUGAAAAUCGUCUUUACAUUGGAUGAUUUGGUGUUUUGAGGAUCCCUACCUUAUUGACCGCUACUUCUGUAUUUAUUAUUGCCAAUUCUAAUGUAUCUCUGUAUCGUUUACCCC
Molecule: long non-coding RNA, 97114 nt
Filed under: Cucumis sativus (cucumber)
Lineage: Eukaryota; Viridiplantae; Streptophyta; Magnoliopsida; Cucurbitales; Cucurbitaceae
Source: RNAcentral